UUUUUUUUUUUUUUUUUUGUGGAAUCAAAGAAUCAUAUAUAUGGAUUGCACUCUAUAAUUCGAAGGGUUUUAUCAAAAUUAAAAGAACUCUAUAUAUAUAUUCUCAAUGCUUUUAUUUAAGAUAAUAGAGGAGAAAGGACCUAUCAUCAAUUAUUUAGUGUUAUUUGAUCCCAAAAAGAGGUUCAACUAAAACGAUAGAGAAAGGUGGCUUUGGAGAAGUCUUGUUGAUGGGAUAGAAUUAUUGGAGGUCACUUCAAAAAAGCCUAUCACAAGUACAUAGAAACUCCACAAUGAUUUGAACCCCCAAAGCCAAAGGUACCACUAAAAAGUUGGAACAAACAUUGAUGCACUUUUGAGAGGUCAUAAACGAAAGAUCACACUCACUUUGUAUGUAAAUGCUACUUCAUAUAUUUCAUGUUACUUUUUUCGAAUAAUGAACGAAUCUUUCCACAUAAAGAUUUAGUAAUUCAGAAAGUGUAUAAUCGUAAGAACAAAGAAAAAUACUACUAUCUAUUAUCGAAUCCAUUAUAUUACUUCAAAUGUACCUAAUCACACUCAUUAUAUGUCAAAGCUGGUGGAUAAACGCCAAUAAUGUUUUAGAAAAGACAUGUAUAAGAUGGACCCAAUUUGAAAAGAAACAUUACUGUAUAGGUCAAAUAUUCAUUAACUACGGAUACAAUAGAUUUUGGCUUCAAUAGAUUUUUCAGUUUUAAUAAGAAGAUAAUUCUUGCGGCCAAAUCAUUUGCAUCUAUACAAUUUAAUUUUGUAAUGCUCUAUAUUUACAAUAACUAUGUUAACAAAAAACAAAACUCUAUAUAUAACUAGAAUUCUUAAUCCCAUAAGUAAAACCAUAUUUUCCCAACUUAAUUAUAACCACAUUCAUUUUACCAUAUGGCCUUGCCUUUGGUUGAAGAAACUAUGUGUUUUGGAUAAGACAAGCAAACUAUGAUGAAGUAGAAUGGUAUACUAAUGUUAGUAUGUACAUUGGAGAUAGUCUUAGGCAAGUUAGUAUGUAUAGAAAGUCGAAAGUCAAAAGUCAAGAUGAUUGUCUAAGAAGAGACACCAACGUAACAAGACAAGCUGGUUUGGUUCAUGAAACAAGACAUGUACAAGUUUACAACAACAAAAGUUAUGACCAUCUCUUUAAAAGCAAACAGUAUUAUUUUGGCACCAAUUUCUACAACCACACAUUACACGUAUAACGCAUAUAUACAUGCUCAUUUUCUUGUUCCGUGUUUCAUCUUGUUCACAUUUCUUCAAACACAUUAAAAUCCUCACUUCCAUCAUAAACUAUUCAAAAAAAAAAAUCAGAGUUUUUAGUCAAACCUAAGACAUGAAGCAAAUUCUCAUGUUCCGGUACAGUGAAGUAACCUCGUAUCUCAUUCUCACAUGUCGACGACUGUGUAUUGAGACCUUAUAUAUUGGCACGUGCGUUUGUGCACAAUUCUAUCAACAGCUAGUAGCUCAUAUGGUCUCCACGAUGCAUUUUGAAUAUGUAAUAUGUAAUAUGCAAAAUCAAGAGUUUCUUUUAUUUUUUUUCGUAUUGAACCGAUACUUUGGGGAUACAAAUAUUCUUUUUAAGUCUAGUUAUCCUGAUCAUGUGAAAAAAAUAUUAUACUGAUGCCAUAAGGAAGAAUAACAAAAUAUAAAAAAGAUAAGUACUGAUGCCAUAUGCACUUCUGCACUGAUACACAUGUAGAGAGCAUAGAAUCAAAGCCUAGUGAAGAAGUACAAUAACGUCAGCAGCAUUAUCCUUAAACCUCAAUGGCAAAGGGCACCUUAUUCCUUCCUAAAUCAAGUAAUAUUUCCAUGUGCCCUCUAUAGAAUAUCCAUUUACACAAUAAAUUCCACAUUCGUCGAACCAAUUAUUAAACUUUUGAGCAAUGUAGAGGUAGAUAAUAAAUAUUGAGAAUGAUGUCGAUGGAGGUAAAAGAAAAGCUAGCUGUAACAUACAACAAUCUCUUUCAAUCUUUUGAAGUCAAUCAAAAUCACAUGCGUGAAAAGACUAAACUCUCUUUAGUCUCUCUACCACAAAAGCUUUCGGCUACUUUGUAGGACAGUAAGUAUCAACAUCACACUAUAGCAGAUAGAGAGACACAGAGAAGAUCCAAUGGUUAUGGUUCGUAAUGUUGACGAGCUAAAAAUUUUGACCAAAGACUUUCACAAACUCUCUCAACAAAAAAAAAAACAAGCCAAUAUAUUACAACUAUUUUUAUCAAGACCUAUUCCUUAAUAUUUUAUAAUUAAACAACUUCUUUUAAGUACACAAUCAAAAAGUUUGGUGAUCAUCAAUAUGUAACGAAUACCCUAAAGAAAAUAUUACAAUGUCCCUUUAAAAAAAGGUUAAAUAUAUUUGUCCUCUAGACCGGGGGUGUGCGAGCUUUACUGGAGCUCUUAUUCAUUUCGACUGUUCGGUUGAACACUAGCUUGUCCGGUGUAGAAUCUUUGUCAACAGCAAAAUAACCUGUUCAAGAAAAAUGCACUCAUCUCAAGCUCUUUGGUUUUCAAUAAACAAAAAAAGGAAACAAACACUUUGGGAUAUAUGUUUUUGAUGCUUCAAUAUAUAUACCUUUCCUCUCGAACUGGAAUUUGUCCCCAAGGACAGCUUCUUUAAGGGUUGGUACAGCAAAAGCAUUUGAAACAACCUUUCUGGAGUUUGUGUUGAUGUCGUCGAGCCAAUUCUCUAGUUCUGAUGGGUUCUGUUGUUGUUUAAGACAAUAUAAACGGUGACAAGUCUUGGCUAAAUGAUCUAUAAAUUAAACAAGAAAAUGAAAGAAAAGAACAUAGGAAAAUUUGCAUACCUGCGAGUUAAAAAGUUUAUCGAAAAGGCGAAUUUCGACUUUCAAUGGCUCUUUUCCAGGGGAAGGUUCAGCAACCCAAUGUAAACAUCCCUGCCAAAUAAAACUCAAAAUAUAAAGACGAAUCCAAACAAGGUAAAAGAUCUUGUGUUUGUUAAAAUAAUUAGAACCUUUAGUUUCUUCUGCGUGGAUUCGUCAGCACGAACAUACUCUGCGUGGACCUCAACAAUAGUUUCAUUGUAAACAGCACGAACAACACCAAUGCAUUUGAUAGGGUAAGCAUAUCUGCAAAAACAUGAGCCAUCUUAUUAUGAUCUUUUAUCUUUUUCUUGUAACUCAAGAAAAGCUGCAUGUGUCUAUAUGUGUAGCGUUGCAUUUACUUUAGUUGAACUGUUUUACCAGGGGCAAGCCCAUAGUAAUCUUUUGAAUCCACCAUUCGGAAAUCAUCUCGUUCAAUGUAUACAACUCUAGAGAAAGGAACCUAUAUCAAGAACCAAAACCAAAAACAUUAUACUAGAAUUGGCAUUUCACAUUAUGUGUAUAGAUAAAAAAGUCCUUACCAAACAGAGUUUCUCACCUUGUAAAACACUGAGGGGUCGUCACGACCAUCGUACCACCUUUGUGCAUCAAACUCUAUGACUUUAUCUGAUUCCAUAUUGGUGAUGACCACCUUAAGAGGAUUAAUCACCACCAUGGUUCGGGGAGCGGUUUUACCUAACUCCUCUUUAAUAUGAAACUCAAGACGAUCCACAUUUAUCAUACUAGCAUCACUACAAUAUAUGAUGGUUUAUUAGCAAAAACAUAAUCAAAAUUUCUAGUGAACAAAAACAGCUAACCACAGAAAUGAACCUUCUAGUAAUGCCAAGUCCUCGUAUAAAAGCAUUGAUCGCGGUUGGCGUCACACCCCUCCGUCUUAAACCAGCAAGUGUCAUCAGACGCGGAUCAUCCCAACCAUUCACAUGAUUGUCUCUCACAAUGUGAUGCAACUACAACAACAGAAACAAGUUGAUAAAUAAUCAUGAUUCUCUAGAUGUUAAUGUAUGAUCAGGUUGAGUUUUGACCAACCUUACGCUUUGACAUCACAGUGUUGGUUAUAUUCAACCGUUAAUAUUCCCACACAUGGGGCAUGUAGAGUCCCAAAGAAUGUAACAGCCAGUAGUAAGAAGCACGACGAGUUUCAAAUUCGAGUGUACAGAGCUACAUAACAUAUAUACAUAAGAAUAUAUUUUAUAGAAAUCUAAUAAGACUAAUAGAAUAAGUUUAAGAAUCAAGAAAACUAACUGAAUGUGUUAUGUUCUCAAGAGAAUCAACAAUGCAAUGAGCAUAAUCAUAACUUGGGUAGAUAAACCAUUUGUCACCAGCAUGCGGAUGAGGCGUAAGCUGCAAAAAUAAAAAAACAGAGAAACAUGAAAAUCUUGAUUAUGCAACAAGACAUAAAACUCUGUUUUUUCUUUUUUCACUAACCUUUAUACGAUAUGCAAUAAGGUCAUACAUAUUACAAUUAUCAUUCUGCAUAUCCAUUUUCAUUCUUAGGGUAGCCUCCUCUUCUUUCAUGUUUCCACGUUUCAUUUCUUCAAAGAGUUUCAAAGAUUCUUCUAUAGGCCUGUCUCUCCAAGGGCUGUUCAGUUUCUUCUCCCUGUACUCUUUGAUCUCUUCUUUAGUCUGACAUUACAAAAAAAACAAGAUACUAUCAGAAUCAGUUCUGCGUUUAGUUUGAUUCUGAAGAAUCCAGUAUCAGUUUAAACUUUGUUCUGUUCAAACCUGGUGAUCAACAUAUGCGUGGCCGCUCUCGAUCAACUUCACUGCAAAUUCAUACAACUCUUGGAAAUAAUCACUAGUGUAUGUAAUCUACAAGAUAUAAAUAAAAGGUAAGGGUGAGACAACUCUAAACAAAAAACUACUAAGUUUAUGUAUGUUGAGUAUAAGAUGAUAAUAAUACCUUAAAGGGUUCCCAACCCAUCCACUUAACAAUUUCUUCAAUGUGAUCAAUAUACUCUCUUCUUUCUGCAUCAGGGUUCGUGUCGUCAAACCUGAGGAACCAUGAAAAAGAAUCGUAAACAAAUGUGUUUAUAGAAGAAACUAGAAUCAUAUACUAAAAGCUUAUAAGAACUAGCUCCUAUACCGUAGAUAACAACAACCACCUCGCUCCUUUGCAAGACCAAAAUUUACAAACAUAGCCUGAAAAUUAAAACAUAAUUUAACAUGUUGGUGUUACCAAGCAUACAACAUAAUGAUCCAUAAUACAGUAACCUCAUUUACAUAUAGACUUACCUUAGCAUGUCCGAUAUGAAGAUACCCAUUCGGUUCAGGGGGGAAGCGGGUGUAAACAUUUCCUCCAGUCUCCUUCAAAUGCUUAUCAAGAAGUUCUCUAGUAUUGCUAUACCUGAGAACAGAGCCGUCACUGAAAGGCACCUCUGUGUGAACCUGAUGAAAACAAUAUAACAAGGUUACAACAGAAUUACCAAAUAUCUUUUAUUUGUUUCACAAUGCAGUUUUGUUCCAUUUCAUCACAAUAAGAGCCUAUAAGUAAUACAAAACAUAUAUGGUCUCUAUUUAUAUUCUCAUGCAACGACUACUUGGAAGUAUUUAGAAAGACAAUACAAAUGGUAAAGUAGUUGUGCAAAAGACUAAAGGCAAAGUGAUACAUUACCCUUUUGUUAUGUUCUGGCUGAGGGAAUAUAGAAUAUGGAUUAAGCUCCUCUUCAGAUGGCUCUGAAGCAGGCUUCUCUUUUUUCUCCUUCUUUUUUGCUGGUUUCUCAUUAUCAGCUGCUGUCUUCUCACCAAGCACUUCACACAAUUUUUCACCUAUGACUUUCUAUUAAAACUUGAAUCUCAAUCAGUAAUGUCAAGAUUGGUAUUUUUGUCAAAUUAAACCAAGAAACAUAAUAUAUGCUUACAAUUAUAAUCUUAGGAUCUACCCAUGGCAACUUUUUCCGGACAUCUCCCAAUAAUUUACGAGCUACAAAACGUAAAUGCAUCACUUUGUGUGUGAAAGAACAAAGAAAUAACCACCAAAUAGAAGAGAAAAAAUAUCUUGGACCAAAGACUAACCUUCUCGGUAACGGUUCUGCAAUAUUGUGUUCUUGUUCUCUUCAAUGAUGUCAGAAACAGUUUUCUCAAUAUCUUCAGCUGAAACAUCAACCCCUGUUCCAAUAACAUAAAUGAAACUAUCAACACGUACUCGUCACUUCAAACACCUGUCUCAUGAUUGCAUCGAAAAGAUACCGUACCAACACCACAUACUUCUUCAAAUUCGUUGACGUUGAAGUCAUUAGACUCAAGAUUCUUAAAAUAUUUAAAUGCAGCUUCGAUCUGUGCUGAUAAGAUGAUAACUUAAUCUGCAUAAGUAUUAAUACAAAAGACAACCAAAACAAGUUUUAGAUUGUUUUUAUGGGACAAAAAAUAGAAGAAGAACAGAACAUGUAAACUGAUAACAUACCUUAGAGGACAUGAUGUAUUUGAUCAACUCUGAACGAUGCACAAGAGCAUCUUUAGGAAACCCAUUUGCAACCUAACAAAACAUCAAUUGGUACCAUUAGUAAACUUCAGCCACCAUUCUUGGCUAACAAGAAUCAAUUCUAAAUUAGGGUUUAAUUUAGAUGAACUCACAGAGUAAAGUAGAUCCCCAGUAGUUUUUUCACACCCAUCAGACACACCAGCCUGUAAACAAACCCUAAGAAGUCAGUAGAAUUCAAGGAGAUAUGUUGGAGUAUAGAACCAAACUGAUCAAGUUAGGUAUAGCGAUACUUAUAAGAGUGAUACAAAAGAUAACCUCGUAGAUGAUGUCGGUGAGAUCAGAUGCUUUAUCUUUGAAACGGAUGAUGUCGGUUGCGGUUUUCUCAUCCAAACCAAUCUUUAGGAAAAGCUCCUUAGAGUUUGCUGAGUUUUCUUCUUUAACACUCAUCGUCUUCACCCUAGGGUUUUACAAGAGGCCAACUCAGUAGCAUAAUAAAAUAAAAGUGAAAAAAAAAUAUCAUCCUGACCUUGAGACAUCAAAAGAAUCUAUAUGCAACAUAAAAUCCAGGAUUUUUAAAUUACCGAGUUGGUAUAACUGAUGGAGAGAAGAGAAGUGAAGAGGAAGCAAACGAGACUGAUCAGCGAGAGAUGGUGAAGAGGAGGAAACUAAAACGAGGAAGAACGUAACCCUAGAGAUGGUGAAGAGGAUGGUACAAGUAAAUCAAAUACGAACUCACAAUUUUGAAGAUAGCACCGGAGAUUGAAUAAGAAGGUUUCGGUGUGAUGAACGAAAGAGGAGGAGAGUGGUUUUUUUUAAUACUUUUCAGUUUGUGAUUUUUAAGGGUUUGGAAAAUAAAAGGAAAUACUCUUUAUGAAUUAGAGGUUUUGAAAUAUGUUUAAAGAAUUUUCGAUUUUAUUUCUAUUAUUUUGCCAAUUGUGGUGGGUGUUAAUUAACAUGGACAGCAAAAGAAUUAAAAUAUAUAGAUAUGUGUAUAUAUAGAUUAUGGAAUAUUAGUUUUUAGACGCGCACAUACUUAAAAAUUUGAGAAUUAAACUCUCAGCUGCACUAGAUCAAGAAUUAAAAUAGAAUUUGUGAAAACAGAGUAAAGAACAUAGACACAGAGAAUAAUUUACGAGUUUGCAUGACUCGAUUGAUAUGAUUGAACCUACGUCUCAGCUUUGUUCGUAUUUAUACCGUUCAUCAAUUACCAAAAUCAAUAUAAGAAAAUUAACAAAAAUCUAAGAUGCUUCUCUAGAUCGAUCUUUGUUCGUUAUAGGAGCUAGAGAUCGGAUCAAACCACAACACACAUGCUCUAAAGAUUAGUAUAUAUAUACUCACGUACGUACGUGAUGAUCUAUAUAUUCUCUUCACAUGAUUAGAGCAAAUGGCUUCAAUUAAUUCACAUAAACAUCUCCUGACUAUUCAUUUACUAUGUAUAACGAUGUCGCCAGCAAUAAAUAUACUAUUGUUGUAAAAGUAUUAUUGGUCUAGUUACGAUUGAUUUAGAGUUAAAUACUUAUAUAUGUACCUUAGUUUAUAGAUCAACAUUUCGAUCUUAAAUAAUACUGUAUAUACAAUUUUUAUUACAGAUGAUUGAGCGACUUUAUAGCUGCAAUGUUUCAAACUAGAAAACAUGCAUGCAUUGCUGAUUAACAUGUUGUUCAGUUUUAUCUAAGUGGAUAUUACUACUGUCCUUUACUGACAUAUGUGAUAGUGAAAUAUAUGUAUAUUAGAAUACUGUAUCUAAGAAAUAAGAUAUGGCAAUGAUCAAGUACAAUGAAUCAAAGGAUACCGUCGGUUUAAUAAUAAGUUUGGUACUAUGUAGAUUCAAAAUACAAACACUAUUAUCAGAUGCCUUUUCCAACAUAAAGCUUAAAAGAUAAACAGAAGGAAUCACUUGGUCGAUAUAAUAUUACUUUUCUUGAAAUUCUACUACCAAAGAAGAAAUAAUCGUUAGCAAAAUCAACAGUUCAAAUUUUUUUUUUUUAAAUGAAUCCUCUCUUUGUUUUAGAAUGUUAUCACUCUAUGAUAAUGAAAAGUUUGGUAUUUGAGAAAACAAUAACUUUAUUUACGAACCGACUGAACAAGAGUGAUGAAUCUAGACUUAUUUGGACGAAUAUGUAAUGUUUUUUUUUUUUUUUAAUGUAUUGUGUGUGCAAGUCGAGGACCUCAAAGUGAUCACCGAUAAGAGUAUUCGUGCGACUUGCAUCAUAUAUAUUAACUUUCAUAUUCUUGAUUAUAUAUAUUAACUUUCAUAUUCUUAAACAGUUAGUUAAAGAUAAUAAUUAAAGUUAGUUGAUUGUAAUAAUAUACUAUCAUUUGUCUUAUAUGGAUUAUGCUGAACACAUCAACAAUAGUUUGAUGUUAUAUAAACUGCUGAAACACAUCAACAUAACUUUAGUAAGCAUCUUUUUAAGAACGAGGACAAAAAUAUUAAGGGUGUGUUGGAGAAAUAGUACAUUUUUGAAACUUAAUUAUAGAACUAGUACAAUCACUAUAUUUACAAUUAGGAAACUAGUACAUUAUCACUAUUUGCUACUAUUUGAUUGACUUUUAAGCACUCAAAAAACAUAUUAUUUACAAGUAUGCUAUUAGAAUAAUUAUAUAAUGAUUAUAUAAUAUAAUUCGUACAUCAUAUUUUAUGUACAGAAGUGUAAAAACAUAUAUUUGUACAAUAAUAAAAAUAUUACACAAUAACAUCCGUACAACAUAUUAGUGUACGAAUAUGUACAUAAAUAUGCAUAAAUUCAUAUAUCAUAGUAGUUGUACAGAUAAAAAUGUGUAAUUUUUUAUACAUGCGUACAUAUAGCAAGCUGUACGGGGUAUUCUAUACAUCUAAUCAAGUGUACACAAACGUCUGUACAUAUACUAAAUUGUACAAAUACGUCUGUACAUAUACUCUGUACAUCUAAUCAAGUGUACACAAACGUCUGUACAUAUACUAAAUUGUACAAAUACGUCUGUACAUAUACUCUGUACAUCUAAUCAAGUGUACACAAACGUCUGUACAUAUACUAAAUUGUACAAAUACGUCUGUACAUAUGCUAAAGUGUACAAAAAAAUAUAUACUUAUGAAAUAUAUUUAAACUAUACUAAGCAAAAUGCAUAUCAAAUUAUUGAGAAAAAAACAUAGAUUUUUGUGAAUCAAAAAAAAGUUUGAAAAAAAAUUACAAAAUCAAGAAUUUUUAGUUAUUAGAAUGUUGGGGUAAGAAUAUUUAAAAAAAUAAAAAAAAAAAAACAAAAAAAACAAAAAAAAAAACGAAAAUCGGAAAACAAAAAAAAAAUGCCCUCCCUUGUCAUUUUUUUUCUCCUUCUUUUUCUAUCUCUCAAAUUCUCUAUCUCACAAAUGUAUUACUUUGCCAAUUUUGAAUAGUAAAUGUAUUACUUCUCCAAUUAAAUUCUCAAAAUGUACUAAAUAUCCUAUUAGUCCAAAUAUUAAUGGGUAAAAUAUCUUUUUUUUGUAUUGGUUUAUUUUGGCAAAUAGAUUGAAAUCUCAACAUUACUUUUACUAUUUUGUUUUCUUCUUUCACUCUUCCUUUAUCUUGCUUUCGCUGUUCCUCUUUUCUUUUUCUUUUUGUUUUAUUGUGAAAAAACUACAACAACUGAUUAGUCCCUCCAUCUCCUAUUGUCUCCCUUUGUUCGUAAGAACAUUUUACAAAUAAAGAAAAGGUUAAGCUGCCAUUUUUGACUUGAGAAUCUUCAUUUGUUCUUUCACUUCUUUGACUUCAAAAUCUUCUCCAUUCUUUAACAUCCUUUUCAAAUCUUCAAGGUUUCUUUACUCUUUUUUCCCGGGCUUUGGCUCUUGAAUGAUAUCAAACGAAGGUAUAUACAUAGAUAGAGAGAGAGCUAGAGAGAGAUAUAUAGUGUGUGUGUGUAAGAUAAAGAGAAAGAGAAAGAGAGGUUAUGGCUAUUGACGUUUGUUGUGCGGAGGCUUCUGGUUCUGGAAUUAGUCCAAGAAUCUCAUUCUCCUACGAUAUAGACUCAACGGACGACGGUGAAGUCAGAUUAGACUCAACACUUCUUGAAUCAGGUUCAGAGUUCGAUUUCUGCUUUGGCUCAAGUUGUUCUGUUCAAGAAGUUUCUCCGGCUGAUGAACUCUUCUCCGAUGGCAAGAUUCUUCCCGUACAGAUCAAGAAAGAUUUACCACAGCCAGUACCCUUCCGUGUUCAAAGAUCUGCUUCUCUCUCAUCAUCAUCUUCGUCCUCUUCCUCUUCCUCUUCUUCCUCAUCGAGAGCACCAGAAAAAAAGAUGAGACUCAAAGAGCUUCUAUUGAAUCCUGAAUCUGAUUUCGAAGACAAGCCAAGAGGACUGUUCUUGCAGUUCAAGAGAAGCAUAAGUCAAAACUACGACAAGAGCCAAAACAGCAAAGGGCUGAUCAGAUCGCUUAAUUUCCUCUCAAGAAGCCACUCAACAGGCUCUGCACCAAACCCUAAACCUAGCUUACUCCCCAAGGAAACCAAUCACCCACACAAGACUCAUCACAAUCUUCCUAAACACACGUCUCCAUUAAGAAGAUCAGCUUCGCUCUCAGCUUCUUCAGUCCCUUAUCACUCGAAGCCACAAGGCAGAAAGAGUUUCGGAAACGGAAACGGUGGGAUCCGAGUCAGUCCGGUCCUGAACUUCCCACCUCCGACGUUCAUCUCAAACGUCGCCGACGGAUUCUUCAGCAUUGGAUCUCUCUGUAGUGGUAAGACAAACACAAAGACAAAAUUAUGAAAAACAUCUUUUGGAAUUUUGUGGCCGGAGAGGGGGAAAAAAGUUCAAACAAAAAAUGUCUUUAUUAUUUAUUUUUAUUUUUUUCUUACUGUGUUGUAUAAUGAUGGAAUAUUAAUAUAGACAGCACAUGUGAAGAUUAGACAGCAUGUGGGUUUUGUCUGUGAUUUCAAAAACCAAAAAACAAGAAUAAUUCACAAACUAGGAGGCGUAGCAGAAGCAUAGGAACGCCUUCUUCGUUGAUUCAAGUUGAUGUUGGAUCUUUGUGGUCAUAUCAUAAGAUUAGUUUUGUAUAACGCGUAAAUGAAAAUAAGAUAAAAAUAUGUAAAGAAAUAAAAAAAUGGGUCGUCGUGGUGAUAGCUUGAUGAUUAAAAGAUAAGAUACAUAUAUAUACAUGAAAUCGUCGUGGUUGACUUUGACUGGCAUUUUACGUCGCUCGAGAGGUCGCAAUAGAGUUGGGAUGAUAGGCUUCGUUAGACUUGGGUUCGGUAAUUAAGUAAUUAGUUAUACGAGUCAGCUUAUAAAUUAUAGUUUAAUUGUAUAAAAAUAUUCUUGAUAAGUUUACCCUUUUACAUACACAUCGGUGACAUAUGAUAUUUCAUACGUUAAAUAUGUCAAAAUGAUUAACAACUAAAUUGCCAUACAAAAUGUUUUACCUUGGUAAACAAACUUGUAAACUUAGACAUGAGGUUAGUCCCAAAAUUCUACCCAUGGUUUCUUUAAUUUGUAUUUAUGAAUGGUACUGUAGAAAUUUAUUAUAUAGUUUUAUUAAUUUAUGUGAAACAUGUCAAAAAUGACAAUUUUUUGUUAACGCGUAGAGAGUAUGUAGAAUUAGUAAUCAAUUGAUUAAUUUACAUUAUCUUAUAAACUUAAACUUUCAAUUAAUAUUGUUAUUGAUAUGAUUUAAACUUAUUCUUUUUAAUUAUUGAACUUUUGGACUUAGAAAACAUUUAAAUUACUUUGGGACGGGUUAUAUGAUGAGACGAGUUUGGAUAGAAAUUAAUAGAAAUUCGAAAUAUCAUUAAUCCGCGGUGUAUUAUCACUUUAUUAAAAUCAUUAACAUGAAAAUAUUAGGCAUAUCAUUCUAGGUUUAUAGAAUUAUAAUGGUGUGUAAAAAAUUGUUAAUCGUAGUAUUUUUUAAGAAACCAUGAGGUAUAUACUAAUUGGGCUUGGGCCUGAAAUUACAUUGGAUCAACGAAAACAAACAGGAGAAGAAAGUGUUCGCCCUAAUCUGGCCGCCGAAAUUAUCUUAUUUUAUAUAACAGUGAUAGGCAAAGGUUAAUAUAGGAAAUACAAAAUCUCAUUUAUGUAUUUUUUUUGGUCAAGAAAGUCUCAUAUAUAUUUUUAAGAAGUGAUUAAUUUUUGCUUAUCUAUCACAAUCAAAUUUACCUUUUUGAAUCUGUUUUGGUAAAAUAUUACAAGAUUUUUCAUAUAAAAAAAUUUAAUUUAUAUACAAUCAAUUAGAUGUCUAAAAGGGGUUAUAUAUUCAUAUGUAUAUUUAAGAUCACAUAUGUUUAAUAAAACCGCAAAAUGGGAAACUCGGAAAAAAUAAAUAAUAUAGUGUGGCUGAUAAGAUUUAUUUUCAAAUAUAGACUAUUGAAAUUCUCUAUGGUAUCUAAAAAUACCAAAUUUACCAAACAUUCCAAACAAGUUAUUCUUUGUGACUUCACAUUUUGUUUUGUUACGUAAGAGAUUGUAGGCUGAAAUCUAUACAUCUUCUAAUAUCAGAGAUAUACUCCAAGUGCAUUUUAAAAUUUUUUAUCUCGAAUCCUAAGAUAACAAUUUAAAUUUUUUUUAAAUUGAUUGGUUUAUCUAUAUAUAUUAUUCAUGUGUUGGUUGAUCCUUUCUAAGAAGCUGAUUAUAGUUUUUGAAAGUUUUGAACGUUCUAUCAAUAACCAAAAAAAAGAAGAAUAGUAUUUUUGUAUUUAGUGUUUUUAAAAAAUAUCGGCAAUAUGAACAUAAAGUUAAGUUUUUAAAAUAAUGUUUACCAUAGCCAUUUAGUUAACUAAAAUAAUCUAUAAAAAAAAUUAUAGUCUCACACUGUUAAGUUUUAAUUAUUAAAAAAAAAAAUACUCUUAACACAUAAAAUUAAGAGUCUUACUAGUUGACCUGACAGUAGCCAUUGGUUAAAGAAAUUGAACCAGACCGAAAAUAGCAAACCGGUAGAGACCGAGUCACACUGAGUGAAACAAUCCAACGCGGGAAAAACGAAUGCCACCACACGGAAUCAAUUAGUCCACUCUUUGUGUAUAUAUAAUAAGCACACCCGCCUUGAAUUGUAUUAUUGACAUUUGGUUCAUUGACACUUUGGUACACGCUCUUGCCAAAUUUGCUGCACCUUCUACUAUACAUAGACACCCAAACUAAGUAAGAAUACACACAAAAGUUGUUCCAAGAGAAAAGGCGAUUCCGCGCAGUUUGAUUCUGAACAGGCUAGUAAUCGAUCGUCGAUAGGUAGAACGUCGAAAAGGGCAAAUCAUCGAUAGGCGAACGAUAUAAAAACAAGGAAUGAGAAACGACACUCAACAACAGUAUAAAUCUUUGAGCUUAGAUCACAACACAAAAGCAAAAGAUUUGGUAAAAAUGUGAAUCCUAUUAUUGAUUAAUAUUUGGCUUUUCUUUGCUGCCUUACUGAAAAAAACAAAAGAGUAUGUUCUAAAUUCUAAUGAAACAGAACCUACUUUUUGUUCCCAUAUCUUUGUACAGGUUAUUUUCUCAGCCAAUGAACAGACCGAAGAAACCCAAAACUAAACAAAGAAUAAUUAAAAGAAACACUAAAAAAAGACCAAAUUCACAAGCUUCAAGCCAUUCCACAAGUCAGCAAAUUAGCCUACGAGAGAACUUCCUGCAACCCCAUCAUCAUCAUCACCUCUGCAGAAUCAAUCAGUAAUCACAAAUUUAGCCAAACACACAUGAUUUGGUUUACAAAAUACAAAUCAAGAAAACAAGAUCAUACCUUUCCCCUCUCAGCUUGGUCUGGAACAUUGUAAAGAUCUUCAGUAACUUCAGUAAUAUAACAAGCUGGAUUCAACAUCUGCAACAAACAAACCCAAAAUCAGUAUAAACACUUUCACAUACCAACCAACGAAAUCAAUACAAAAAAGAAUCGAAUUUUUCGACAUAUACAUCGAUCUGUUUCUGAACGGUUCUUGAUCGUUUCUUCGGCCUGCGCGGUGGUCGUUGCCCCGUAAUCUUGAUAUAAUCUUCUUCAAUCUCUUUCUUAGACAAAGUAUACAACAAUCUCAUCCGAUCUCCCGUAACCGAAUCCUUCACUCGUUUCUUCUCCUCAAUCCCUAACCCCUUACUCUGAUUCGAAUCAAUCCUCGGAAUCGGAGCUUUACAAGCAGCUCUCCUCUUCCUCAAAUUCCACGGCCGUACCUCCACCGUCGCUCCCAACGCUCCCGGCGGCGAAACCUCUCUCUCCGCCGGAGACUCCUCCCUCUCCAUCUCCGGCUCUUUCUCUUCUUCGUCUUCUUCUCCGAGGACUUGCUCCCUAAAAAUCGAUUCGGUCAUCUUAUCAGCAACGUUUCUAAGAUCUAACAUAAUCUUCUCCCUAAACUCUUCGAUUCCUUCUCUCUCAGACGAUUCAUCGACCUGAAACCGUCGAUUCCGAUGAUCGAAUUCGGAAUUCGAAGAUCGGCGUCGGAGUCGUUGAUCACCGCCGGAGCUUGAACCACCACCACCACCGCCGUCGGAAUCAUCACCGACCUUCAUACACCGUAGUUGUCUUCGAGUGCCCCAUAAGUUCGGUAACGAGAAAUUCGAAAGAGUCUUCGAUCUCUCAUGUCCUCCCGUCGUCGCCAUUAAACCUAAACCUUCUCUUUCGUCUUCGUCUUCUUCGUUUAGAUUUUUUUUUUUUUUUUUUUCUUUUCUUCUCUGUCUGUCGCUUUUGAGAGAAACGGAGGAAGAGUUUGUUUAUAUACGAAGUUCCGUUUUUAAUAUUGAAGGGUAGUUUGGUAAAUUAUAAAUUAUGUGUACAGUUUUUGCUAAAAUACGCUGUGAGUGAAUUAUUUUCCCGGGUUUGAGAGAUGUCGGUUUAAGUGAUGGGAAUGGAUUAUAACCGUUCGAUUGUUUUUGAAUUGUGAUUGUAUCCGUAGAUCUUAACUCAUUGCACAAUCUUUGUAGAAUCUAUAACUCGUUUAAAGAGUUAAGUUUUUUUUUAAUACGUACUUGUGGAGAAACUAUAAUAAAAUAUUUUUUUUCCAGGUUUGUUUAUAUAUAUUUUAAUAUAAAAUUGUCACUUAUACCUAAACUAUCCUCACGAAUAUAUGAAUUUACAUUUUAAAUCAUUUUAAAAGUUAAAUAAAGGAUAAUUAAAGAUCGAUUUUAGGAAAUGUAAAUAGUCAUAUAGAGUAAAUUAGAAAGAUUUCAUUUUAUUAUUCUAGUCAAAGGUUUUUAAUAUGUUGAAUAUGGAUUUUUGUUCAAGUUAUUUACUUUUAAGAAUUCUUUGUUUAUAAAUAAGAUAACAUAAUCUUAAAUACGAGUAGAUGAGUUGACAUAUUUCGAUUUUGAUAGGUAUUUGAAUUUUAAUCAAAUGUCUUUUAAUUUUAAUGUAAACUCUUUUAUACCAAUUUUUAUAAAUUUUGUGUUCAUGUUUCAACAUUGAGAUUUUGUUUCUAUAUAACUGAUUAUCAAUAAAUUUAAACCAUGGUAUGAUGUUGUCCGAUAAAUGAACAUAUUUCAACCAUAUCUUAAUAUGUUUAUUAAUUUGUAAAGAUGAUUUUUUGAAGUUGUAAGUCAAUUAUUUUCAGCAAAUUAAUGAGCAUUUUCGCAUUGCAAUAUUUUUCCUUCACUUUCGAGCUCUUCGGGAAGGAAAUGCAAUGAUGUGUCAAUUGCUUCACUUUGACAAACGGGGUCAACAAAGCCUUGAUUAAAACAUUUGAGAAAAACAAAUACGUGAAAAAUAUUAGAGAAAAAUACUUAAUUUUUCAAGUAUUCGUUUUCAAGUAAUAUAAAGGAAAACAAAUAAAUACUUGAAAAAACACUAGAGAAAACUAAUUAGAGGAAUUAUCUGAUAUGAUUUAUAAUCAGAGAUUAGAAAGCACUUUAAUCAUCUAAACACUUCAAAUAAUAACGGUGUCCAGUUUUCAGUCAGCAGAAAUUCAAGUGACAUGUAGUUGUUACCGCUAACAUUGAUUGGCUUGUAGGAUCAAACCCAUAUUUCUAACUUGGUCUAUGAGACUAAGAUACAUUGAGCAAUAAGAAUAAUUUUUCUUUCUUUUUUGGGUUUAAUGUUAAGAUCAAUAAAACUAAGAUUACAUCCUAAAAUAAUUAUAUAUGACAUUACGAUAUUUGGCUAAACUAUGAAAGAAUAUAUAUAUUAAUUAGUUUCAGGCAGCUCGGUCCACGACAUAAAGAUUGUGAAGCUCUUGUGAAGCUAUGGAUCUAUGGUACGUAAAAUUGGUUAAAAGAAAGAAAUCACAGCCAUACUUUUCUGAACCAAACCUUUUUUAGCUUAAAGUGGCAUAUCAUCCACCGUCACAACCACGAAUCAAGCUUUGCUUCAGUUUGUAAACUUUAUUUAUCUCAAUCUGACGUAACCACUAUUUUAGUUUAGACUUAAACUCUAUUUAUCCUAAAUCAAAGUUUUUGUUUUACAAAUCCUUAAUUAAAAUAUAAGAACUUGUGAAAAUUCAUUCUUUUCCCUUAUAUGCCACGAAAAAAAUAUUUGUGUGUAACAAAUUCGAACUUAUUACUAAGAUUAUACAAAGGGUAAUUGAUACAUCUUCAGAAUAUAUGUGUCAGCAGCAAAGAACAUUGUUUGCCACUUCAAACCUAUAUGAAAAGGUAACUUUAAAUAUUACAUUUUGUUAGAAAAGUAUAAACUAUAUUGAAAAGGAACCUCCAACGGCUACUUACUAUACAUACAAAUAAUUGAAAAAAGUAGACAACCGAACCGACCAUGACUUUAACAGCUUGGCUUGGCGCUCCUGCUUAGAUCUAAAAAACUCAAAAACUUUUCAUCUUUUAUAAAUCUUGAACAUUGAUGUCCUUUCCAAGAACUAAACUCUAAAGUACUCUUUUAUGUCAAAAUGUCUCAAAGAAGAAGACCUAUUUUCCAAAGGGUCACGAAACUACUAAAAGUAUCGAUCUUGAGAAGACCAGCCAUCCCUAGACUCAAGCUCAUUCCCAUAAAACGAAGAAGAUCAUCCAAAAGAGUCAAACUCCUUCAGCACUACAACUAUAAGUUUCUCCAAGAGUAUCAAUUCUCGCCUUCACGUACAUCGCUUAUCCGUUGUUGUAGGAAGCGAAUUCGGGUAUCUAGAUCGAGUCUUAAACGCAUUUACGAGCUAUUGUUUCUUUCUCGGUGCAUUGGCUGGAACGAUGAUACAAUAACGCAAAGUUGGAUGGAUAUGGAGCCUUUCCAUUAUGCCCUCGGAGUUGCUUCUCCUGCAAGGGAGCUUCCGCAGCCGUUGGAUUACUUUAGCGAGGAUGAUUCGAUUGAUCUGAAGGCUGAGAGAUUCAUUGAAAAGUUCUACGAUGAGAUGAGGAUGCAGGCGCGGGAAUUUGCUUGAUUGACCAAACUUUGUUUACUUUUUUGAAUUUUGGAAUAUUAUAUUUUCUCUUUGUUAAUUUGUCUUUGCAUCAUAUAUUUGAGACCUUGGAGACUCAUUUAUUUCUUCACUCUGUAUUUGAGUAUCUCUGAUUCUAUCAGUUUACAAUAUCAGUUUUAUCACUUCUUGCUUGGUGGAUUGAUGAUUAUAUGGAAUUUAGAAUUAGAGGCUCUUGUAAACACCAAAAGGAAGUAAACAUUGGGCUUUUCGUCUAAUUGGGCCCUGUUUGAAUUUGAUGUUCACUUCUUUGAAAAUGAAUCCCUCUUGGGCCGUCGAUGUUCACGUCGUCUAAAAUUUUCAAGGUUGUGGACUCUAUUGGGCUGUCCAUUUAUUGCAUGUUCGCAUGGUGCAGUCUAUAUAUUAUUAUACGCAGGUUAGAUAAACAUUUAUACGAGGAGAAAGAUAAAGGGAGAGUUGUUGAAGCAACGAAUGAGAGAUCGACAAGAGGAAGACAUGUCUUUUUACUACUUUGGCUUCGUAAAGUGUUCUGAAACUGGUAGGACAGUAUCGUACGCUAGUCCACUUCAAUUAGUGUCUUCAUAAGUGACAGUAUCAGUAUAUUGUUAUGUAUGUAUUGACCAAGUACAUACGUGCACUUUUGUUUUUAGUUUUUUUGGGUCCUCAUGCCACUUCGCUUCCCAAAAGAUAUCUUUAUGUGGACCAACUACUUAAGCUAUGAACUCUAAAAUUAGCAAACAUUUUACGUCCCACUCCAUGUGAGUUUAAAGUUAUAGAUUCUUCUUUGGAUUGUGCCUAUAUACUACAAGCAAUCAGUGUUUUCAAACUCAACCAAGAAAUGUUCUUGUACCUCAAUUAUGUUAUUUAUACAUGAAGGGCCACUAUUUAAAGUUUAGUUAAUAGGCCAGUACAUCAAUCUAAAUUCUAAGAGCAUGUUCUAUUCAAAUCCAUAGAACGUAUGUAUUUAGGUUGUUUCGUAUACACAUAUAGAACUUGUAACUUUCUCAUUUGUUUAUCAAUGUACAUGUAACUUCCUCAUUUGUUUUCAAUUUUUCUAACUAACGAGAAUCUUAAAUAAAAGAGGGAAAAUUAAAAGGCGUAUCCCCGACAAGAUCUAGUACUUUUAUUCUUAUCCUAUAUAGAAUUGAUCCAUCGACAUCAUAAUUGUAACUACAUUGCAAAAAACGUUAAAAAGAGAAAGGAACUUUCUUUGGAUAUACUUAAGCCAUAAACUUACAUGGAACCAACGAGGCUUCGACACACAUCCAACGCAUCUAUCUUCUCUUUCCAUAUUUCACGUCAAACAAAAGCCAAACCCUAAGGGUUGUCCUGCUUUCAAUCACUUUCCACGUAAGCCCUAUCGUGUUUCUUAGAUGGAAUCUGAAUUUUUCAUCUUAGUGCUUUGUCCCUAACCUACCACAAUGUACUUUAACCACUACCCUAUCUCCACAUUACUCCGAAACUAACAAUUGUUGUCUUGGUUUGUUAGAGAAGGGAAACCGAAACAAAACAUGUGUUAAAGAACUUGUACCAACAAUGUCAAAAAUAAAUAAAUACAACGAACUUCUACCAACACAACAGCCUGACGCUUGCUUCCGCUAAUCCAAUAUUUUCAUUCUUUAUGAAACAUCAUUUAGGAACUAAAUUUUAUCAAAAAAAAUACAAAUACAAAUUAAACAAAAAAUAUGCUUUCAUAAUUUUUGAUAUAAAUACAACAAUGUUAUGUUUUUCUCAUUAAUGUGAACAAACCUUUUAACUAGUAAGAGAAAUUUCUUGUAAUUUCUUGUAGUAAUUGUGUUUGCUCUACAAUCCGACUCAGUGGCGGAUCCAGGAGACUUAUUAACCAAUGGCACAUAUUAAAUAUACCUAAUAAUGAAUACUACAUUAGUAUACCAUAUGAUAAAAAUAUGAAGUAAAAAGGUAAAAAUAGUCCACAUGAAAGGUUAGAACACCCCACCUCUCAUAUUAUCUACAUGUAAACAUUACCAAAUGAACUAAUAUGAAACUAUUGUGUAGAGUUAUUCAAUACAAAAUAAAAAUCAGUGUAGGGCACGUGCCCAACCUACCUAUAACGUAGUUCCACCACUGAUCCGACUGCAAAAUGCAUGAUAAGGACCAUACAAACAACUGUUACGGUGUUACCAGAGAAUCUGUCAUCGCCAGGUUAAAAGUCAUCAAGACUACUAUCUACUGCAGGCUAAGUGUAUAAUAAAGUAGAAACCAUUAUUAUCUAUUAUUUUCGUGUUUAUGCAUUCAGUGGGGAUGCAUAUGUGCAUGCAUGAUACAUUAUUGAUGAAGAUCCAAUGUUUUUGAUAUUUUACGACAAUGAGAUUAUAUGCAAUGUAUAAUGUGUAAUUGUCAGACUGGUAAAAGCAAAAGCAUAAAUAAGAGUCACGUACCCUCAAGAGUUAUAAUAUAUAGUGCGGUGUCUUUUAGAUUAGGGUAUAUAUAUUGCAUGAUUGAUGGUGUGAUAAGGACUUUGAUGAUUCCUUAAAAAGGACACAUGGUUCAGCGAAAGAGCACGUUUUGCGUCUAUGAUAAAACUUUCCCUCCAAUAAGGGUUCCUUUUACAUAUCCACCUUUUUUUUUCCUUCAUACAAAUUAUACACUUAUUAUUGUUAAUUUUCAGUGUAAAGUUUAUUUGAUUCAUUUAGUAAAACAAAGAAAAAAAAAGCUUAAAUAGAAAUACACAAAAAAUUUAAAGACAUAGCUCAGAGUAGAACAAUGUUUUCAGGAUGAAACUAAGCGCGGUUAUACGAAUAGGUUUGUCAAUGAUGCGGAUGAGAUGUGGGCCGAUAGUAACAAAGCAUUAGCACAUUUAAAUAAAUACAUGCACAUUCAUAAUUUGUUUUUCGUUUUAAUUGGGGAAAAGGUCAUGUGGGUUUAUUGGAUUAGCACUUUUGAUGACAAUAUUAUCAAAAAAAAAAUCUUUUGUAAAAUUUAUCCAUCCAAAAAACUUUGUGACAACAUUAUCAUAUUAAUUGAGUUCUAUAUAUAUAUAUAUAUAUGAUGUUAAAUACAGCUCAGAGAUAUGUUGUUUGUGUACGUAAAAAAGAGAGGACGGUAUGUGGAUACGUACGCAUGCAUGAUGAGUGAUUGUGUAUGUAAAAUUUUUAUAGAAAACAAUGUCAUAAAUAUAGAGAAAAAGAAGUGAACAUUUGCCAUAAUCACUAUAAUCGUUUCUCAAAAUAUUGCAUUAUAUUGAAAAAAAUUUGAUAUAAAUUUAUCUCUAUCUAAUGAGAACCUAUUUGACCUCUAACGCUGAGCUAGUCACAAGUAUAAGGGAGAAAUUGCUGGAACAUCGCACUAUUGGUAGAAACAAUUUGCAUUACAUAUACAAUUGCACGAGAGAAUUACCUAGACGACGUUUUUAGACCAACAGACUCAGUUAAAGCUGAAAAAACCAAGUGAAUUUGCAUUAAGUGUUUUAUGACCUAGAUAUUAUUUAAGUCAAUAUCUUGAAUCAUUGUUUGCUUGCAUAUUGUUAUCUUAUAAAAGGCCUUUAUCCAUUGAUUUAAACCCCUAAACACCAUACACGAGGUCAUCUUUAGACUUUCAACAUGUUAAAACAACUUUUGAUACUAUAAUCUCCAUUAGUACUUGGAACCAACCUCUGUAGUCUAUUUUGAUUUACAAAAUGCCUUUCAGUCUCAAAAGGGAUUGAACUUGGGGCACCAAAAACUUAUGAUACCGAAUUUAAAUUGUAUCCCAUUGCAUCCUCUAAGUCACUAACCAGUCAAUGUCCAUAAAACUACUUCCUAAACUUUUUAGUUUGAGCACAAUUAUCUUAAUGCCCAGCUGCCCCAAUACCAAUCACAUCUAUGCCCAUCAUAUACUAUAUAAACAGAGACAGGGACGUAAAUAUACGUGCCAAUUGCAUUACAAAAGAUCUAAAACAAAAUAUACUUUGUGUCCUACACAUAUUUUAUUGGCUCAUGGUGACUAGGAUCCCAUUUCAUAUGUUUUAAACACGAAAAUGCGCUGGUCUACCCUCUACAUAUUAAAUAUAUCAUAUAGUAGUAGACUAGAAUGAUUUUUAUUAUUUCAAAAUUCGGAUACCCCGGGGAUUCUUCCUACAGCUUGUGACAUAUACAUUUAUUUAUGUAUGUUACUCCAAUUAAGCCAUUGUGUUAUUAAACAAUUGUUCUUGUUUUGGUAAUACACAUUCACAUUCGUACAUACGUAAAAUUAAAAAAUGUUAGCAUAAACUUAGUGCAAGAUUCCUCCAUUAUAUAAGUGCUUCUAUAUGCCUUAAAUUUUUAACAUAUGUAUUAUUUGCCUAAUAUUUUAUUUCGAACAAACGUAUCACUUUUAAAAAAAUAGUAUUAUUCGACGACUCAUACCAACACACACAACUUGUGGUAUAUGUAUAAGUCUUAUACUUCGAUUCGCGUUUUUUUUAAUUCCGUGAUUGGCAAAAUUUGUAGCUCACAAAAAUACAAUAUUAUUAGCCAAAAGAGAGUAACUCUACAUCUUUUUUUCAUAGCCGUUACUACUUGCUAAUUAAUUUGUACAUGUAUGUUCUCAUGCAAGAGGGAGUAAACUUAAGAAGAUAUAUAGAGGAAUUGACUUUGAUAACUUUGAGUUGAAUCAUAGAAAGUGCCCAUAAUUGGAAAAACGGUUCAGUGACAAAUUAUUCUAACCAAAUUGUGUUGGACUAGUAAUUUUAAUUCUAACCAAAUUGGGUAAUCGACAAAAUUUAAUUAUAACCAAAUUUUACUUCUAAUUAAGAUUUGGUAAUCGACUAACAAGAACAUGCCCGAAUCUGACUAAAACCGUACGUACUUAAUUACUACACGAUACAAAUUUCCAUGUGCUAGGCUUUUUCAAAAGGUUAUAUAACGUAACGUGCCCCUUUUGCCUAAAUUUUGAGCUUAGUUUUGCUGCAAGCUUGUGAAAAAUAGUUUUUAUACUCACCUUUGAAUCAUAUAUUUGGCCACUAUAAUAACUUUUUUUUUUGAGAUUUCAGUAAAAUUAAGAUCUAAAAGAGAUCUGAAUAGUGGAAUGAUUAUUUUGUUUGUUUUUAUACAUUCUAUUACAGUACACCUGACACAACUUAUGAGUUAUGUCCUAACGCUUAACGUUUAUAUUUUUUAUAUUAUAUAGUCUGAUGUCCUAUUGUUUAUUUUGGUUUUUUAGAGUCUCAACAUUCCAGAACAAUAAUAACCUUCUCAUGAACAUUUUGUUUAGGAAUUGGUUAACCAUUUUGAGACUUACUUUUUUUUUUUUGGGUAGGAAACAUAUAUGGAAUCUAAAUAUUUUACUAAUUAACAAACAAAUUACUGGCAUUUAAAAUUCACUAAAAUGUUAAAAUAAAGACUAAAAAUAAAUAAAUUAAUUAAAAAUGUAGAAAAUAUACAAGAGCUUAAAAAGAAAAUGUCAAUGACCAGCUGGUGCAAGACUGAGAUGCAAAUCCAACCCUAAACCAUCAUCGAACGUAGUUCCCACUUCUCUUGAAAACCCAUUCACCGAUGGUCUCGGCCCAUGGGCCUGAACGUGUCUCAUCUGAGACCCAACAAUCCCAAACCCAGACUCACGAACUCCACCAUACUCGUACGAGAACCCACCCGCACCCGCACCACCACCACCGGAACUAUCUUGGAUCACGCAACCAUGUGACACCUGGAGCUGAGAAGGAGAGACACGUGGAAGAUACAUCCAAGGACCUGCCAUAGGCUGAGGAGACACGGCGGAAGAAGAUGAUGGUAAGAGAUGAGGCGGAGGAGCAAAGGCAGAGACUAUAGGGUUCCGUAAGAAGUGAGACGACGCUGAUGCAGCGUUUGAGUAACUCGCGGCUGCGUUUCUUGUAGCUUGAAGCUGAGCGCGUUUAAGCUGUUGACGCUCUUUCUUGUGUGCGUUUUGGUGACCUCCCAAAGCUUGCGAGUUACCAAACUCUCUACAACAGUACUGACACUCGUACUUACGCUCUCCUCCUCCUCCUCCUCCUCGGCUUCUUGCACCACCGCCGCCACUUCUUCCGGAAGAACCCGCCGGAAACUCGCCACGUUCAGGUGAUAUGGAAGAUUGGUUUGUUUUGACUGAUUGAUCGGAGAAAUCUUCUUCUCCAUCAACACUGAAUCCAAAUAGCUUUAAACGAGAAGUAGUUGUUUUAGAACUAAAAUCUAGCUCCUCCAUUAUUAGAAUAUGCAAGUCUUUAAAGAAAGAGAGAGAGAGAGAUAAUAAGAGAAGAGGGGUUUGAUGAUGAGUGAGGAAGAGGGGGCAUAUAAAUUUAUAUAUAAAGGGGGGGGCAGAGAGAUGUGUGUGGACUUGGAACAGUAACAUGGGAGACACUGUGCAAGUGUGUGUUGUGUGUGGAAAUAUAUGAGAGAUUGUUUUUGUUUUGUUUUGUUUUGUUUGGUUGAUUAACUUUGGUUUUUGUUUUCUUGUUUUUUUUUAAUUUUUCGGACAUCCCAAGAAAGAAAGAAAAAAAGAGAAGAGAGUAGUGAAAGUGGGAGUUUGAGGAACACACGAACCGAGACGACAUGGAUUAUUAGGGGACCCUAUUGGAUUUCAUCUGUCUCCUUUAAUUUCAUGUGAAGGGAAAGUUUCAAGUUCGGCUCCACUUUUUUUGUGUUCAUUCUUACUUGUUCUCUUCGGGAAAAUUCAUAUGUUUCCACCUACUUUUUCUUUUAAAUGUGAUUCUAAUAAGUUAGAGAGAAUAAUUACGAUGAACAUAUAUGUACACUGUUUGGAAAAUGAUUUUAUAAAAAAGUAAUCUCUAUGUUUUUGAUGUAGAAUUAAAGUUUUUUAUAAAGAAAAACUACUUUUUUUUUUGGUAAAAUUACAAAGAAAAACUAUUUAUAUUCAGACGAACUAUACCACCAAUUAUUUUUUAAAAAUAUGUUCAAUAAUUCUAUUAAAAAAAAUUAUUGCGACAAAAAAAAACUUUUAUUCAUAUUUUUGCUUUUUCCGUCAAUUUUGUUUCCAAAUUUUUAACCAUAUUUUGGUGUGAUGGAAAGACUAAAUUUUGGAGAUUUUUUUAUGUAGAGUUUUCCGCAUACUUGAUUAUCACAUUCGAGAAAUAUUAUUAUUGAUUAUACAUCUAAUACGAAUUUCCUGCAUAACAAGUUUUUGCUCUAAUGCAGACUUAUUGUAACCUUAAAUUCAUGGUCGUAACUUGUAAUUUGGAAAUUUUGUAUCAAAGUAUAUUUAAUUCCAAAGCAUACUGAUAAUUAAAAGUGCAUUUUGAAACAAAUUUAUACGAUUGUGACACAGGCUUAUUCCUUCUUCUUUUUUUUGGUAUCACACAUGCUUGUUCAUUGUCAUGGCAAACAUAUCAUUUUCAUUCAAGUUUAAUACUUAUGUCUUAAUUGAAUAAUGUUUUUUUUCCCCAUUGUUUUUUUAUUCAUCUCCUUUACGUUUGAAUGAUCUUCUUAAUCUACCAAAUAAUUCUUCCUUAUGUCAUCGGUCAAAUAACAUAAUCACGUACAUACAACAAAAACAAAUAUGUCAUCACAUAUGCCUAAAUCUAGAAAAUAAGUUUUCAUUUGUCAUCACUUAAUAUUGUAUGCCGGCAUAUGCACAUAUAAAGCUUUAGCAUGAGUAUAUGCUAUUAUAUAUGUGUAGAAAAUGUUAUAUCUGGACAGAUAUUUACUUCACUUUCCUAUAUUUACAUCUAUCCGACUAGAUCUUAUAAACUAUACAUAAGCUUUUCAUCUUGAAAAUUCAAAGUUCUCGUUCAACCAAAAGGUGAAAGAAAUAAUUAAACCACCCUUAGAUGGACAAAGGAAAAAAACUAAGCCAAUGGAUAUAUCUCAAAAGCACAACAAUCCAAGAUCAACAAUAUGGAUCAGAGGAAAGUGGAAAACCUCGGAAGAUUAUCAAAAUACCUAUUGCUUCCAAGAAAGACCAAAUUAGAUGUACCGUAGACUAUAACAUCAGUUUAAUAGUAACCUACAAACACAAUAGGACAGUCUAAUCAAGAGUUACCCGUGAUACCUAGAGCUAAAUUUUUAGUUUUUGUAUGAAAAAGUUUUAUGAUAUAAAUGUAAAAAAAAAAAAAAAAAAAACCUAGAGCUAAGUUGGAAUAACAUCCUACGUAUAAUUAUGGUAAUUUUCAGUAUUAUAUUCCACAUGCAGUAAAUUCAAUCGUCUCGCAAACAUUUAAACUUAUGCACACAUACAAAUAAGACAAAACGAGCCUUGCACAUGGAAUAUAUGCAUGCGAAGUAAGAAAUUAUCACGUUUUCCGGUUAGGAUUAUCGAAUCAAAAGACAUUUGGAUAUUUGAUACCAAAAUAUAUAUAUAUAUAUAUAUAUAUAUAUAUAUAUCAUAAACUUUUGGAAAUUAUUUCAAGCGUAGCAAAAAUUAUAAUAUGAUAAAUAAUUCCAGUAAUAUAUCAAAAUGUUUAUACUCAACAUGCGAAAAUAUAUGUCCACUUUAAUAUAUUAAGAUUCAGUCGACUAUACCAAAAAAAACUAAUAUUUAUUAUAAAAAAUAAGAUUACUUAUCUUUGAUAAUAAUUUAUGAUGAUUUUUCAUGAACCACCUAAACAAUUUGCUUUUAGUUUCAUUUUUUUUAUUGCUGAUUUAGAUUUCACCCAAAAAAAUUAUUAUUACAAAGCAAAAAAAGAUGCCGACAGACGGAAAGUGAUCAGUAAAGUCAAGACGAAGUAGAUGCAAUGCCAAUGUUAUCUCAUAUAGUAUUGUGUAUUGGAAAGAAAGAAAAAAAGAAAAAAACAAACAAAGCAUAUGGUAAUGUGAGUAUGAGAUGUGAUCUGAAGUGACCGAGAAGCCAAAAAGUUUGAAACUGUGUGAGAAAGAAACAUGAGAAUCUAUUGAAGAUGUGAAGAAAAAAGAAAAUAUGUAAAAGAACAAAAGUCCCACAUCUCACUUCUUUAUGUCCCACGUGUCCCCGUCGCAUUAUCGUGCGUAUCUAUUUUUCAGAUACGAUCUCAAUAAAUAUUUAUCAAAGUCAAAUUAACUUCAAAUUUUAUGGAUACAUUAUUACUUUAUGUAAGGUUGUCUUUAAUUAUGACUAUUAAGAAAAUUAUGUUUACAUGUAACCAUAUAUACUUUUAAUAGUUCUAAGGUAAAAUAAGUCAACACGAUUAUUUUAACUAAUCAUAUAUAAUUUGGAUUGUAUUCAAAAGUCAACACGAUUAUUUUAACUAAUCAUAUAUAAUUUGGAUUGUAUUCAAAAGUGAGUUUUGUUAGUGUGGCACUCUUGUGUAUUAUCAAUCAUUUUAAUUAAGACAUAAAACUUAUGUUAUUUGGUACAAAUUAUAUAUAUUUUGGCCAUGUAUAUUUUUAUUUUCCUAUAACUAUGUUUUAUGCAGAUUUAAAUGAUGCAAGGACACUUACACAAACCAUCACGUUACAAGUGACGUAUAAUAUUUAGACAAAUUCAACCAUAGUACUUAGAAUAUCAAGUCAAACAUGUAUCACAAUUUUGAAAUCAAGAUUUUGAAAGAAUGUUCAGUUUAAUAUAUCUGAAUAAGCAAAGAGAUAGCUUAGUGGAUUUGAAGACAAAGCUCUAAGUAAGUAAUGUGAAAAGAAAACUAGUUAAAAGUGGGGUUUGUUAAGGAGAAAGAAAAGAAAAGAAGGACCAAGAUAAAGUCUCAGAUGUUAACAUGUUCCCCACGAAUUACGUGCCAAGUGACCAACACUUGUUUCACGAGUAUGUUUGCGUGAUUGACGUCAACAUUCACAUACACAUACACACACACACGGACAUAAUCACUUUUUUCCUAUAUUAAUUAUCAUACUUAGAGAUAUAAUUAUGUUAUAGAUGAUGGAUCACAGAGAUCUGCGAAUCUUACUAACUCAAUCAAAAGUUAAUUGGGUGGUUUCUGAUUUGAUUAAGGCUUUUUCUUUGUACCAAAAAAAACUUAAUAAUUGUGUAAAACCCUGAUAUAAACUAAAGUCUUUGUUUGGGGCUGGAGAAAUGUCCCAUCUUGUCUCUCUUUUAAUUAUAUAUCUUCCACGAGAAUCUACAUAAUUCGUUUUCCUUGGUUGUUUCCUUGUAUCUUCUUUUAAUUUCUUUCUCACCUAAGCAAUAGCUUAAAUAGCUUACAAUUGAAAUAUGAAAUAUCGACAUGUGAAUAAAUUAACUAUAAAUAAAAUAAAUUAUAGCAAAUACUUCAAAGACUAAUGUAAUUUUUUCGAUCCGGUUAGUAACGACGUUAAAAGUUUUUUUAUAAGACAAAUGUUACAUAAAUCAACAAACACAGUAAAACAUAAAUGUAGGAGUACAAAACAUCUAAAAGUAAUUUCUUUUGUAUUGUUUUUCAUAUGGCUUUUAUGAUUAAUUACUACGACAAUGUUAUAUUUCAUACACAUUAAUACGGGAUUACCAAACGAAUCUUUAUAUGUAUUUUCACAGAUAAUCUUUAUUUUAAUCAACAUAGUUUCAUGGUAUUACAUUAUAUAUACAAAUCACUGGUGUUUACAUAAAUUACUUGUUUACAGUAUUCAUCUAGGAAAAUUCCACACUGCAGCCUUAUCGAAAUGAUUUGGGAUACAUAUGGUGUGAUAUGAAAUGAUAUUAUAAAGUUCAAUCAGAAGUGUGUGGAAGAUAUGCUUUAAAUUAUCAUUUUAUUUUUUUAAAUCUCUUGAGAUCUCUCUUUUAAUGGAGAUGGAGCACAUGAUCAUAGAAUUCGGCUCGGUGGGUUUGCUAAAACAUUUAUUCUAUUUUUGUCAAACGUCAAAUUUUGCCUAAACACAUUUAAAUAUAAUCAAAUAAUAUUUCUAUACUCCAAAUUUUGUAGAUUAGACCUAAUAUUUUCUGUAUAAACAUAAACUUAUAUAAUGGAUCUUUUGGAUAAAUGUGAGAGUUGAUUACGAAGAAUUCAUACGCUCCUCGAUACGCAAUACACAUGUUAUACUUCGAAUAGAGAAGACCUAAAAUAAUCUAAAAUUGUCACUUGUUUCUGGUGUAUGAUUAUAAUCAUGUUAUAACUAAAAGCAAAAAAAGAUGCACAACAUGCAAUUAACGUUCUGCUUUUUUAUCUUUAGCGGAUCCAAUGAAACUUUGUUUUUGACUUUCGUUAAUAAUAUGUUUUGUGCAUCGAGUAAUUUAUAUGUUCCUUUCUAGUGCGAACUCAAGGACGCUAAUAAUGUGUGUAUGGACCAUGGAUUUUUACUUAAAAAAACACAUACAAUCAUGAUAGAUAGGUCUAUCCUAUGACAGAAAAAUAAAUAAAGAUUGGCCUAUCCUAUGACUAGGGAAAACAAGGAUUGGCCUAUCCUAAAAUUAAUAAUCUAAGUGUUCAAAUGUAUGUCAUAGGUUUUUUUUUUCUUGUGGGGGGACCAGACAUAUAAGAUCAACUCCAUUGGCAUUGCUUAAUGGGAAGCUUAAGACAUUGCCUAUAUUUAUUGCAUUAUAUUUAAUACAAAUCAAGCACUUUUCAUAAGCUUUGUUGUCUAAUUAACUCUUUAAGCAAAGACUAAGGGCUACUUAUAAAUUUAUUUUUAAAAAAUUAAUGCAAAAAAAUGAAUAAGCACCCUCCCAUGGUUCUAACCAUUGGAGAUGGUCUAAGUCAUUUUUUUUACCUGAACUUGACAUUUUCAUUAAGUUCUCAUUCUUUGUUUUAUCAUAAGCCAAAACUAGCUAAGUACUUAUGUUAAAGUAUUUACUAAAUCAUUGUUUGUAAGUGUAACUAAUAUCUAAAUUUUUGUAGGUAUUAAAUUUAAGGUUAAUUGAUAAUGAGUAAGGAAAUUUAUAAGAUCCUUAUACGUUUUUUAAGAUAACGAGAAGUAUAUGUUAUUUCAAAUUGAAUCUCACUUUAAAACCGAUUUUAUUUUCGUAUACCGAUUUGAACGAUAUUGGUUUUUAGGUCCUGCCAACAUAAGAGAGGGAGCAAGUUUGGAAACUUUUAAAGUGAAGAAGGGAAAAAAGAGGAAUGAGAAAGGUUGUGAAAUGUGAGGAAGUGAGUGGACAUAGGCACGUAAGUUUUCUCCACUAAUGAAGGAUUACGCAUGUGAUUAUGGAUCCAUAUUCUCUAUCUCUUGCUACCUUUUUUCAUAAAACUGAUAUUAUUAUUUUUUCUGAUUCUUCUUCUAUUUUAUUCUCUUAGGGAGUAUAGGAAGUUAGGAACCUUAAGCCAUGUUGGUUCUAGUUUCUAGAUUUUUAAAAGCAAACUUGCAUAUAUCUUCUUAGGAUGGGAGACAAGACUUACUAAUCUUGAGUCUUAGGCAGUUUGAGAACUGGUUUCACCAGCAACUGCCCACACAAUACAAUAAUUUGGCCUAUGAUUCAUGGCUUAACUUUUUGCAUUGUUUAGAUUACUUCACAAAUCAACUUUAUAUUAAGAUAUGACCUAAGAAAAUAAAACUACUUUAGGUCGAGACUUAAGCACUUGGAAUAAAUAAUACAGUAUAUACUUAAUUAUGAAUAACAGUUUAAAAACAAGAAAAUGAGAUGAAAGCAUAUUGUCUUCUUUUUCUUUUCUUUUUUCACGAUUAUGCGAUUCCAUUGAAAAAAUCUUACCACAUGACUAAUAAUGGGUUUAAACAGAAUUUUCCAAAAGAAAUGGCGACAUCCCAACUCGUGGAAUAAUUUUAGAAAAUACAAAAAUUGAUGACAACCAAUAAGCCAAUAAGUUUGACAAUCUGAAAUAUAUAGUGGUGUUUAAUCUCUCUUUUGAUUAAACUCAUAAUUACAUUUUUAUUAUCUCUUCUUCUUACAUGUCCCGGCAAAAGUGUUAUUAUUUGACGAAUAGAACUACCAGCUGUCUAUAUCUCAAUGCUCUUGUCUAGCACCAUUUAGGUACCAAUGUCAAGUCUAUCAAUUUUGAUUAGAUAUGAUGUUAUAUAUAUAUUUUAUCAUUAUAAGAUCUCCAAGAUCAAAUUAAUGGCCCACCAAAUUUUGAUUAGCAGGGUUAAUACAACCAAUGGGGUUUAGCAUAAACUAAACUAAUGCAUAAAAAAAAUAAAGUACUAGCUAGCUCCCACACAAAAGGGGUAAUUAUAAAAAUAUAAUGUAGCUUUUGGCUCACAAGUGCGAUUAAUUUAGUCUAUAACCCACACAUCAGGAAGAGUAGAAGUCGACUUUUCAGUUUUUGAAAAGAAAAAGGAAAAAACCAAAAUUAGACAUUUGGGUUUUCAAGUCUAAAUCUCCUUUAACGGAUAUCUUCUUAAGUAUUUUUUAUGUAAGCCAGACAAAGAUGGUGGGGUGUGAUGAUUCAUCACAAAGUCCCAUUAUGAACUCCAAGUGACACCUAAUGUAGCUAAUUAAAUCUUUAAUUACACUUAUUUUCCCACUUUUCUUAAAGCAGAAGGGCUUUAGGUUACACAUUAAUCCAAGUGGGACACGUCAAGUGGUUGCAUUAAGACAUAUUAACUUCUCAAUGCCAAGUGCUAACUUAAUAUUCCCAAAUAAAGUUGAAAAUUUAAAAUGCUACCUUCGUUUUAGAUUAAAAGUGGUAUUAGAGUUUAAAUUUUAUUUCACAAUAAAUAUCAUUUUAAAUUCUCAAGGUAAAUAUUUGUUACAGUUUUCUGAUUUAUCUUUUUUUUUUAGUGUAUUGAUCGAUAAAAAUGAUAUUGUGUAUUAGUGAAGGAUGAAACUGAAAUUUUAAAUGAUUUUUUAACGUGUAAAAUAACAUUGUAUAAUGUGAAAAAAUGGACCUCUUGUGAUUAAAAAUUCCUUUUUAGAAAAACACUAUGCAUAAUGCAUGUUAGAUAAAGAUAGUGAUACUAAUAUACAAAUCCUUUAACUAUAUGUUUUGGUCAUGCAAAUACUCCAGUUAUAGAUCUAAUACGAUGUCGAACAACAAUAAUGGUUUUUUAAUAUUAAUCAUAUGAUCCAAGUCUUUACUUACUUUACUAGACAUUUCUGCAAUGUUCUCUGAUAAAGCCGUGAUGCAUGUGGUUUAGCAUUUGCUAGUAAACAAUUCAUAUGAUCAAAAAUAUAUAUAGUUGCCUUUGCAUAGACGGUGCCAUAUCGAUCCGUGAUUUCCAGAUAUAAAAUAAACAGCCACAUUUUAUGCCUCACAUCGAGGAAGCAACCAUGUAAAGCUGAUAUAUAUUUCUUUAAAGACUUUUUUAUAAAAAGAGAAUUUUCUUAGGUUUUGCGUAAGACGAAGAGGUAAACAAAGUCACAAGUGUGUAUGUCAGACUGAUUUCAUCACUUAUAAAAAAAUGAUGGUUGUAUCAAUUUGAUUACUACUUUUUUGAUAACAUAUGAUUUUUAAAGUUACUGGCUAUUUAAAAGUAAACUUAUAAUUAUAAUUUUCUCUUUUAAAUAAAGUUAAUUAUGAUCCCAAAGAUGAGAAGCAAAAAAACACAUCUACUACAAGUUAUUGAUUAGUACCAUGAAUCCUACCAAUAGCCAUUUCGUUAGCCGCCGGCACAAAUAAUUGAAUUACUUUUAAUAUUCUCUGAAAUCAUGUGGUCGAACUAGUUGCCUGAACUGUGUCAGUCUAGUGCUAAGAUGCUUGGUCGAUUGAUCACUCUCUUCUGUUAUUAAAUGUCAUUGAGUUUAAUGUCUUGUACUAAUUCUUCUUAGUUCACUUUGAUUUAAAGUUUAUUCAAUUACUAAAACAUGUUUAAACUAUUCUCUCGUAUCAACCUCUCUAAACCGCACUAACACAAAACUCAAUCACAUUGUUGUUUUAGUCCAAAAGGCUUCAAAAGUCAAAACAAGUUUAUCUUUUUUAUUAGUCGACCUUUUGAGAUAUUAAUAAUUAAUGUUAACAUAAGCCAAUAAUCACUCUACUUUGUGCGUUGAGUUUUAUAUAAUUUGACAUCCCCUUACUACACAUAUUGACGAUGUUUAAGUUGAAAUCUAGUCAUUUGACAUUUCAAAAUCACUUUUUAAAAAAAUACUUUCAUUAUAAGGAAAAGGCCAUGUAACUUCUACCAUACGCAUAGAGACUAAAGUUUUAGAAUCAUAUUAAACAUACUUAUAGCUUCACGAUCAAUCCAUUUGUCCAUCACUAAUACCAAAACCAAAUACUGUAUUCCAAAAAAAAAAUUGAUCGAGUGUCUUUAAUUGUAGUUUUUUGUUUUUCUUUAGGGAAAGUAUUGUUGUUAACUUGUCCAAUGUUCUAGUCAAGGGCCCGAAUCAAAAAUCUCAUAUUCUUCUAACCGAUAUAUAUGGCCCAACCCAAAGUGAAUAGGCUACUUUCCUCUGACCACAACAACCCUUCUACAACAAAAGAGUUUAUGGAGCUUAUGGACCAUUCCGAUGAACAUAUAUAUUUUCCCUAGAACCACAAUAGAAUGAAUGAACAAAACACACUUUUUGGUCCAUCAAGCUUUUUAUGAUCAGAUCCUAUGAGGUUCAAGUUGAACCAAUUUGUCUUGGAACUGUCUUUACUCUCUGGUCCGCCUGAGCUUUGCUGCUACUACGGUUUCUUCAAGAAAGUGGUGUAAUCUGAAAUCUCUCACCUUCCCACUAACUGAUGUACCAGUCAGAAGAGGACUAUAACUAUAAUAGUUCCAUUCAUAGCCUCUUCAAGAACAUUGGCAGACACAGUAGUUUUAAUACAUAAGAAACUGAAGCAAGUCAGGCGUUUUUCAAUUUGAAUCUUGAGUAAUAUCAUCAACCCACCGUGACAAUGAGAAUUCUGUUUUAUAUAAUAAAUAUAACAAACAAUGAAUUGAUGAAAGCAUAUUCAUACAAAAUCAAAACACUUCCCAUUCAAAGAGAGCUUUUUGCAUCUCUCUCUCGCCCAAUAUCUCAAACCAUUCCCAUGAAUAUAUAUAUGCCUACAUAGAGCGACUCAGUGAUGAACAAUCACUGAAUCACUUCUGUCUAACGAAUGAACAAAAUACCAAAUGACUCACAACAAAUCAGCCUUCUGGGUCAACCAAGCUUCUUAUCAGAUCCUUUUAGGUUCAAGUUGAACCAUUUCCUCUUUGCUUUGUCUUUACUCUCUGUUCCGCCUUCUUCUCCUGGACUAUCCCCAUCGCCACCUUUCGAUUCCUCUCCAUGAGUUUUGCUACUACUUCCAUUGCUCAAGUUGUUGCUGCUUGGUGUCUUCACAACAGAGAAGGUCGAAUGGAUUGUAUCCCGUUGCUUUAGCAGUUCAUCAACCUUCACCACAAACCAAACACUUUUAGAAUGGUAAAAAGUAAUAUAUACAUGUGCAAGAGGUUCACAAAAAUAAUAUCUCUCAAAGUAGAAAAUGCAGUGAGGAAUAAAAUUUUCAUAUAGAGAAAAGAGAUUCAUCAAACGUACAGUUUGUUUCUCCUGUGUGUAUCUGGUGGUAACUUCUUGAAACCGCGCCAAUGCCUUGCAAAAGAAUUUAGAAAAUUAUCAGGUUACAUGUCUCCCUAAAAUACUGACUGAGCUCUCAACUACUAGAAAUUUACUUUUCGGUACUCUGUUUCAAACUGCCGCAACUCAUUUCUCUUUCUUAAGAUUUGAGCUUCAAUCUCCUUCAACUUCUCUGUUGUGUCCUCAUAUGUCUUGGCACAGAGUGCCUCAAUCGUGUAGGAUGCAGUCUUAAAGAAGUUAUCACCUGAAAAGCAGCUAGAGACAUGUUAAACUACAGUCUCAAAAAAUCUCCAGCUAUCGUAAAUAACGAAAUAACUCAUACCAUAAACUGCAAAUAUAUGUGUGCCAGCUUUCAGUUCCGAAACCUCACAAGGUUGAAGACCUUCCAGUCGCUUGAAGAAAGCAGAUUCAGGGUCUUUGGCUGCAGCUAACUGCGCAAUAACCACAAUGUGGAUUGCUUUAAUACCUCUGCAUACUUUAAGAUGUCAGCUACAUAUGAAAGGAACAGAGCUCAUAAUUUUCAUACCGCAUUGACAGUCGAAUCCAUUCUGUACACUUGAAAAUGUAAGAAAUACAUGCCAGCUGAUGUCACCUUGCCUGUUUUCUCACUCUCUUCCUGAGAUAACAAAUAGACGUUUAAUGAUGUCAUGGAAUCACCAUGAGAGAAAUGGAAAAGCUUUCUUAAGAACUAGCAAAACUAUAUCUUUUCAGUAAUGGUGUAAAACUAAGACCAAUAUUCUUUUAAUACAAAGAGAAAUGAUUUAUACCUGCAGUGCCAGUCCAUAGCCGCCACUUGAAUCUUGCUCAAAAUAAAGUAACUGAAGAUGGAAAAUUUUAUAAGUUAGUCAUAGCGUUAAUUAGGUGAAACAGCUUACAAAUUAGUGGCCAAGGACAAGGAGCAUGCACUAAAUACACUAAACAUUAUCAGGAUGGUCAAAAAUGGCAUUCCAGUAAUACCUUAAAUUUACUUUGUGCUGUUGAAGUUACUCUAACUACGACCCCUGAUUCAGCUUGUUGCUCACUUAUUGUAACUCCAAAAAAAUGAGCGCAUUGCUUCUCAACCUGAUAUAAGAAAUUUGAUAACUUUCAAUUCCAAAUACAGGAUGAAAUGAGAUAAGAAGAUAAUCGUGUAAUCUGAGUUGAGUUCACACCUUUCCACUAACUGACGUUCCAAUAGGAAGGGGUCUAACUGUAACAGUUCCAUUCAUAGCCUCUUCAAGAACAUUGGCAGAUACAGUAGUUUUGAUAGGCACACCUAGUUUACUGAAGUUAACAAUUAUGAGGUUUAUAAAAGGUCAAUAUAAAGGAUUUGAAACAGAUUCCUUUCUUAAGAGCUCUGGAGAAAGAAAGAAAAAGGGAAACCAACUCGACCUGAACAAUGCUGCAAACAUGGUAUUUACAGUCCCAAGGUUUGACAAGUCAAUUUCCAUGUCCAUUCCAUCAGCAUCAAGGGCCUAAACAUCAUAAAACAACUCUUACUGAAGCUACAAGAAUGUGUAUCACAUUACUAAAAACCGAAAAAGAUACAAUUUUAUACCUCAAACCCUGCAUUGUCAUAGUGUCUUCUCUUUUCUGGGUCAGACAAAAUGCUAUACGAAAAUGCAACCUCCUUAAAAAGUUCAGAAGCAUCGGGAUUAUUCGCAUUCUUAUCCGGAUGAUACCUAUCAAUAGUUUGGGAUCCAGUAAAGAAUAAGCAUCUUCUAAACAAAGUCAAAAGCAUGACAAUAGAGAUUCUUAACAUAUCAAAGUCAGUGAAACGAAUGAACUACACACACCAUCCUCUCUCAAUUCAUUACGAAAUCUACACAUGAGGAUUCAAAAUAGGACCAAUCUCAGAUUCCCAAUAUAACAAAACCAGAAACCCUAAGAAAUCAAUUGCACACAAAAACCAUGAAAUUGAAGCGAAAUCAAAUAAGAUAAAUCUUAUAGGUCUGAUAACAAACACACAUAUAUUUGCUAUCACUUAGCUUACUUGAGAGCUAAUUUUCUAUAAGCGGAUUUGAUUUCCUGAUCGUUUGCGUCCUUUGAUACACAAAGAACCUCGUACGGAUCCCGUCGAUUCGCCGGAGCCGACGUACCUUCCACUUUCUUCGCACUCAUCCUCCGCCGACCCAAAUCUUCCGCCUCAACCACAGAUGUCUCGAAAUUCAAACGGAAGUUUGCAGAUCCAAGACGUAUUCAGGUAACUUGAAUCGAGGGGUUUGAAACUCUGAAAGAAACGAUGAGCGAAAGAAACCAGAAACGAGGGAUCUUAAGAAGCUCACCAAAUAAGAGCGAAUUGGGGAAGAAGAUCGAGAAGAAAAGCUUACGAAACAAAAGGGUUUCAAAGGAGAGAAGUCCCCAAACAAACAAAAAAAUACAAAGGACCAAACAAAAUAAAUCUGUUUUAUUUAUUUUUUUAUUUCGGAUGACGUAAUUUUCAUAAUGAAAACAAAAGAAGAUUUUUAAAAAGAAUAUAAAAAAAAAACAAUACAUAACUCGUUGAUUUUUCAAAAGUUUCCUUUUUUUGUCAACAUAUUACGACUUAAUUGGAAACUUUAAUUUCUGAAAAAUGGAAAUUGCUAAUUUCACAUCUCUUUUUUACUGAUUUUUUAUAUAUUUUUUGUUAUUCCAGUGGACAUUACAUAUAGUAAUUGUAUAAUAACAAGAUUAAUUACAUUAAUAAUUACAAGUGGUUUGAUAUAUACAUUAUUUGUGGUAUAGUAGUAACUUAAAUUUUCCAAAAUUAUAUUACUGAAAUUAAAAAAAUUACAAGUUUAUGUUACAUGGAUAAUUGACAUGCAUGUGACUACUAUGCAUGUUUUAUACUUUAGCUUUAUUAACGUUGUUGUUAGUGAUAGAAGACGACCAAAAAUAUAUGAAUACGAUAAAUGAUUCAAACUUAGGUCAUUCAAAAUCUUUACUAUUGAUUUGGGAUGAGAAUGGAAUAUUAGAAUAUGGUGAAAACAAAAAAAAUGUGGUUUACAGAGGCCAAAGUUUAUUUUUCAACUCAUAAUUUUCUUAAAAUGUUUUAGUUAAGCCAAAACAACUAGAAAGAAGAAUCAUGUCAAUGGUCUUUAAUUAUGCACAACACAAGUCAUCAUCAUAUAACUUAACACUCUUCGUCCUUUAGCCACUCGCCCACUUUAACAACUCCAUAUUCACCUCAGACUCACCAAACAAUCUCUAUUGAUCGAGGCUCGGACUCAUGUUUACUAGCGUCGGGAUAUAUAGUGCUCAUAAGGACAACGAGAGUAAGCUUUGAACAUUAACCAGUAGAACGUGUCGGAGACGAUCACUAGGGCCAUGGCUCGGUCUAACUCGAACCACUGUGAGCGUUUGCGCUAGUGGUGCAUGUGGAUGUGACGAUACAUGCGGCGGUCGUAGGCUCGUAGCGGACACGACCAAUGGAGAGUUCGUAGGUGUCAACGUGGGUUUGAGUGGAGUCAAUGAGGAAGGAGUAAACAGAGGUGAAGUUGAAAAGAGGGAUGCAUGAUUCGGAGAGAAGAAUGAAACGUUCGUUGUUGAUGUCUAAUAAAGCAUUUGCUAGUAACCUUCGUUCUGCUUCUACCAUGUUUGGGUUUGCCCAAUCCACCUCUACGUGCGUUUAUAAAUAACGACGUUAUUAGACUGAUAUUUAAGUGUUCAAUUUUAUUUUAUAAUAAUAAGAUUAGUAUACAAGAAAUAACAAGUUUAUGCCAUAGAUUUGAUUAAGAAAUUAUCAUAAGAAAUAAUUAUAUCAUAAUGAUUUAUAGACCUUCAUAUCCUCGAAAGAACCUUUCUCAUAGAGGAGCCAAAGGUAAAGGUCCCCAAGUCAAGAACAUGAAAGCAACCUUUGGGAUUCUAGGAGACAAGUGUAAUCUAUGAUCUUGGGAUCUUGUGAAGCUCUCCAAAGAAGCUCAUCAUCUUCCAUAUCGUGGUUGAUGUUUUCUCCGGUGGCUUCAGAAACAUUUUGAUCCGAUUUUUCCUGAGAUGAAGGAGGGGGAGAAGGAGAAGGGGUUACAAGGACUAGUUGGGAGACGCUUUGGAUGAUUUAGCAAAGAAGGCAAUGAUAAGGAGGCUUGUAGACAAGAAUGAACAAUGACAGCAACUAUCACGCCGAUGCAUAGGACAAUGAUGUUGAGUUUUGGUUCUUUCGGAUCGCCAUUUUCAACUAGAGAUACACGUUUAAGAGAAUUCUUGUUUCUGUAUUUCAAGGUUUCAAAGAGAGGAUAUAUGGAUCUCAUUUACUAGUUGAAAUGAGGUGAUUACAUUAAAUAUUUUUAAUCUUUCACUAUCAUUAAAUCUUUUUACAUCAAUAUUAGUUUACUUUAGAAUUGAUGGGAGAAAAGUAGACUAAUGGGGGAUUUGAAUGUUCUAUUUGUAGUUUCGCUAUAUAUUAGUAGUUUUCUUUUGUCGCAAGUUUAAGUUUCUCGCUUUUACGUGUUAUAUACCCAUAAUAUGUUAAUGUGACCGAUGCAUAAAAAAACGUCCUAGUUUAAAUUGCUUAACGUUUGCAACAAUUACAUUUUAUAUAACAAAAUGAGAUCGCCAUGAAAACAAUACUCUAUGGAAACUUAAUUAGCACCAUGCACAAGUUAAAACAAAGUCGGGAUUUGUUAUAAAUGUUGGAAGUAAACUAUUACUAGAAUGAAAUGACGCGGCUUAAGAUAUAGGAUUUGGUCAGAUUGCUAUUAUAAUAAAUAAAACACUAAAUUAGAACGUUUAGAAUAAAGAUGAAAAUUUCAUAUACUCGACAUUUUUUGUAUGCAAUUUUAUAUGACAUGAUAACCAACUCCUAUGAAGAACAUUACACCCCUUAAACGGUAUAAAACUGUUACAUGGAUGGAAAAAGCAAACUAGCGAUAUUCAUAAAUACAAGUCAUAUAAAGUAUUCAAAUUUAACUAUAAACACAAAAUGCAUAACUAUAUAAUUCUAUAAACUCAAUUAUGAAUUAUGUAUAUUGUAUAUGGAAGUCAACCUUGAGAAUUCUAAACUGAAAUAAUAAUAGGAAUUUGUUGCACUAAAUAUUGAAAAUGAAACUAAUUGGUCAAGUUUACGUGUAAAAGUUGUAUAUGAUGAAGAGAUGAAUAAUUGUGCAACACGUGGCAUUAAUCUCGGGGAAGUCAUUACGCAUAGUUGGAAAUUUCAUUCUCUUUGGGGUAAUUAAGAUUUUGUUCCUUUUUUUCCUGAAAACGAAAUUAAUCUUUGAUAUAAUAUUUCUCUAAUCUUAGUUUUAUUUUUAUUCUUGAAUCAGUUGAGAACCGUCAGACUAGACGAAGACUAAUGAUGGCUGAAACUUUGUGGCACACAAGCCCCUCUAUACUAUGGUCUAUGGCUGCGACUGCGAACGGAAGACAAAACCGUAUGGUCGACCAAUAAAACACAAAUAUUUUUAGUUAUUUUACAAUAUUAUCAAGGUUUUUACAAACAUAAUCUGUGACAAAACCUUGAUCUUACCAUGGUAGAUAAAAAAAAAUAUGUGUGGUCGCAAAUGGUAACACACCAUUUUAUUGUGAGAAAUUAAAAAUGUUGAAACGUUACUAAAUAAAAUGGAAAAUAAAACGUCGAUUUAUUUAUGUUUUUAUCUUUAAAUUUUCCAGCUAUAUUUUCCCUAAACUUAUUUGAAUUGGCGGAUUAGCAUUUAUUUUUCAUUGAAUAUUGUAAGAAAAUAGAAUUUCACUCAACAUAGAUAUUGACGUUUUUUUUCAUUGGUUUUCGUUAAAUAUUAAAUACAUAUUUAAUGAUUUUCAUUUUCAUUUUGAUUUACAGAAAAGUCAGUCACGCGUAAGAUUUAUUUUUCAGAUUAAAUGUAUUUUUGAUGAAAUUAAGAAAAUUAUUUGUAUAUUCCAAAGUUUUAGGGAUAUUAGCUAAUUAAAUUUAGAGAUAGUCACUAAAUUUCAGCUAUUCUACCAAUUGACCAAUUUUGAAAAUGUUAGAAAUUAAAAUUCACCAUCAAUUAUGCAUGAAAAGCUGCCAAAUUCAGUUUUUGUAUUAGAUUCCACCGUUGCCUAUUUACAUCUUAUAUAAAGUUCUUUCUUUUUCUCGACGACAAGAAAAUUCCACAUUUCAACCCCAAAAUUUUAUAUUUUAAUUUGACCCAAAAGAUAAAGAGAACUCAAUAACAACAACAAAAAAUAUAUAUUGAAAAUUUCUCCACUUGAAAAAGCGGUAUCGUAUCUCUUGCCCUUAAAGCAAAGAACUUGUCUCUAGCUCCUUCUUCAUUCAAACUUUGUUGAUUACAUUCACUCCUCUUUUGGAACAUCAACACAAGCUAAGCACACAAUUCUCUCUGUCUCUCUCUCGAUGAAGAACCCAAACUCAUCAUUGUCUUCCUCAACACCAUCUAGAACAACAAAGCUUCUCAAUGCUCAAUACCAUCACUUUCUCAAUCUCCUCUCUUAUUCUCUUAUCCUCUGUUGUGGCAUAAUCAUUGGCAUACUUCUCCAUUCCUCUCUACAAGACUUCUCUUCUACGUCUUCACUAAGCAUCCAACGCAUCUCUCAGCUCUUCGUCGUCUCCUCUCUUCCUCCUUCUCCUACUCUCCCCCUUCCUCCUCCUCCUCCACCUUCUCAGCCCGAGAAAGAUGGGCUGGAACGCUUUAUUAAGCCACCAGAGAAGCUUAUGCACGACAUGGAAGACGAAGAGCUUCUUUGGAGAGCUUCAAUGGCACCCAAGAUCAAGAAUUACCCUUUUCCUCGAACACCAAAGGUUGCUUUCAUGUUCAUGACAAAGGGUCAUUUGCCUUUAGCUCGUCUAUGGGACAGGUUCUUUCGCGGGCAUGAAGGCCUUUUCAGCAUCUAUGUUCAUUCAUACCCUUCUUACAACCAGUCCGAUCCUGAAGAUUCAGUCUUCCAAGGCCGCCACGUUCCAAGCAAGGUCAGCUCCCUACAAUUUCCAAUAUAAUAAUUUCUUUUAUGAGUUUUAUUUUUUGGAAUAUGAAAUUUAUUACUCUUUUGAGUUCACUAGUCCUGUAAAACAAUAUCAAAACGUUAAGUUGACCUCUCCUUUGUCCUAACAUACAACAAAAUAGUGUCCAUAUUUCAAAACUAGAAAUUGAAACCAAAAAUCGUAUACAUUUUACAUUUAGUAAUUAAUGGAGUUUUUGAUGUCAAAAAUAUUCUUUACAUAUUUCGAUUUUUCGAGAAAUGUGUGCUCUUGUGUUAUAAACAUGCUCUGACUCAUGUGAUUGAGUAAUUAUCAAACAAAAAUCUCAUACUAAAAAGAAUAAAAUUGAUAAGGAAUUGUAAAGGGAAUGUAAAUUAUCUUGAACAAUACGAUUUGCUUUUUGUUAAAUAAAUUAUAAUACCUUUAAUCAAGCAAUUUUUUGUGGUCCGUCGGUGCCUAGUGCUAACAUAUAUUAUAAUACAAUAACUUGCAUGGUUUCGUUUUUUAUAUUUGGUUAUAGUUAUUGCAUGGUUUCUAGCUUCAUUCGUUUAACAUAUCGCUUUUGCCGACGAGUAGUAGAGACACAUACUCAUGUACCUGUAUGUGUUUCUAGUUAGCACAAACGCAUGUGUCUUAAUUAUUUCCCACCAUGACUUUCUCAAGUUGAGAGGAUUCUUCUUACGAUGUGACUUUUGUUGACGACGGCUUUGUGUGUCUCUUUUAGAACUUCUUAAUAAGGAAAUAUCUACAUAAAGGUGGUUAACAAUUUAGACUUUUAAUCUUGUUUCAGUCGAUGGCGACUCUUUUACUUUUACUUCUCUUGGUCCAUUCUUACACGCGGUUGUUUGAAUAUAGUUUUAUUUUAGGUGAUCAUGUACGUGUACGUACACUAGUCGGAUUUUUAGAAAUUUAUGCUACUCAUGUAUUUGGAUCUUUCUUUUGUAGUCAAACUUAGUUUGAUUUCUUAAUAUGGAACAUGGCGUCAUCAAAUUAACUUUGCACUUUUAUGAGAAUCAUUGCAACGUGUAGCGUUACUUGUAAAAGCACUAUUUCCGAAGAUUUAUCACAAAUAUUAUAAUUUUCCAUACGGGUUUCUAAUUUUACUAUUAUAAUAAUGCAGAGAGUGGAUUGGGGAUACGUGAAUAUGGUGGAAGCAGAACAAAGAUUACUAGCAAAUGCUUUAUUAGACAUAUCAAACGAACGAUUCGUACUUCUUUCUGAAUCAUGCAUACCUCUUUUCAACUUCACUACCGUUUACUCUUACCUCAUGAACUCAACUCAAACUCACGUUGAGUCUUAUGACCAACUUGGUGGAGUUGGACGUGGCCGAUACAGCCCUCUAAUGCAGCCACAUGUUCAGUUACACCACUGGCGUAAAGGCUCCCAAUGGUUCGAGAUGGACCGUGCCAUGGCCCUAGAAGUCAUCUCCGAUAGAAUCUAUUGGCCUCUCUUUUACAGUUACUGUCACCAUGGUUGCUACGCGGAUGAACAUUACAUCCCUACACUCCUCAACAUCAAAACAAACCUGAACCGGCGCAAUUCGAACCGGACACUCACGUGGGUCGACUGGUCCAAAGGUGGCCCUCACCCGAACCGGUUUAUUAGACACGAGGUGACUGCGGAGUUCAUGGAGAACCUUAGGAGUGGUGGUGAGUGUCUAUACAAUGGAGAAAAGACGAAUAUGUGUUAUCUAUUUGCUCGCAAGUUCUUGCCUACUGCUCUAGACCGGUUGCUCAGGUUCUCACGUAUUGUUUUACAUUUCUGAUUAUUUACUAUUCUUCUUUCAUUUAUUAUUUUUAUUUUUCAAUAUUCUUCACCGUGAUAUUAUUGUAUAAUUAAUCUUUUGAUUAUUCGUAAAUGAGGAGUUUAAAAAAAAAAUUUAUUUUAGGUGAUAUUCAUCUCUAAACAUUCCAUCAAACUUUUCUUUUUGCUAAUUCCGUAAAAUCAGCCGACGAAAACAAGCUUCAACGACUACAUAUGUUAGAUAUUUUACGUUUAUUUAGUUGACUAUCGUGUAAACUCUAUUACUAGUCUAUGCAACAAUGUUACAUACUAUACGAUAACAUGCGCACAUGCUUGCCACAUAACUCUAUAAAGUCAUUUCUAGUUUCUAUCGUCCGAGAGAGAUUAGAAUAAUGGACCGGACUUUAAGGCAUUUCUUGUGGGAGUUCCCUUUCAUUCAGGCCCCGGCUUUCUAGAGUAUGCAUGCACGUCCUUAGUUAAUACCUAGACUAGGGUGAUGAUUGGUGUAGAUGAUCGUUGAAAUAUAUAAAAUUGACCCAUUUAGAUUCAGUGAAAUGGUAUCCAAAAUAGGAAAGGUACAUUCUAUAAAUAAAAAAUUUCAUUCAAAUCAAUAAGGGAGAUUGAAACAUUUCCAAAGAUUACAAUACUGUUCUCAAGAUCAUAACUUAAAAAUCCACUCCAAAAUAUCCGAUAAUUCCAAGAAAUUCUCGGAAACAUUCUAGUUUGAGCGUAAUAAGGUAUUUGCAAGACACUAGAGCAAUGUUUAUACAAACUAGAAAACCAUAUAAAUAUUAUACUUGGUGCCCAAAUCUCGAUACUUUUUUUUACCAUAAAUUAUGUUCCACAUGAUAACUAAAGCCUAAAGGCACGAUAGCUAAGCGUGUGAAACGGGACUAUCAGAAUAGUAUUGAAAUUUUUGUUUACCCCUAAUCCAAAAACACUAGUGAGAGACUCACAUAAUUAUCAUAUUACAAACUAAAACGAAACAAACAAAAACCAAAGUCUACUACUCUAGAAGAAUGAUAAAAGCUGAGAUUCUAGCUAGGCACGUGAUUUACAUUUUUGUAGUAAACAAAUCUUACUACUGACUAGUAGUCCCACCGCACGUGUCCUCGGACAAGCAUGGCGAGUCCACCGCAGAAUUGAUCCCAUCAUUGCCCGGCGAUGCCUCAGAGCCACCACCACGUAUGUCCUCUAUCAACUUCACAACAUGACCCAUCUUCGGACGGUGAUCAGCCGCAACCGCAGUGCAAGCCAUAGCAAUCUGUAGCAACCCCACCAUCUCUUCCUCUAUAUCCUUAUACCUCAUCAGCUCCAAAUCAAACACUUCAGCCGUCCACUCUUCCCUCACAACCGAUUGUACCCAUCUCGGUAAAUCCACUGCCCCACCCGCACCGCCUGAGUGACCAGUUUCAACCAUAUUAGGACAUUUUCCGGUAAGUAUCUCCAAAAGAAGCACUCCAAAGGAGUAAACAUCAGAUUUUUGGGUAUGUUUUCGGCCAUCCAUCAGCUCCGGCGCACGGUAGCCGUUGGAUUUAGCGACGCUUAACGAUGGCGCGAAGAUAGAUAGCCCGAAAUCAGAAACACGAGCAUUGCCUGAUCUGUCAAGUAGUACAUUGGUGGAUUUGAUAUCACCGUGUGCAAGCUUCAUGGUUUUACAAGAACCAUGGAUGAAAGCUAAGCCACGCGCCGCCCCAGCCGCAAUCUUAAGGCGCGUGGUCCAGUCCAACGGAGACCUACCCGGUCCACGGUUACCUGUCCAAAACCCAAGCAAAACAACAACAUUACAAAUUUGCCACUCUACCUCAAAAAAAAAUGUAAUUAGUCACUUUAUUAGUUACUAAAAACAAUGAAUAAAGUCAUAAACAAAUGGUUAGGUAAGGACAAAACACAAGAAACUAAACAAAAAACGAAUAAAGUUCCCAUAAAGAUCGAUUUAAAUGAGACAGAUCAGAACUUUAUUUGUCCAACUUGUUGCCAAUGGUAGUGUCUAUCCAAAACAGACUUAAAUUUCUCAUUAUCUACAACAUAGUAAUAACAAAUAUCUCAUGAAAAUGAUAUUUCAACAGUUUUUCAAACAUAUAAAAAUAUGAUAUCUCAUUCUCACUAACUCCAAAAGAUUUAAACCCUACUACUCUUAUGACUUUUGGCGACUACUCUAUGUAACCAAGUUCCAUAGUUUCUUUCUCCUCAUAUAGAAACUAAGAAACAUUAACCUAAUAAGCAAACUAAUUAGUAAAAGGAAUGAAUCAAAAAUGACAACGUACCAUGGAGAAGCCAGUAGAGACUACCAUUAGGCAUGUAAUCAUAGACAAGAAGCUUCUCUUCUCUAGCAAAGUAAUAAGCUUUCAAGCUCACAAGAUUAGUAUGACGAAGCCUUCCUAAAACCUCCAUCUGUUGCUCAAACUCUUUCUUUCCGGCUACAGUCACUGCGUCUUUAAGCCGCUUCACAGCAACCUCAUUGCCAUCUUCAAGCACGGCUUUGUACGCCGUCCCGUAUCCUCCUUUCCCUAACAUCUCAGCCGAUGCUCUGAGAAGAUCUUCUAGCUCAAAACGUCUAGUUCCUUCGAAAAAUACCAUUUUGCCCUUGUCACCACCUUGUUGAUUCUGGUUGUUGUUGUUGUUUUGUGCUGAUGUUGGGUAAGGACUUGAUGAGUAGACUAUCUUCUCUCCUUCAAGAACCUUUGAGUGUUUCUUCUUGUUCACUGCGUACUGUCUCCAGAAACAGUAGUAGAGAAGGAGAGAGACGAAGCUUAAGAUAAUGAAGUCUCCGAGGAUGAUGGCUACGAGUGAGACAGUACUGAUUCUUGAUGUGUUGCUUUUGUCGCCGCCGGAGUGAAUUGAGGUUGGUGAUGAAGGUACGGUUUCAGGGUUGGAUAAAGGUGAAGCCUUUGCUUCAUCGGGUCGACCCGGUUUAGUCGGGUCACUAGAGAGUUUGCUACAUUUUAGCAAUGGAGGUCCACAGAGAGAUGGGUUUUGUGUAAAGACUGAUUCAGGGAAUUGAGACAACGAAUUUGGUAUCUGACCGUUGAAGUUGUUACCGGAGACGUUGAAGUCUUGUAAAUCGGAGAGGGUUAAGUUCGGUAUUUGACCGGAGAACCGGUUUGACUCUAACCGGAGAGUGAGGAGAUGGGUUAAAUCGGUUAAAUCCGGUGGAACCUCGCCGGAGAAGUUGUUGAAAGAAAGAUCAAGACGGUAGAGACGAGUGAGUGAAGUGAUUGAAGUAGGGAAGUCACCGGAGAAUUGGUUGUGUGAUAAAAAUAGAAGCUUUAAAGCAGUGAGGUUCGAGAGGUUUGGGAUUGGACCAGAGAGGUUGUUAUGUUUGAGACUGAGAACUCUGAGUGAAGUGAGUGAAGUGAGUGGCGAGAUUGACCCAGUGAGUCCGAUGUCUUCGAGGAUUAGCCGUGUGACUCGGUUGUUGUUGCAGGUGACUCCGGUCCAUUGGCAUGGUUUUGUUGUAGUGUUCCAUGAGUUGAGUUUUCCGGUGGAAUCAGCGGUGAGUUUGAAGUUCAAGAGAGCUUCUGAGUCAGAGCUUGAAGAAGAGGAAAUGAUACAGAGAUGGAGAAGAGAGAGAAGCAAAUGUGUAUUGAAGAAAGAGCUUUUGGCCAUUGUUGUGUGCAGAGACAGAGAAGAGAGACAAGAAAAAAGUGAGAGAGAAUAGAAACGAGCGUUGAGGACUUCAAGACAGAACAGAGUGGUAUAGGUUCGUAAUUAACGCAAACAGUAACGUAAACUUAACCUAAAAUGACUAAUGUACCCUUCUCUGAUAUUUUACUGUAUGUGAUGAAACCUGGACCGUACGAUCUUGCUUUAGAUUUGACCAAAGGGUUUAUAUAGUUUAGUCAAAGGGUUUUGAUUUUCCCCGUAACGGUAAAGUAAUAAAUUAGUUGGGUAUGUUCACACGCGUGACUAUGAUUCUCACGUGUUAAACUCUCUACAUGUGAAGAAGAUUAAUGCUCUCAUAAUUACUUUGUUUGUAAAACCAAAAAAUUAAAUUCUCUGUCAAUCAAAUCUUACAAAUUCCCAAAAUCUCAGUUCUUUAUACAGAAAUAUUUUUUCUUUUUGCCUUAUUAGGAGAUAAUCUGGUAAAUAAAGAGAAAAUUGUGGGGCUUUCCUUUUUAUGAUUAUUGAUGUAUCAGCAGCUUUUUUGGCUUUUGUCAUAAUAAAUCAGAAGAAGCUGAGCUUUUUUUGGCUUCAACAAUGUCUUUGCUUGUUUCAUGCAAAAUUGUUCCCCACCAUCAUACAUAAUUGUGGCAACCUUACAAAUUCCAUUAUUCAGAUUAGGCUCCAAAUAAAAAUAGAACUGGACAGUGUGGUGUGGUUAGUAACAAAGAUAUAUGCAUUUAUAUUUUUGUUACUAUUAGAACCGCACUAUAUUUUUUCCGCGUUUGCAUCGUACAUUAUCAUUCAAAGCUUUAAAGCUUUCCGUUUAGUAAUAAAUAAAACAAUAAAGAUAUAUGUAUAAGCGCCAUAAUUUCAUGAUCUGUUUUUUCAAAGUUGUUUCAAAAUAUAAUGAAAAUGUAAAGUCCCAUAAUUUCAUGACACUUUUAAUUUAUAUCAAAAUAUGUUAUGGAAAGAAAGAAAGAAAAAAGAAAAGCAAUUGGAAUAAUCUUUUGGCUUUUAUUUACUAAAAACCAAGUUUUGAUUGAGUAACAAGUAAAAAUAUGCCAAAAGGAGAACAAAUUGGAGCGUAUGCUUUAAAGGGUAUAAGGUCCCUACUACUACAAGUUAGUACAUUUGAAUCAAAAAAUCAUACCAAUCUCGUGUCUUCCCUAGGCUCCACAUUACGACCAUCCCUUACGCAAUGGUCGUUGAUCCAUGCCAAUCUCUGCUUUGGAGGUUUUGGAACAAACAUCUUUGAUUUGAGUCCAAUCAGAUAUAGUAUGACCUAAUCCAAAUCAUUCGUUCUUAAAGAAUGGGCAAAGAGAGACGACAUUUGAGCUUUUGUUUAUCCAAACUUUUUCAUAUAUUUUGUUUUUGUUUUAAGUAUGAAGACAAGCUUUUUUCACAUCGUAUACCAAAUCAAUCCAAACUCACUAUAAUGAACCCCCGAUUCACAGCAGGUCUACUAAACUUUUUAUUAAUCGAAUGGAGUGUAAUAAAAAAGAACCAACGAAGAAAGAAUUAUAAUGAACGAAUAGAGAGUCUGUGUGUGUUUGUGUGAGGAGAAGCAGAGAUACCAUCUUUCAUUCUUUAGAUGACUUUAACUCCGCUUGGGCGUUUCCCUUCCAUCGCGUCCUUUUUGUCACGACAGUCUGUGCAUAAGAACGGUCCUUGCCACGGUUUUAGACUUGUUGAGAAGAUCGAACCCGCGUGGACUGAUAUCCCAUCGCUUGGUGCCAAGUCUAGUUGGCAGAUCGCACAUGUGAAUAUCCCUCCUCCUGUUGUUGAUUCCUUAGAACAAUCACCUGAUCCUAACCUGCAAGAAAUAGCAUCAAAGUUGUUAGAUAGGUCGCAAAACGUAAGAUAACUUCCAAAAGACUUUUAUUUUUAGGGGGAGAAAAAGGAGUGACCUUUCAUCGAGCAUUGCAGAGCCUUCUUCGAAGAGCUCUUCCACGAUACCAACACUAGAGAGUUUCUUGGAGAGUUUGUUAGAUGAGUUUGAUUUCUUUCUGAACAGCAAAGAUUUAAAAAAGUUGUUGUGUUUCUUAGGAGGAGAAGGCGGUGGUUCUUGGAAGUUGUCGGGUGGGAUUAUGUCGACCACAACGCACGUAGUGUCAUCCUUAAGUCCCCUCUUUCUCAAUGCUUCCUGCAACAGAAACCUCAAGACUCUUUAGUUCACUUCUUUACAAGCAAAAAGGUUACACAAUUUGAAACUGUGUUACCCAUAUUAAAUUACCUUAACUACUUGUCUAGCAGCAAGUUCAGCGGAUAAUCCGCGGCAAGUUUUCGCAGCGGCUUCUGAGGAGAGAGCAUCCCAUAUGCCAUCUGACGCGAUAAUAAGCCUCCCGCCGAGAUUUGAUAGCUUUAUAUACAUAUACCAAUUGUGAAGAACAGUGUGAGAGUUUGUUUUUAAAUGACGAGACAAAUCUGUAAGAAAACAUUCGAAGAUAUAUAUACCUUCACUUGCUUUACAAAGGGAACUGGAACUAUGAACUCCCCGACAUCCAUAUCUCCGAUAGACCUUGAAAGGCAGAGACCUCCGGGCCAACACCGUAGAGGACCAAUCUGCAGAAUUCAAUAGUUUUUUUCAAGGCUCAAAACUAAAAAGUAAGCUGCUUAAAUGGGAAAUACAGAGUUUUAAUACAACACACCUCAACGCCUCCAACAAUGCUUAGCCUGCCAACUUCUCCACCACUAGCAGUAACCCGUUCCCUCCUGAAUCAUAAUAUAAGGGUUUAGAUUUAGAUUCUGCUUUACAAUCCCAAAAACAAAAAAUUUAGAAAGAUUCCUUAUUUCAGGUACAUACUCUUCUGUAUUAUCUUCAAGCCUGUGAUCCACAGUAAGGUUGGAAACUGAACCACCCUUAGUAUCCAAGAUGCAGCGAGAGUCUCCAACACAUGCAACGGUCACAGUCCAUCCAUCUACUAUCACAAAUGUGGCUGUUGUUCCAGAAGUUUCUCCUAGUAUCAAGAGAGGAAUAAACUACACAUCAGCCACAAGUAAAGACAAACCAAAAGUGGAAGUGAUGAUAUCUAGAAAACAUACCUCUGCUCUGAAACUCCUUAUCAGUCUUCACGAAUCCAGAAACUAAUGCACGGGGUAAGGCGUGAAGCCAUUCAUCACGGCUAAGCCCACUGGGAAGAGCACUAAUAACAUGAUCCAACAGAUUCUCCCUUGUAAAAACCGCUGCAGCUUUCCCAUUGUGCCCAUCAAAUACCUAACAGAUGGGCAAAGGCAACAUAAAACUAUAUACAGUCAAACAAACGACAUGGACAGGGUAGGUGCAUCAGUAGGAACUUAUCCAUACAAAGUCAUCUAGUUGAACAAUCAAACAGUGAGGUUCCAAGACUUAAUCUGCAUUUCUAUGGUCCUGCUACUCAAGAAUACUCAAUUCAAGAGUCUAGUUGCGAAAAGGAGUAACAUUUCAUAAGCUAUUACGAUCAUGUAUCUGAAGUAUAUAUACCGCAAAGACAGAGAACGCAGUUGAAGAAUUGGAAGGAACUCGCAAACUAUCAGUCUUGAUCAAGACAUAAUCUUCUCCUUUCCUAGAUUGAGCAGCUUGUCCAAAUCUCACAAUCGGUUUCUCCAUCUUAGCAGCUUUCGUCUCUCUACUAAUCAAAGCAGCAAGAGGCACAAGCUUCUCAUCAUGAUGAUGAUUAUGAUUACGCCUCUUUCCUUCUCUAGACGCCAUUACAGCAGCUUCCGAAUUAACCCUUUGUGCUCUCAAAAAAUCUUAUAACCCUUUACUAAAACCAAUCUUUCUGACCCAAGAAGUCAUGAAUUUGUAACCAAGAAACCCCAAAAGCAACCCAAGAUACAAACUUUACCUGCAAAUUACAUUGAAGAAGAGCAAAUCUGAAUCAUUUAGUAUAAGAAAGUAUCUAUUUUUAAACUACUCCAGGAGAAGAGAAACUAACUUAGUGAUUGCUUCGAUGUUCUUCUUCUUCUUCUUCCUCCUCCUUCUCUGUUUCGACGACAACAAGUACAGAUCUGAUUGAGACAAACAGAGAAAAAGGGUAAAGAGAAGGAAGAAAGUAUUAAAGAAUCUCCAAAGUCAGAAGUAAAGGUCGACACGGAAGAAGAAAGAAACGCGUAAUGGUGACUAGAAAUGAACUGUAAAAUCAAAACCAAUCAUCCAAAUCCACAAGGAAAGAGAAAAAAGAUGGGAUUUUUCUAAGGACAAAAAAGGAGAACUUUAAGGAGAAUCUGAAUAAGAAAAUACCCAGAAUUAUAGGUAGGUUACAAACAAGAAUCCAGGAAGAAGAAAAAAAAAAGAUUGCAACUUUAAUGAGUAGUAGAAGAAGAAGAAGAAGAGGAGGAGGAGGAGAAGAACACAAGGCGGUUUCUCAACAUCUUCCUUUGUACCAAACAUGAAACAAGUUUGGUUUUUGUUAUAAGACAAAAUGGAUUAGAUUAAGAGAGAAAUAUAGUAAAAUACAAUGAUGAUGAUAUGUUUGUUUAAGUACUUGUGCCGGUGAGAAAUUGGCUAAACGCUUGACCAAAUGUGAGAAAGCAAGCUGUCACAAAAACCCCACAUUCAGGCUAUGAUUGGUGACAUAGAUUCUUAUUAGCAAUUUCAUUUUUAUUUUUUUCCCAUUUAAACUAAUCCAUAUUCGUUGCUGCUCCCUAAUCUUUUUGGUUCAAAGUAAGUGUUUACAAUAUAAGGAUUUAUGUAUUUUUAACUUAUUGUUUGCCAAUACUUGAUAGUAGUAUGAAAUCAAUAAUGUGAAACAUAAUAGAAUUUCAAGAGUCAACUGUUAUAUUAUUUUUCCUAAGUAUAAUAUGCCAUCUAAUGUAUGACUUAAUUAAUGUAAAAAGUGUAUAUUUUUUUAUAAUGUAGAUGGAAGAUAACAUUGGAAGUUUGAGGUUUUGAACAUUUUGAUUACAUAAUUUAUUUCCAGUUCAUUGGAGUGCUUAUAAUAAACUGAUUAUUUGAUUUUGCAUCAAAAUAUAAUUUUAGUUUGAAAUUACUUUAUACAAAUUUGAGUUUCCAAAUAAGGAAAAUAAAAUUGGCAGAAGAAAAGAUGAAUUAAGGGGGGAAAAACAAUCUUAACCCUUAAAAAAAAAAACAAUCUUUGUAAGUUUCUGUUUUUAGUAUUUGUAUAAUUGUAUUGUUAAGUACAUAAAUUCAGUUAAACGACAACGUUCUCACGGGACAUUGGGCUUAGUUUUAGAGGACUAGUGUAAAAUUUGUCGCUGAUAAAAAUAUUUUAGGAGCGGCGAGAGUGGUUACACUUUCUUCUUGGGAUGUGUCAUGUGUGUUGUGAAAUGUGAUCCUCGUCGUCAUCGUAAACGAACAACGAGGCUUUCCUCUACGUCAGAAAAUUCUGAAUUACUUGGUCAGGUGUUUUCUUUUUUUUUUAACGCCUUAAAUCUUACCCUAGAAAAAAAGAUAAAAAAACUUAUCUAGCUUAGAGCAUUCUACUGAUAAGGGUCAAUAUCAAGGUUCAAAGAGGACGAGAAAAAGUUUACUUAUGAACAUGGUGUUGGAUCUUUCCACAAGACCACAUCUUUUGCAACUAAAAAUAUACUUUUGUGCCGGGUUGUCAAAUGUCAUUACAAGAUCGAUGGUAAGUUUUGCUCCACCUCAAAAGAUCAAUGGAUAAGUCUCUCACCUCAAAAGAUCAAUGGAUUCCAAUGAAGCUGGACUUUCAAGAGCCGCAGCUCCUAAUGUUCUGGAACAGUGUGGCGAUUUGCCUUCUUUGGUAGGAGUAAAACAUGUUACAAACCAUAAGAAAAGAUCACGUAAUAUAUGCAACAUGCUGAAAGUAACUAAGCAAUGAUCUCUCCAUGAUCUUAUUUGUUUCAUAAUCUCACUAGUUUCUAAUCAUAGUUAGUUGUGGAGUUCUCUCAGUUAAUACAAGUCUGGACAACAAGUUAAUCCUCAGGAAUGUUGUGGUGCCCUCUUCAUUAUCUUAAGUAAUGGCCUCUUCCCUUCCUCUGUUUCCCCUGCUUUCUCCAUCACACUUCUUGAUCAUAAUUACACAAUGCUCUUAUGUAAACAUUUCAAGUUGUUAGGUUCAUGCUUCAACACGACCAAUGACAUGUAGUCUACAUGUAGUCUUUAUUACAUUUACAAGCUAUGAGAUGAUGCAUAGGUUUCUCUACAUGUAGUCUCGUUAACGGAUAAAACAGAGAAUGAAGAAGAACACAAAGACUUGGGUACGAAAAACUUAGACUCACAUUGGUAAAAUCAGUAGUUCCCCAUCCCCUUAGGAAACAAAUAGGUGAAAUCUUGUUCAUCUUUAUUAAGGAUUUAAACAGAAAGAUACCAACUCUGAGAAGUAACAAAUCUAUUCAUUCAUAUGGGAAACUAAUUGUUUCCAAAGUCACAUAAUAAAAGAGAAGAAAAUUGGUAACAUUACUCGGGAAUAGUACCAAGCUUAGGCCGCCAAGAUCGCUGAAGAAGCCGCUUGCUGAACCCAAACCAAGCAGGUGCUGCAUCGGUGGACUCACUUUGUAAACUAGCAGCUGCAUUCAAUUUAGCUGCCAUGGCUGCAAGAACUUCUUCUUUUGUUUUCCCUUUACGUCUCUCCUCUAACUCCACCUCUUCUUCUUCUUCUUCUUUCUCUCCAGAAGACGAAGAGACAAAUAAGUCUCUAAGUUUGCGUCCAGCUACAUCCUUGUGACUAUGAUGAAUCAACGGCUGCUGCUCUCGGCGGCUCGGUGAUGCAAGACUCAAAAGCAUCUUUAAGGUUGUCUUUUUGCGUCGAAGCUGCACCAAAGGACUUGUCCUCGGACUCGGGCUUCGUGUAGGGCUCUGUACAGCCACUCCGCACUGUGUCCCCAAGAACUUGAAUCUUUGCAACGUAGCCAUAGGAUUUGGAAAUGUGGCGAUUGGAAACUUUGCUUUCAAGUGAGGUUCAUAUAAAAGGAUCCAAAACUUGGGGACACUUGUUAAAUAAAUGUCCUUUUGAUUCUUUUGAAGCAAGUCUUUGUCUCGAAAGUGUGUGCUUUGAAUUGGAAUUUUUGUGGACCGUAAGGACACAGUUUCCAAUGAAAAUCCCAAAUUGUGUCAUUAUUGAAUGAGAUUUUGAAAAAGAUAAAGUGUUUAAUUUAUUCGAUUCCUUUUGCUUUUUCUCAUGUUGUUUUUGCUCUUUUACUUUCUUUUUUUUCCUCAAUGCGCAUAGAAGAAGAAUCAUUUGCUAUUGGUUUUUUACCCAAUUUUUUGAAUGAAAUGAGAAAGAAAUAGUGUGAGACUUGAUGAGACUUGAUAGACAGGUGUUGUUGACGACAAAAAAAAAAAAAAAAAAAAAAAAAAAAGACAGGUGUUGUUUUUUGGUCAUAGAUUUGUAUUAGAAUUCUUGUCGUGUUACUGUGUUUGGAAUGAGACAGCAGUGGUAGUCUCACUAGAGAUUUGAAGGAGAAAAAGGGCAAGUUUGAGGAAUUUUGGAGAUUUGAUGUUCAAGAAAAGAAUGAAUUAUUGAGAUUCAGAAACUUUGGAAUAUUGGUGACAACAAGUUCUAAGAAGAAAAGAAAGGAACAUAGUGUAAAUUAUUCUAUAAAUAAAUAUAUAAAAAAAUUGCACUUCUGAUAUUAAAAAAAAAUAAAAAUGUGAUUUUAAGGGUUUCGUAAAAGUCAGGUGAACAAAGUGUGUCAUUCAACAAACAGUGAUGGUGAUUCUUACAAGCGUGAUGAUUUCGAGUCACACCUAAGGCGGAUAACUCAUUUGCUGAGACCUCUGUCCAGGAAGAUCCUAAUUUGUAUCCAGCUGCAUAUGUGCCUGUGCAAAAUCAAGACUUAUCUCCAAAACGCAAAGGUAGUAAGGUACUAUGUAUUUGCUAUUAGUUCAUUGAUUGCUCAAGUUUUGAUUACAGUAAACCAGUGGAUGAUACUAAGAAAGCUUAUGUAUCCUCCGUUUAGACGAGCUCUUAUAUUGUGCUUGCUGUUUCUGCAGCUCCUAAGGCUAAACAAAUUGCUCUUUCAUAUCGUAAGAAGAUUCCUACAUCUCGCUCUUCUGCUUUAGGUCAACCUUAUACGAUCAAGAAAAGAAAAAUCUCUAACAGCAGAAGAUCGUCGAUGGGUAAGAUUUAUUCUUACAUUUCAGAGUAUUUUGGUGUGUUACGGGUGAUAGCAUUGGGAUGAGCUCUGAAGCACAUAGAGCAUAUAUCCAGAUCAAAGUGAAAUAUAUCUCGUUACCAUAUACUACCACAUUAGCCUAGCCUUAAAACAAAUAAGUAGUAUGAUACUCAGAAGAACUUAAUAAUACCUGCUAAUAUUCAUAUAUUUCUAACAAAGGAAAAGAUCAAUGCUAGAAGAACACAUGCCAUGAUCUAAGCGUUGAGUACAUUUAGACAAAGGAGAAGAAGAAACAAGAUUUCACUCUUACCAGUUCAUCUACAUCGACGUAAACAGAAGCAAAAUAAAACGAAGGAUAAAAAAUAAAAAGAUGCAGGGACAAGCAUGUGCUAUAAUCAAUCAUACAUACCUUUUAAAAGUCCAAAAGAAGCUGGGGAAGAAUCCUCUCUAAAUGAGUAGCUUCAAUCUUGUCCAUUCCUUCAGCUUCAGCGAUUAUAGCAGCGCGCUGCACAGCCUCUGCCAAUGCCCAUUAGGCCAUUAAGAUCCUUUAGUUAAGGAGAAGAUUGAGUAGUAUCUAAAAAUGCAAACAUGGAUGGAUACUUGACCUGAGACAAAACUCUUGAGAAGUUCACAGCUGAGCUUUAAAGCAUUUGCGUUGGCUACAAGAACCAAUACUCAUAAGCAUCCAUGUCUCAUCUCCCAAUUUACAUGACAAAAGGAAUUAUAAACAAGGUUACCAGAAGCAAGUCUGUUCUUCUUGGUUGUUCCCAGGGCAACCUGCAACUAAAUGUAAUGCAUCAACAUAUCGAAGAUCAUAGCUGUUACAGGAUCUAGUGAACAAACUACAACAUUGAUAAUAAUACCUCAGCUUCCGUAGCAUCAAUGGCAUCGCUUCUCUCCCUUUCUGUAUCGCAAUUGAGGAUAGAAAAUCAAACAGAGAAGAUCAAAAUAAGCGAAUUUAAGUUAACACUAUCUGUACCGCGAAAUCUUCGGGCCCAAAUGUGUUUGAAAAUGGCGUGAAUCAGAUCCUAAUUCCAUGAAAACAGAGGGUAAACAAUGGAGAUGACAAAAUUGCGGAUGAGAAAGGAAGAAGAGAGUGAAGAUUACAGAAUCGAAGGUAUUGUUCGCGUCCAUGAUGUUUUACGCAUGUGAAGAAGCUUCCUAGGGUACAGAAACCAAAACGUGGACCGCUAUAAACUAAUUUGAAAAAGGAGAACAAAAAAUCAUGGAAAAUUACUACCAUUGUUACAUACACACCUUGAGAUGUUGAUUCAACGAAGGCAGCGAUUUACAGUGAGCCGGCGACGACGAGCUCCGAUGGAGAAGGACUGGAGGGAAGAUAACUGGAAAUUGGAAGACGAAGACGAAAGCUCGAGAAAUGAAAAAGACGCUAAAUUCAAACGACGACGUUUUGUUUAGGAAUAUCGCUAGAUAUUGCAGUCCAUUAAGACCACGUUCAAGGCCCACGAUUCGGCCCAACACCUAAUUAAAAUAUAAAAUAGGAAAAAGGAAAUAGAAAAAAACUUUGAAAUAAUACUAGUAACUAGUUAUUUUCACUCAUACGGUUUGAUUUACUUGUCCUUUUGUUGAUAUAGAUUGUGAAUUUUGUCACUCGUUUUCUCUACUUUGGUUUCUAAAGUUAUUACUUACUUGUCGCUUUUGUUUUGAUGAUUAUUUCAGUUUGCAGCUUGCUUAUGGACCGACGUGGUUAUUGGGGAAGACUACAUUUAAUCAUUACAACAUGAUGACAAAGUAAUACGCUACGUAUGUUUUUUUUCUUGUUCGAUCAUCUUUUCUCUAUGUUAAUAAAUUUUAUUUUAUUUUAUAUAUAUUUUUCAGGGUUUUAGUCUUUUAGAUUUCAUCAUCAAAGAGGGCUUCUCGUCACACUUGUUUCCGGAACAACUUGUGUUGGCUAUAGCUACACAACUUGCUGAGAUACUAAACUUGCCAAAGGUCUUACAGGUAACUCCUCUGUGACCAUUCUUCGUUUAUUCAUUUCGUUCUUAUUAGUUUGUGAAUUUUUUGGAACAGUUAGCUACUUCGAACAGCAGCUGAGUACGUUUUUUCUCCUUUUUAAUAUAGAAGAUAUCCAAACCUGUUGAGUUCCCUUUGGAGUUGGACUUGCUUCCUUCAUGAGCAGUUACAAAGAUUCCCAAGUAAGUGACCUUGUGGUUCCAUAAAAUAAUCUUGACAUUGUCAUGUCUUGACAUCUUAAACUGGUUAUUAUUUUGUUUCCAUAGGUUUCUACAAAAUACCAUCUCUAUGCCAUUGUGAAGCAUCUUUGGAAUAUAGCAUCCCUUGGUCAUUAUGUGAGGUCAGCUACUGAGACAUGGCAUAAGUUUGAUGAUGCCAAGGUAAUAUGAUAUAACAGUUUUAUUUGAUUUAUGAGUUUAUAUUUUUCUUCACAGAAAUGAAUUCUUGAUUUUGUUCCUCAAGAUGAUUGAUGGGUUGAAAUUGCUCGCAACAACGAGGUAUUAAACACUUCUUUGUGAUUCCUGGUUUCAUUUCUUGUUUUGCAGUUCUGCUUGAUGUUAUGUUUCUCAAAUCUGUUUUGCAGGGAUGUCUGGUGCCAAAGAAGUCAACUUUCCCUUUGGGUAUUAAAACGCCUAUGGAUUAUGUUCACAGCAAGGGCCUUAAGCUCGGGAUCUACUCAGAUGCCAGGUAAACUAUUAUUUCCUAUGCUUCUAGAAUCAUGAUUUCAGUGGUUACUAGAGGAAUGAAUUUCACACUUUUCAUGGUGCUUUGAAUAUGAAUACACAUUCUCAUUCUAAUUGUUUUGGUUUACUUGCAGCACAACUAUGUCAGGUUUUUGGUUCCUUAAGUUAAUUUCUUUGUCUUGUAGGUGUUAUGGAAGCGAAUUUAUGAUCCAAUCAUCACUCCCUGCUUCUGAAUAUUCACUCAUACGGUUUGAUUUACAAAUCUUAGUUUUACUUAUCUAUCUGUUCUGUUGUUGUAUAUUGUGGUAGAUGAUGCAGUGAUCAAUCGUUAUUUUGUUGUUUUUGUUUUCAAAAAUUUUGUCACUCGUUUUCUCUACUUUGUUCUCUCUUAUGAAUUUACUAUUUGGUUUCUAAACUGGAUCUGUGUUUUUGUGCUGCCCUCUGUUGUUCAUAAGCUAAAAUCAUUUUUCUCUCUUUGAUGCAGAUCGUCGUCCAGGCAUUAGGAUUGCUCUGUUGAAUCCUAUAUUCUCUUAUAUCAUCAUCUGUUUAGGUAGGUUCUUUGUGCUACAUCUUCUUUUUCCCCUAAUGACUUUCUGAGAUUUGCUAUUCUUGGUGAGGUAUGAUGUGAUUAGUGUUCAUCCCCCUUAUCUAUUUUUUCUCUUUCUGAUUUUAGAAUCUAUGGUUUAAAUGCUAAUCACUUUUCCGUAGGGUUGUCUUGUUUCUUUCUACAAAAGUCAUUAUCUGUGUACUGUAUAUGGAUUGGAUCAUGGAAUUGGAAGUUUUGUUUUGAUAUGUUAGCCUAAAUGUCCAUGUUUAUGUGCAUUGGGAUUUUAGCUAAACCUGAAUAGGUUUUUAGGUUUUUUGUUUUCAAUGUCAUUUUUGUAUGUCUCUUAGGUUUUCCAAGUUUGAGCUCCUCUGAUGCACAAGGCUGGACAUGGUAUAAAUAAUUGACGUUUUUUAAGAUAAAUGAACAGGUUACUAACUGGUCUCAUUCCCCUUUUCUCUAUGUAUCUAUCAUGCUGCACCUAUUUCUAGUGUUUGAUCAUAUUCUUAUGUCCAUGUGAUUUUUUACCUCUUGGAUUUGUUAUUUUAGAUUAUGGAGGAUGCUUUGCUCGGUUGGUGAUGGUUCUGAAUCAGAACUUCUGAUGGAUCGUUGUCUUCUCUGCGCUACAUCUAAAGGUAGUGUUCUUCCUCUUAACCAAAUUUUUUUUCUUUUCUUUCUAUAUAAGUGAAAUUAAAUACAUAUGUCUGUUUGAUGCAGACCAUCGAGGCACCGAGAUUACUGUGUGAAAGGGUCUGAAGAGAGAAAAUCUGGUUACUAACUGGUCUAUUUCCCUAUAUAUCUGUUGGUUUCUCAUGCUAUAUAUCUGAUGCUACAUCAUACUUGUCAUGGUGCGUUUUGCCAUGUUACUGAAUUUUUGCCUUGUUAUUGAAUUUUUCAGGUUAACAGUAAUGUCUGAUGUCUCUGAUCUUCCUAGUGAGCUAGCAUCUACGUUUCAAGCCUAAUACCAUGUCGUUUGUUAUAGAUAGUCGAGGUUCUAUAAGAGAGAAUCAUCAGGUAACUAAUUGGUCUCUUGCCUUAUAUCUUUGUUGGUUUCUCAUCUUCUAUCAUGCUUGUGAUGGUGGUUUUUUUUUUUAAUAUGAAAUGCUCCCUUCUUUACCUCUGUUCUACUUCUCAAAUUACUUCAAUGUCACAACCACAAUUACCUCUGUUCUGUGUCUUAUUGUGUCUUCUGGACUCUCUUGAUGUGUUUUGUUGUGUGUUUCCAGAUUCUCUUGCUUGGAUAGGUUUUGGUAAUUCUUUUGCCGCCCAAGAGGAGGGUGACCAAGCCAUGGCUGCCUAUCGCGCUGCCGCUAGGCUAUUAUCAGGGUAAUCAAGUUUCUAUUAUUUUUCAUUUUCUCUGUCAGAUGGUGAGCCAUACAUUUUUCAUUUUCUCUGAAUCUUUUUUUUUUUGUCUCGUUUUUUAGGUCUUGUGGUUGAUACCUGAUGAUCAAUUUUGUACUGAGAUGUUGAACGUGGCUUUCAUGGAUGAAUGUCAGAAUGGGGUUAAUGCAAAGGUUGAGCUCCAAGAGAAAUUGGUAAGUUUAAUUAACCGCCUUAUUCUAGUUUAUGUUGUAAUUGAUAUGUACUAUCAUUGUGACAACACAACAUAUAAUUUAUCUGCUAGAAAUUGUUGUUGUUUCAUAUGUGAAUGAAUGCUUGGUUUCUUAUAAUGGUCUUCCAACAGCCAACUCCGGCUGGGAGUUCACUUCUGAACAGUUUUUCAUGAUAAUGUUGUCAAGGAUCACAUCAACAAGCAGCAAUAUGGAGUGUGUAUGUUUUUCUUAUAUAUCUCUGGUUAUUCUUUUUUAUCUCUUGUCUCUAGCUAACUUUGGUAUGCAUGUUUUUUGUUGUAUACAUCAGCCUCAAGGAUUGUCAAAUUUGCUCAGGAAUACCAGAGAAAGGCAUCAGUGGAGAUGAUGAUGAUGAUGACUUGCUAAGACGCAAGACCAUUUAUGGUUUCUAGUAUGAAUAUGCACGUUUGUUAUUAUCUACCCUGUGUUAAUUUUAUUUUCCUUGCUCACUCUCUCAUAUGAUCUGUUGGUUUCGUUUUUGUUUGUUUUUCAUCACAGAGGAUUCUCUCAGGAUGCUUUCUGUGAUCUCCCUUUGAUGGCUGCUGCAGUACCGCCUUUAGCACUUGGAAUUUAAGAAAAAACAGAGGUUAGUGAGUUUAGCAAAAUGGUGUGUUUUCUUGUUUCCUAUUAUAGUGAAAUUGUUGACUUUCUCUUCCGGCUUUGGUAUAACUCCUAAUAGUGGCUUCCCUUUUCUUGCUAGGUUAACAAAGACUAACAAGGACCCAUUCCUAAUGUCUGGCUGUAAAGUGGCAGAUGGAAAUGGUGUUAUCCUUUCUACCAAAAGUUGAUGUGCAGGUGCAGAAGCUAUCUUCUUGUGAGACAAUGGGAUCUGCCACCAUUAUUUGUAGCGAUAAAACUGGAACACUAACAUUAAAUCAGGUGUGUUUUGUGUUUAUAAAUAUGCGUUCACUCCAUGUUUAGAGUAAGACUCAAAUGAACAGUUUCACUACAGUUUUACACCUAUGAGUGGAAGAGUUGAUUCGUAUGUUUUCUCUCCUUCAGCUGGCUGGAAGAACCUUACGAUGUGUUGCACUGGCCUAAGCCUUUAGAACAUUUGAGGUUGAAAAAGUUCCAACCGGCGUAGAGCUCUCAAAGUGGGUACUUCUAGAGGAUUACCUUAUUUUACUAGCAAGCAUAAAGAUGAGGAUCAAUUUGGUUUAUGCUUUAUCCAGAGAUUAGUGAAAUAUACACUUUGUGGUUUAAUGCCUCUCGUCCUUUUGAGAUCACUUUUACCGUUUGACAUUGCAAUUAUUGCAUUUUAGUCCAGUUUUAGAGACAUGUUUUGGAGUUCAUCUUAGAAAAGUAUUUACUGAAGCUUCAACAGUUUUGUUGUCAAAGCAAGUUAGCUUAACAUCUGAUACAACAUCAUCCAUGUACACCGGGCCUUGGUGUUGAUUUAGGCUAUGUUGGUCUAUUUAGUAUUUACAGAGUUAGUUUUUUUUGGGCUAAAUAAGUAAACAAAUUGGAUCGUUGUAGUUAAAGCCUCUUUUUGGCCCAACUCUGAUUUUUUUUUUUUUAAUUUGAUAAUUUAUUCUAAUUUUUUUUCCGGCUGUCAAAUCAGCUUUGCUUUAAAACCAUUAGUUAAUUAUUUGAUCUUUUCCUAUCCAAAUCAUGUAAUCAUUUUACAUAUUCUAAUAAUUUCCAAUGGAAGACUGCUUGCACUUUCACUGUUCACAGCUUCCUAACCUUUCAAUUUCAUGCAUAAUAAUCACAAUCACCAUCAUCAUCAUCACAUCAUUGUGAUAACAUCAUCCAACAUUUUAACUUGAAGUACUUAAUCUUUUUUUCCAAGAAAUAUAAAAGGAAUCUUAAAACACAUGGCUUAAUUUAAUCUUUGGCAUACGCAUUAAAAUGAUUUGAUUUAAGCUAAAUAACUAUAUAUCUACCACAAACCGUGAAAAGUGCCAAAUUUCACCAAGAAAGCAAAACCAAGUUUAGAUUUGCUUCGAAGACUUUUAUUGUAGAACACAACACAAAACAACACCACACAAGUUGUUUUAGAGCAAAAAUCGAAAACGUAACCGGUUUGAUAAACCUGAUCUUCUAGUAAGUUUCAAUCUGACUAUUGCCUUCUCGGAUACGUAAACCGUGGCGUGCAUCUAACCUCAGAUAUACGUUUAUUGUGAAUCUGAUAUUUAGACCAAAUCUAAACUCCAGGUCAUUCUGGUGAGAAUCUAAAGCCUUCCUUAUUAAUGCGAAAUUAUUUUUUCUUGCUGCUGCUUCAUUCAGGAGAUUACACGUGGCAUAAACUCUGUGGUGAACAUGUCUUUGUUCCUACAAUUGCAAACUGUCACAAUUCUGGUCCAUAUGAGUCCUUCUAGCACCUUUCCAUAUUUUGCGAUUUUAAGAGUCAAUAUUUCAUAAAAUACAUAAACUAAGUUUCCUAAACAGAAUUAUACAGCCAGAAUUUGUAAAUUCAACCCCAAACUUGAAGAUAAAAUCCAUUGAAAGAAGUAUUUUUUUAAUUCUGUGGAAAAUCAUAGUCAAAAUUCAUUUAUCUGUAAAAAACAAUUAAAGUAAUAAAAUCCUUGAAUAACUAUAUCAAAUUUUCCUUUGAAUAACAAGAAAAUUAAUGUAAAUCUACCAAAAACAAAUGUAGUAUAUUAUUUUAUUUUAUUUUUUUGUGCAAAGUAUAUUAUGAGUUGUCAUAUUAAUUAGUAAAAACUGGCUAUGAGUUGUCUAUAUUAUUAUUCUUAAAAACCAAAAAAAACGAAAAAAAAAAAAAACAAUCUUUUCUCAUCAAUGAUUCCGCUACAUAAAGUAACCACCAACACAAUUAUUUUGGACGCCUCAAAUCCAAACCUUAUUUCAAUAAUUGUGAAACAAAACAAACAACAAAAUAAAGCAAUAUAUUUGUGGUAGGUCGUUCAAACCCACUCAUAAAAAUAUUUAUGAUAAACCGAUAAAUAAUAAUAAUAACAGCCAAAAAAAAUUACUAUUUUACUUUAUCCAUUAUUAUUUAUUGUGGUUGUGAGAUAGUUACAGACACAGAGAAUACAUCUGUCAGAAAGCUGACUCAUUGUGAUUGUAUCUUAUCUCUCUCUUUCUUUUAUCCUACGUGUUACCAUAAAACUCUCAUAUUAACCCACUAGAUCUCCGACACGUGUGGUUACUCCUUUAAACUCUUCACUUUGGUCUUUUUAAAGACUUUGCUCAAAGCCUCUUGCAUCCUCCUCUCUAAUCUCUUCUCUUUCUCUCUCUCAAAACUUUUUUUUUUUCUUUUAUCUCAUAAACCAAAAAAAAAAAAAAAGAAGCAAACCCUAUAAUGGAGGUGCCGGUGAUAAAUAGGAUUAGGGAUUUCGAAGUUGUUGGUAUAAACUCGAUUAACGAUCCUUCGUUUCUUUCUCGAUCUGUUGCUGUUUCCGGAAUCGGUAAGCUACACCAAGCUUACGGGUUUUGGAAAUGGGGAGCUUUGAUUAUUGCGUUUCUAGCUUAUUUCACAAACUUUGUUAGUAAACUCAAUAGUUUAGUUGUUAGGUUAAGAAAAAACAUAGAUGUCUCUGUCUCUUCCCCAACUCUUUUUGAUGAUUACGACAGCGAUUCCGAUGUUUCUUGUUCUUCUGCGGCUUCGUCGGACGAUGAAGAAGAAGAGGAAGAGGAUCAAGAAGAUGAGGAUGAGGAUGAGGAUGAAGAUGUUGACUCGAUCUUUAGCGAGAGACGACGGGUCAACGGAGGUUUCCGCGUGAGAGGAUCUGAUUACGACGAGGGGCAGAGUGGUAAUUGUACGUGGAUGCGGCAGAGGUGUAGUGGUAGUUUUGGAGAUUUGUUCUCGUGGCCUGAUCUUGGUGGGAUUGGUUCGAGUGGUGUUGUGAAGCUUUGGGAUCAUUUAGAUGUUGGUGGUGGUGAUGAUGAGGAUAACGAGAAUGUUGUGGCGACGUUUCUCAAGAAUUGUAGCUUAGCAGCCUCGUCGUCGCCGGUUUUUUUGGCCGCGGAGAAGAAAGGUGUCGACGGUGUUAAAGUGAAGGCGUGUGAUCCACGCGCCGGGUUCAAGAUGCCGGCGUUGUUGGCGGAGUGGAGGCAGCCGGGGAGGUUGUUAGGGAAUAUUAUCGGAGUUGAUGCUGGUGGAGUGGAGAAAGUUUACGUGAGGGAUGAUGUGACCGGAGAAAUCGCCGUCGGGGAUUUGAGGAAGUUUAACGGUGUGUUGACGACGGAGAGUGAGGGUAAGACAUGGUGGGACGUCGCUGACGUCGUUAUCUCGGGCUGAUGAUGGUGAGAUUGAUUCGGUUGACGAGAAGGAUGUGUUAAAGAAGUGGUGGGACGGUUUUGGUUUUGUCUUAAAAAAGUUUGAAAGAUUCAAAAAUCCAAAAAAGUGUAAAACGAGAAACGAUUGAAACAUUUUGUAAAUAAAAAUUUGUCUGUUUGCUUUGCUUUGGAGUUCGAUUCAUUGAAUAAACAUCAGCCUCAAGAUUAAUUAAUAAAAGUGUGUUUGGUCGGUUACUACUGGUUCACUUGUUAUCUGGCUCUAUGCGUAGCCACUAGCCAAUGUUGGCCGGUUUCGAGUUUGGUGUGAUGAGAUUAGAAUAUAGGACAGAAAUGUCAGAAACCACAAAAAAGAACGAAAAAAAAAUUAUAUUAGUACCAAUGAAACCGAAACUUAAAAAAUUAACCCAAUCAGAGUUUUAAAAAAAUAGAAAAUUGUAUUUUAUUUAUUUAAUAAUUCAAUUCAUUUUUUUAAUGAAAAUAGUCGUUUUAGAGAUAUAUUAUGACAGGGAAAUGUGAAUUAGUUAUUUAAAAAAAUCAUAGCUAUAUUUAGGUUUCGUAUAGUCAACAAAAUAAUAAUUUGAUUAAUCUAAUAAAAUCUCGUCAAGGUACUGAUGCUCUCAACCGAACUAACAGAGCACAAGAUCAUAAUGGAAUGAGACAUGUACUGCUUUUUAUCAUCUUAACUGUAAUGUUCUUGGUGGAGAUGUCACACGAGAGAUAUCAUAUCAAAGUGUUCUUUCGGAUAAAUCUCAUGCCUCAUCAGUCGAAACUCGAAACUCUUUGUAGACUUUUAUACAACAAUCUUUUAAAUAAAAUUUAUAUAGUUAAUAAUAAUGAAAAUGAAGACAUGUAAAAUAUAUUCUCGUAAUUUUUCUUCAAUACGAUUAAGUUUGUCAAAAUCAUCGAAGUAUACGACUUUGAUUUUAUUCGUAAAGACAGAAACGUGUUAAUCAAAAUACUGCAUUAGGCAAGUGAAAACAGUUAUUUGCGAGAGACUUUUUGACCGGAUUGAUAUGAACAGUUCUUUGAUUUCGGGAAAUCAUGUUUCUUCUAUUCGUGUGGUUCACAUUUUCACGCAACACAACUCUCUCUUCAAGCAUUUAGCAAAAAUAAGGCUUUAGUUUUACAUUUUAGUUACACCCUAAUUGCUUUUAAAAUCAUAUAAAAGAAAAGUCUAAGUAAUAUCACCAUCUUUGUAAAGCAAAUGUGAUUCAGAUUUAAGAUAGUAGUAUUAUGUUUAAAAUUAGCAACAAUGAUAAAGAAACUGGAUUGGAUAGAUGGCCAACUAGUUGACCAAGUUAAAAGGCUUAACAUUGUUAUUCUCCAUCUCCUUAAGUAACUCUUGUCUCUUUCUUCUUGAUAAAUUUUCUUGUUUGGAAUAUUAUUGCAUGUAGGUAGACCAUGUAUUUACUUAUUAGUCAAGAUUCAUUGAGGAUUUGAAGAGAGAUUGGAUUUAUAUAUUGGUAUGUAAAUCUUCCGAAAACGUAGUGUCACUAAGAAAAAAGUAGAGAUAUAGAUUUGUGGGAUAAGAAAAAAAGAAGACAAAUACUAGAAUCAUUGUAAGUAGGUGGUGACUAUAGAUGAAAGGAACUAAACGUAUUUGCUAAAUUAUAAUAUAUAAAGUUUCUUUUACUUUAGACUUUGUUUUUGUUUCAUGAUCAUAUAUAUAUAUAUAGUGGUGAUCGGUCGAAACCAAAAUUGAAAAGUAUCAACCGAUUCAAUCAAAUAUGGGACACUAACCAAAUAGUGAAACAGCUGUGAAACUCUCUACAAAUAAAUCCAUAACACAAUCACAUUUAGUGGGAAAAAGACAUUCGUAGUGGGAUUUAUAUUUCGAUACAAAUAAAACAAAAUUAAUUAAAUGAUGCGUUAAUAACGGGCCUAGGAUCUAUAGUGAUUUGUAUUUAGUUAGUCAUGUGGGCUCAACAAGAAGGCCCUAUACGCAUUACAAUUUAUAUUUGCCAACAAUUUUGGAUAACCUAUCAAUUUAUUGAAGUGAACAUAUCAUUCACAUAACAUUUGUAUAAACAAAAACGAAAUGUAUAUCAAAUUAUACAGUAAACUGGAGUAUAAUUUAACUAAUUUUGCUAUAUGAAGGUCACAAUAGAAACUUUAAGUGUAGGGUUCAUCAUCAAAAUGGAAGCUUCUUAAACAACAUGUUGACUCUCUACGAUUCUCAAACCGUUACAUAUAUAGAAAAGUUAAUUGCUAAUUUAAUUUGCAAUUAAACUUGGUCAUAGAUGUGCUAUAAGAACAUCAACUCACGGCGUCCCCACAUUCACUAACUACAAUGUCAUCUACUAACGUUAUCAUUCUAAUUUUUUUUUUAAAAUAACGAGAAAUUUGUACACAGCUUGAAAACUAAAUUUAUUUGGAAAUAGUUUUUAUUGGACGUGAAUAUUUUUGGACCAUUGUCUAUUAAAUACCAUCCAAAUUUAACCCACAUAUAAAAAAAAUUAUCUUAACAAAGCCAGAUUAUUUGAUAGUUAUUUAUAGAUGAGCGGUAGAUAAUUCUGUACCAAUAUUAAUAAUGUGACAUCGUACUAUAUUUUGGUAACAGAAGUAUUUGAAAAAAAAAAAUAGAUUGAAAAAUUAACAAGAAGAUCAAAAUAAAUCGGAACUACCACUAGUUCUAUUGCUUCCAAUUUCUAAGUUACAUGUACAUUUUAUAUUUUACUAAUACAAAACUUAUUUAUCGAUUUAUGUCAUCAAUCAAUCUGAUUCAUGGAAAGAUUCUUGUUGAUAUAUUACAAAAGUAUUUGAGAACCUGCCCUGUUGCGUUUUAAAUCAAAUUAAAUACAGUAACUAAGUGACAUUUCUUUCUUGGUUUAUGUCAUAAGUGACAUUUACACCAACUAAUUACGACUAAGUAAAAGAACUUAAAAACAAACGAAUGAACAAACCAAAGUAACACAUACAAAACGAUAUCACAAAGAAGUACUAUUUUCAAAAGUCUUAUUUGAACUUAAAUAGCGAAGGUGAAAACGAACCGGUCCCGUUCGGAGACAUGUAAAGAAGUUGAGUUGGAGAACCAAACAAAGUCAUCGAGCUCGGUGUGAACAAUGGCAUAUCAGCUAGCUUUUUUCGUUGUGCCGCCGUGUCAUCAUCACCUACGUUAACUUCUUCCGUCACACCAGAUGAUGAUUCGCUGACGUCGUUAGCGUUCCGUCUAAUAAUAUCCUCUAAACCCGUGAGCCUCUGAACCAAAGCCAUGAAGUCCUCGGCUCGCGUGUGGAUCACUUUCGGAGAGUGCGCGUAGAUGAUCACCGGACCUGUCCGUCCAUGUGGCCGUGGCUGAGACUUACACAACGUCGUCGUUUUCUUGAUGGUGUGAGAUCCUCCGGCUAGUUUUAGCGACGGAGGACGUGAGCCGUUGAUCUCAUUGCAUCUUGUAGGAAUCAUGGUUACUAAUAUAUCUCAAGAGAUUGGAGAAUGAAAAGAUUCAAGGAAGGUUUUGAAAAUGAAAAGGAGAUCUUUGGUAUAUGUAGAAAUAUAUAUUAUACAUUUGCGUGUAAGUUUGGUUAUAUAUAUAAAAAUACGUCUUAUUAUAUCGAAGCCAACGAUUCUGACCGUUGACUUUAAACAUUACGUUGAGAGUUUUGAAUUUAGAACUAGAACUGUUGUUGUGUUUGAAUAGUAGACAUGGCUCAGGUAUAUUCUGCUUAUUCAAUAGUUUCCAAAAGGAUUGUUAAUAUUAUUUUGGUAAAUAAUUCUUAAUUUUUGUUCAUCUUUGAAUAUUACUGGCUGUGAUUAUGUGAACAAUGACCAUGCAAGGUUGGCUGAAGGAGAUUGUUGAAACAUCCUUCAUGUACUUCUUUCCUUAUACGUAAUAAGGAGUUUUUUUUUAAAUGUUCAAAACUAUCGUCUUGUUUUUUAAAAAAUUAAACCCAUUUACAGGCAGCUGAAAUCAUUAAUUUAACUUUGUUUUCCCCAAAUUGUUAGGUAUUAUAGUGAUUAUUAGUGUAUAACAUUGACAUUGUUUUGUUAAUCACUUUCUUUAUAAUAUACGAACCUGUGGAAAACAUAUCAACAACAGCUGAUUCAUUUAUUUUUCCAAUUGGAGAAUGUAAAUCUUAAAAGAGUUUAGACAGAGUUUGACUUCUGUUCUAAUCGGCCGAUGUGUACAUCUGUUUUUAUUAAUUUCAAAAUCAAGAAGGUAUGUUCAAUGGCUAUUUGUAAUAAUUAAGGAGGGGUAAAUCCACACAGUUUCCUAAUUAAAUACAAGUAUGAUGUAUAUAAUACAUGUGCCAUGAGAAUUCGAACACCACUUGUAAAACACUAAUUGUUUAUCAAAAAGUCAAAGGCCUUUUUGUUAAUUACUAAUUAAUAUUUCCACUACUAAAACUAAAAUAGUUGUUGUGGAAUAACAAGACUUACACAAAAGUCAACCUUUUUUUCUUCCUGGGUGUAAGUGUUAUUCUCCCUUUUUCUUUUCAUUCUUCAUAACUUAAUUAGUGAUUUUUAUAUAACUUAAUUAUUAUUUUUCAUAACGUAAUUAGUGAUUUUUCUCUUUAUAAAUCCAAAUCCACUAUUAUUUGGAUUUAAAUUCAUAUAACAUAUUCUGUUGAGAAAAGAAGCCAAUUCAGCCUUCAUUGCCUCGAUUUGUGUUGGUUCAAGAGGCUGAUGACACAUAGUGUGACUUCAAUGGUUUAAAAAAGGAAUGAGUCUAAGACUUGCAGCUAAUAUCAAACUAAAUAUACGCAAAGACUAACAAGUAUACUCAGAUAUCUCAAAACAAGAUGAAGAGUUUAACCUCGAUAUCUUCAAAGAUUAUCUUCACUAGUUGUUCUUCUUGCUCUUUUAACAUGCUUCAACCAUGGCAACAUCCUUUUCAUUGAGCCACCAAUCACUGUAAGCGUCAAGAAUCCAAAAUACGCAACAUUUGGACCCAUACUAGUUGCACAUGCAUAAUGGACUUGUAUAUUUCAUUUUCAAUGGGUUCUCUAUUUCUAACUAGAAAUUUUUCUAAAAUGGUCCAGAUGCUAUUAGUAAUCCUGGUAAGCCCAAACAUGAGCCCAGUAAACAUACUUGUACGGUUUGAAGCCUAAAAUCAAAAGAGCAGCAACUAAAACAAGCCAAAACUUAAGAGUGCAUGCAAUGUAGAAUUAUAAAAUUGGAAAAGCUGAGACCUCGGGAUUAUAGGAUCACGCGCAAACACACCGCACGCGCACUAUUUGCUGCAUCAUUGAUCAUUGAAGCUAACAUUUGGAUCUAACUGUGCUACUGUUGUUUAGGCACCACUGUCAUAUUUAAUGGAACCAAAAUUAUUGUGCUUCGGGAAAGAAAAAAUCUAAUAAACUAUUACAUGAAGGAACGAUUCAAUUCUUGAUAAAUACUUCUUACAGACCUCGGAUCUCUCCCAUCUACUGUUUUAUUUUCCUCUUUGGUUUUUUUUUGUCUGUUCGUUGUCCCUUAAUUAAUACUUACAUUUUCUUGUAAUUUUAAUAUGUAUUUCCUAAACUGUUUCUACUUGCUUCAAGCAACAGCAUUUUCCUUUGGCCAAGAGGAGUAUAUAUGAUCACGCAUGUCAGUUUCUUGUUUCACGAUGUACAAGAGAAGAGAUACAUAGAUGAGCUGAAAAUAAAAUUAUAGGCCUUAUUUUUUCUUACAUUGAAAAUCCUUUUAUCAAAGGAAAAAAAAAUAUUGCAAAUAGGUAAUGAGAAGCCCUAAUCUUGUGGACACGAAUACUUUCAACAUGAUGCUUCGUUGUAGUCGUUAUGAUUUUUGUCUUUUAUGUCCUCUAUUUCAACUAAUGAUGAAAAUAAGACUAUUAUAUUAGAUCCAUAAACCAAAUUGUCCAAAAGAACGAUAUAAUUUUUUUGUGUGAAAAGUAUGAAAAUUAUUAUGUCUUAGAACACUAGUGCUCCUAAUCAAAAUUUUUAACGUUGCGCUAAUAUAAAAACGGUUGGUUUAAUAUGUCAUUUCACGAGUGAGUUUUGAUCAUUUCAAAAUAUCAUUUAAGAGGAAAAUUAUCUAUCGCCAGCACUAGUACCUAAAUUUUAUAUAUUUUGAUUUUUUUGGGAUGGAAUAUAUUAUAUAUUUUGAUUUAUGUGUACUGUUUUGGGGAAUAACUGCAUAUUUCAUCUCUAUAAUCAUAAUGUUUAUUUUCUACCGUAGUAUACAACUACUCUAUACUACUCUGACGGCUGAGAAUAAACCUCAUCAGUUAGUCUAGCACCCAAAAUAAACCUCAUAUGACUGUAUGCUGGAUUAUCUUAUAAUUCACAUAAUUCUCUUGGAAAAUAUCACUUCAAGUCUUCAACAAUCAACAAUUUUCCAGUUAAAUUUUUCUCAUAAUAUUUUCUCUCUAUUAAAAUUGGGAUUAAGAUUAUUAAGCAAGCAUAUGAUGAUGGAGAGUCAACAUACCAUCCAAAUUGCAAAGUCUUUAUCAUUCAGAAAAUAUUGCUCGAUACAGUGAAAUUAACCAGUUUGUUAUCAACGAAUGCAAACUCAAAAUUAGUACACAAUUUCAAGAAAAAGAAAAAAAAACAAGUAAAAAACUUCUUAAUUAACUUGAGGACUUUUGUUGACGAUGAAUUAAGUUAACAAAAAAAAAAAGCACCCUUAAUGUAACAUGUGCUCAAAGUUUGACUUUUAUCAGUUUUUUUUUACAUCAUUUGACCUUUUUUUGUCACAAGUCUUCUGCCUUUUAAAGUUUGACUUUAUAAAACAUGCAGAAAUGUACAAAUAAUAUUUGUAUAUAUAAAUAGAAGGACACAAGAAUGAUAGGAAACAAAAAAAAAAGGGUACAAAGAAGCCCGUACCUUGAUCGUAGACCUUAUUAAUGUAUAUGAACAAAGAGCGAAUAAUCUGAUAGAACUUGAUAAUUAUAUGUUUGAAAUUGAUGUAAAGCUGUCAUUUGCAUGCAUUUAGACAAAUUUGGGGGAUUAAAGAGAAGCUUCCUUUCAAAUCUGAUUCGGGCUAGUAAUAUGGCGAGAUCAUCAAGCAUACCAAUCAAUGUCAUCAAACCUUAUAUUUAAUUGUACAGAUAUAUUUUCUCUUUGUUCCUUCACAAAAAAAAAAAAAAAAAAAAUAUAUAUAUAUAUAUAUAUAUAUAUAUAUAUAUAUAUAUAUAUGUAUACUAUGUAGUUCCAUAGAUCCGGGCAUUUAAACUAUGGAGGAUUGAAAAUACAAACAAUCCUAAGCGUUCGGCCACGUUGGCUCCGGUCUAUUUUAUGUUACUAAGUGCAAAGAAAACAAUCAAGUAUAAAACUUUGCUUCAUGCAUGGAUCGUUUAGCUAAUAUACAUUACACAACAUGCCCAUGUUUGGAAAUUGGAGAAAAUGUUAAAAUGCCAUUACGCAAUAUAUGUGUUCUAAAGUUCAUUUUACCAUAUUUGGGAUGAGUGAAACUAAAGAUGUCACAAAAAAAUCCUCUAUAUCUCAGGGCAGUAAUUUUUCUCAUCGAAAUCAGUAAACACACUAUAAUUUUUAAAACAUAUAUAUACAUUUAAAAGAAUUAAUCUCUCUAUUCGCUUAACGCAGUGAUCAACGAUAUGUUUACAUUUCCGCAUGCUAGUUUAAACUUUAAAUUUGUCUCGCAUUCAACUUCUUAAAAUUUUCGAUUUCCUUUUUCAAAAAGUUUUAUAUCUUAUUCAGCAGCAUAUAUCUUUUUUUUUUUUUGUAAACAAAAAAAUCUAGUGAUUUAUAAAAUUUUAGAUAACAAAAAUAAUAUAUGUAUAUAUGUGCAUGUUUGUGUGUGUUGUCAAUUGAAAUAUAUAUAUGUAUCCAAUAUAUGCGAGAAAGGGACCACUUGUAAAUUUACACUACGGACAAUACACAAUCUAACAAUCCAAGUAUACACGAGAGAAGAGGUAUCUAUGAGUUAGCUAGCUAGGUACAUAUGUAUACAUCAUUCCUUAGAUUGGAAUGAAAGAAAUAAUUGCAUUCAAAGCGCUUGUUGACUAAGACCUAUCCAAUGGUGAAAAAGUUUUGAUAGCAACCCCCUCCAGUCUAGCUUACAGUUUACGUGCCAAUAUUAUUGUCUUUGGUUUCUGAUCAACAACAAGUACUGUCACAAAUUAUGACGCCUUUUUGAAACUGCAAAGAACAAUGGUCAUGAGAACUACGAGAGAAUAAUAAAUGAGUGAUAGCGAGAUCGAUAGAAAAUAUUAUUGUUAUUUCACUUUGUAUUGCAGUGCACAUAUUUACAUAUAACAUUGACUAUAUAUCCAAGUUUUGUUAACCAUCCGAACUAAUCUUAGGGAUGAUGAUUGAUGAACAUGUUUUUUAAAGUCAUCACAAACGAAGGAACACACGAUUAUAUAAUCGAACACAAAAGUAUGUCGAGUUUAAGUUCAUGGUCAUAAACCACGUGUAGUAUUCACGAACAAUGAUUUUUUUUUUUUUUUGCUAACUAACAGUGAUCUUUUUUUUAUAUUACAAAGUCUGUUCUAUAGAUCUUAUUUUUUUAAGUACGAAUUGUUUAUACGUGGUGCAUGCACUUAAAACUCAAGAAUCAAUAUAUAUAUCUUGUGACGAGAGCUUGUAGAUCCACGGCUAACUAGAUGUGGAACAAAAUAUCGUGUGGAAGUUAUAGAAGAAUCCAUAUCAGCUCGUUAUGUCUGUUAUGAUGAAGACUUAAUUGAACCUAAAAAAUACUUUUAUAAUAACUUGGACCAAAAACUUUAAAAGUCCAAACAAAUCAUUACAGAGAUCAUUGAAAAUAACUAGUCGAAUAAAAUCUAUGUAAGAUUGUCUUUUAAGAUUUUGGAGGAUUUCGUUUUGAUUAGUAUUAGUUGUCAUAUCCUGACUUCAAGUAAGUUCGUGGGGCUGUCUGAAUCUAAAAACCUCCUUGCGGCUCAGGUUGCAAAACUCUGUCUGCAAAUCUAGAUAACCCAAAAAGUAAACAUAAACCAAAUUAAAACACAAAAACUUUGAAAGAAUAACUCGAAUUACAUACAUUAACGAUCAAGCAUCAUAAAAUGUAGAAUGACUCGUUUUUAAUUAGACGAAUUAUGUGUUGGCCUCCUAACUUAAACCACCGGUUAAUUAAGAAUCCAACAAAGGCGACGAUCAUGUAAGCCACAUUUUAUGUUUAACUUCUGAAAUAGUUCAAAAUUACGGUAUCAUUUUUAUAAAUUAGAUAUGUUAAGAAGUGUAGUUAAGUAUGGAGCUAACCCUUUUUUAUUAAUAUAGAGAAACACAACAUGGUAUAGAAUACCAAUUAUAAAACAUGUUUACUUAAAUUAUUGUAAUGUCAUACAUGUUACUCAUUUUAAGUUCUCUUUUGUACAUAUGAUGACCACUAAUACUAUAUAAAUUACAAUAACAACUCACUGAAGAUCAAGUUGUUAUAAUCUUAUACUACUAAACACUCAAGAUUGGUAAUUAAGCUGGUUUAAGACUGAUUGAGGUUGAGCCUCCACCACAAUGACAAUAACACAAAAAAGGUCUUUUUUGUUCCGACGCUAAUUGCAAAAAAAAAAACAUCACUCUCUCCCCAUGCCGUUUGCUUUCUUCUCUAUACGCAACACAACAUUUCUGCAUACUACAACAACAAACAAAAAGCUUCCUAAUUUUCUUAAAAGAUCAAAACUUUUUGAAAAAAUUGUACACUUUACACAAAAGAAAAAAACAAUUAACUUUUCUAAUAAAAUUUUCCCAUCAAUUGAGGGGUUUUUAAGUACCAAAAAUGGCGGAGAAGGAGAUCAUAUGUAUCAUGUUUUCCCAACAAAACAACAACAAAAAAUGUUCUUUUUUUUUUCUUCUUUCAUUUUCGUUUUUAUUACAUGACCAAAAAUAUUAGUAGUUUCCCAAAAAAAAUGAGCUGUAAAAUGGCUGGAAACAAAAAAAAAAAAAACCUAAUCUUCCACCAACAGCCGCUUCACAAUCUUUACGCUUGGCUCCAACACUUGCUCUUCCCAAACCUCUCUCCACUUCUCCGACGACGAACUCAUUUUCAUAACCUCUUUAAACGACGCCGUUGCAUCAACUCUCUCUAUCUCCCACCCGGCGUCUUUUAGCAUCUCUAUCUUCUUUAUCUGUCUCUUCGCUAACGUCCACGUGUUCCUUUUUAUAUCAUCCACCGCCUUAUCGUACGCCGCUUUUCUCAAACCAUCAUCAUCAUCCCACUUUAUCGUCUCCGGUGGAUACUCUUUGAAGUAACCGUCGAACUCCGGUACGCCUAUAGCUUUCCGGAUACCAAACCGGGGUGUUAAACCGGAUUUAACCGGGUCGUAAAACCCGGACAGCUCUUCGAACAUACCCGAAUCCAUCAUCUCGUCGACCCGUUUGAGGAGGUACUCGUAGAGCACGAUCUCCGAUACAUCGACCCAGAUGAAGCGACACUCGUAACGCAAAUCGGAGGUGAUUAGACCCGACCCGGAUGAGAAAGGAUCGAUCUUUGGGUCGAAUCGUUGAGCCAAGAGUGCGUGGAUGAAAGAGUUAGAUCCACCGGCGAUGAUCGGGAGCUUUUGACGAGAUGUUAUGUCAGAGACGGCGUUUGAAGCGGCGGAGCGAAACUCCGCGGCGGUGAGUUCGCCGUGUUCGGGGUUGAGGUAACCGAGGAGAUGGUGAGGGACGCCGCGACGGUCUUGUAACGUAAUCUGAUUCGUUGUGAUCUCUAAACCUUCGUAGACUUGGAUUUUAUCUGAGUUUAUGAUCUCUGAAGGGAAACGAGUGGCGAGAUCGACGGAAAGUUUCGAUUUUCCGGCGCCGGUUGCUCCUAAAAUGACGACGACUUUGUCUUUUCGAUUCUUUUGCGGUGAGUAGUACUGCUCCAUGCGUAUGGAUGAUGAUGAUACUAAAGGUUGGUGUUUUCGUCUCCGUUUCGUGAAAGAGAUGAGAGAGGAAGAAGAAUGUGAUGAUGAUGAGAACGACGGUGACGUUGUCGUGGUGGCGGCGAUGAGACGAUCGGAGAUUGUUGGAAGGAGGAAGUUGAGUUCUGUCAUUAGCAAACAACAACACGGAAAGAGACAAAAAAAAAUCUGAAGGUUUCGUACGGUUCUGUUGUGUUUUUGUAACGAUGCACCACACACACACUAUACAAAUCUCUCUCUCUUUCUCUCUUUGUUGGGUGAGAGAGAGCUUCACUUCAAUGGAGGUGGCUGACCUGUAAUGUAUCACCACUACUUGUGGGUUUGGAGAGGGUUUUAGAGGAGAAGAAAUAAAUCAAUGAAAUUUUGAGAUAGAAAUUGUUGGAGUAGCAUACUUGCAUGAUUAACAACAACAAGAGAGAGUUUUUUUUUUCUUUUUUUUUUUUGGAUUUUUAAAGUACCAUUUGUUUAUAUCUAUAGACGUGAGGAUAUAAGUAUAACCUAGAGAUUAACAAAGACAUACCGAUGAAGAGAAAAAAAUAAAAACAUCACUGUUUUCAGGUUUAUAUACGAAGUUUGUUUUUUUCUGAGGGAAAAAUAAAUUAAAAAAAUGAGUUAAUUUUUGUUUUUUUGUUUUGUUGUGGUUCCAAUGUGUGUUUUCAUCAUUGUUUUGUUGUAACACACAAAUGUGUUUUUUCUUUUUAACAUUGAAAAUAGGAAAGAAAAGACAAAAAACGAAGCUCGAUAUUUACUGAUAAAAAUAGAUAAAUCAUCCAUAUGGCAAAAGAGGAAUUAUUAUAGCUUUGGGUUUCUCGAAUAAAUUAAAAAAAAACGCCAUAUGAAAUGUUAAAGCCACGUGUCCCUUGGAAGUGUGUAUAAGGAGAAUGGGAGAGCAAAAAAAAGUGAAGAAGGGGUGUGGCAAAAGAGAGACGCGUGGGGAUGAUUCUGAUUUAUUGGCUUAUUGCUAUUUGCGAGGGUUACACUUACAUACAUACAACGCACCUAUAAAUCUUCAUAUAGGAGUAUCUACUUACAAGCAAUCGAAUGUGUAUGUUUGAGAUCCGGAAUAGAAGGUUAAACAAUUGGGUUUAUGAUGAAAUGGAGUAAUUUAAGUCAAGAUUUUCGUAAACACGAAAACGAGUUUACCAAGUGGAUUUUAGUACAAGUACAUGACAUCAUGGUCCAUGGAGGUUACGUUAUUUGAGUAUUAGUUUGUGAGAGUUGAAAAAAGAAAGAAAUCAGAUAUCUUAAUCUUCCCGUUUCCCACCUUUGUAUUAAUCGUGUAACGCUCUUUGUGAUUAUGGCAUUAGCCAUUAAGUCUUUCUAUCUCUCACUUUGGUAAUAUUACAUUUUUCGUCGAUAGACUAUUAAGUGUAAGAUUUGACCAACACAAAUAUACUUCAAGUUGCUAUGUUAGUUAAAUAAAUUUAAAUCAUUUCACAUGACUAAUCAAUUCUAACUUGUGCUUAGUUCUUCUUCAAAAAUAACAUCAAAAUGCACAUUCGCAUUCGAUGGAUCCGUCAUUGUCUUAUUUGCUAACGUUUCUUAAUAGUUUUUUUUCAGAAUUUGAUAUGUAUGUAUAUAUAGUAAGAUGAUCAAUAUGGACUUUUACCACAAUAACAUAUGCCAACAUACCUCAUAUAUAAAACUAUAAACACGUUAAAAAAACACUUGAACUGCAUGUUGUUGUAUUCCUCCUACUACGUACGUACUAUACAAUUCAUCUUUUUACGAUAUUUUUGAUCUCCUCUACUUCGGACCAAAAUAUGACUAGUCCACUUCUUUUUUUGUCUCCUACUAGUCCACUUCUAAGAAUGCGUUUUACACAUUUUUUUUUUCUUCUUCUUGAUAGUUACGUACGCACCACACAUUUGAACGGCCUCUUUCUGCGAAAUUCGUUAUGAAGCUUAUUCUAUGCAACGAAAGACCUAAACCUGAUUAAUUUAUACGUGCUUACGUUGAAGCAAGAUGGUUCCUUUGGUUUUCGGUCGUAGGCUUAUGAUGUUGAUGUAUGCUAUCCAUCUAGCUAGCUACUCCUUGUGUGGAUUAAGUAUUAAGUAUACAUAAAUUUAUAAAUUGUAUACCAAUGUUUAUGCAAAGUCAAUGGCUUCUCUAAUCCAAUACAGGAAAUUAUAAUAUUUGUUAACGCUAAUCAGGUCUUCUUAUCCAUUUUAUUUAACUAACUAAAAAACUUUCGCUUUCACCCACAUUAUCAUCAAUUAUUAUAAGAUAUAAACCGACACUAAAUACAACUAGACUAAGAUUCAAAAUGUUUCUCGUUAGAUGAUAUAUGAAAAUAAUGGUCCAAACUGGGUCUUCUUUAUGUCAUCGAUUCAAAUUGAUACAUAAAUUACAAUUGUAUGCACACAUGCGUGUCUAGAUCUACUCGGGUAUGUAUUGAUGGUCUUAUACAUGAAUAUAUAUAUAAGUUAAUAAUCACGAGAGAGUUUGAAAAAAAAAAAAAACAAUUUUGAAGGACGUACGUUCGUACGUAUUAUGGAUAUGCACGUAUAAACUUUAUUUAAAAUAAGAUUCAAUUAUAAUGUAAAUGAUAUAAAACUAAUGAUAAUAUUUUUCUUAGAGAAACUCUUUCCGCCGUUGGAUUAUAAUUAGCUAGCUUUUUAUUAAUUAUUAGAGACUUAUGGUGAGAAAUUAAUUAUCAGAAAAGAAUCCUUAUAAUAAAUUAGAAAAUUUGAAGAAUAAUGUGAAAUAAAUGACAAAGAAAAAAAUUAGACAAAGCCACCACUUGGCUUCUGCACAACUCAACGGUUCAUUCAUCAUCCGGACCUGUAUUGUGUCUGUAUCUGAUUAAUGUUAACCUGUUGCUCUAAUCAUGAUCCAAGUGCCGUAGGUCUUGUCUCUUAUGGAACAUAUAUUAAUUUAAUUAGUCCUUAACUUCGUUUUAAUAAUAGUUAAACACUAUACGUCCAAGGGAAAGUGUACCGCUUGAACUGAUGAACUUAUAGAAUAAUCAUUGCGUAUAUUAAAAUAGUCAGCCAACUGAUAUAGAUAUAUAAAUCGAAUUAUAUAAUUAAACAGAAUAGUAAUAUAGCUGACUUUAAUUUCCAAGUCAAAAAAGGGAAAAGAAUAUAUAGGUAAGUUUUAUUUCGACAAAGAGAUUUAUCGGUUUCAUAUUCAACAAACACUAGUAUACGUCCAAAUCAAAUUUUAGAAAAUUUUACUUCUAAUUUGUUUUUCUUAAAGACUAGCUAGAUAUUUUAUGUGACCAAAAUUAUCUUCCCGAACUAUGCAUGCACCACAAUAUAUAUGCAUAAACAAUAAAUUGCUUAGUGAAAUGGUCAUCCACAAUAUGAUCAUGAACGCCUUAGAUUAGUUUAAAACUUUGUCGGGGAGGGGACAGAAUCACUCAGUUUCAACCCCUAUCUAUGUUGACCAAACCGGUUGAAGUCGAUUAACAAACUCAACAUGUGAUACAAUUCACCUAUAUAAUACGUAUACGUCGAUAUUUGGUGGUGAUGAUGAGACCAAGUUAUAAACUUAAACUUGACGGUAAUUAAGUUGUAUUCCAAAACACUAAUCAAGUUUAGUUUAUUGAAAACAGCAUGACGACUAUCUUUUGUGAAGUCCACCAAACUUUUGCUGCACGCUGAUCGAAUAAACGACAAGGUGCUUCAAUAUAGAUAAUACUAUGAUAUAGUACCAUGACUACCAUCUACAUACGACAUGCUGCAAUGUAUAGUAGUAUAAAUUAAGUUGAAUGGAACGAUAUGUCGGGUUUUGUAGUUUAUCUGAGAACGAGGUUUAGGUACCUAAGUCGUGACGUAGUAAAAAAGAUCAGAGAAAACAAAACUCGAAUUAUAUAUUCUUCAAAUGUUUACAAGGGAAACACAACAUUAUGAUGAUGUCCAUCAAAAUUGUGAAAUUAACAAUUUUAUAAUAUAGUAUUAAAUAAAUUAGUUUAAACUUCUCUGCAAAUUUGAGCAUCCACAUGCUGUCAUGCUAGCUCUGCCUCUCCCACACGCGUGUCCCUAAACAAAACCGUAUUGAGACUCAAACAAAAAAAGUACAACGUAGUUUUAAUUAAUAAUUCCCCUAUAUGCUCAACUCAACUAAACAGUAAACACUAAGCACCGUAUUCUCAUAAUUCUUAGUGAAUUUUGGUGGAGGAAAAAAUCACUUCUAAUAAACAUAUGAAUUGGCUGCAAAUAUCUGAAAACUACAUUGAUUUGUAUCAAUAUCGGUUAUUUCGUAAUCGUAUUUAUGUUAUUAGCAAGUUUCGAUGAUUCAUAUAAAAAAUAUCAGUGUUUUGAUAUCGAACUUUGUUAACUCAACAUCAAAAUUAUCUUAUAGUUGUACUGAAGAAUUUAUUAAAACAUUCACUUUGAGUAUAUAAAUUACUAAAAAAAACUAAUGAAAUUAUAAUUUGCUAUUGCAUAAUGUUAUUUGAUUACAGAUUAGUACUUUUUCUUUUUUUUGUCAUAAUAAUAGAUUAGUACUAUUUGGUUUUCUUGGUCCAAAUAAGCAUUUUAUGUAGAAGGCCCAAAUACUUGUGUGGUUUUUUUUUUUUUUUGGUGAGAUGCCUAAAUACAUACUUUGUAUUCAUAUAUUAUCUUUUAUUCUAAAUUGGGCUUGAGCCCUAUAAAAUAGUCAUGGGCUAUUUCUGCGAAUUGUCCAAUAGUUACAAUCUCAAAUAUUUGUAAUUGAUUGUAGUAGCUCUAUAGUAAACUCUACUACUCAUUUCCUCUUUGAUGUUUUUGUUCACCGUGGAUCUUGGCUGACUACAAUGUGAUUGGCUACGGUGGCCAAUCGUGUCCUAAAAUCGCAAUUUAACUUGUAAUGUGACGUGUCCUAAAAUGUGAUUGCUAAGGUCAGUUGUUGAGUCAAAUACAUAAGGGAAUGUUUUAAAUCAUAGACAAGUUGAGACUUCAUAGAGCCGCAGAAAAAUUCACAAUCUGUCAGACUGUCACACAGAUCCCACAGUGGCAGUCAAGAAGGUGAUGUAGAUGAAAAUUAUAAUUCUUUAUUAAUUCUUUGGGAUUAAUUACAUAUGGAAAGCAGAAAAAAAGUAUAUGGCAAUUACAAGGAAACCAUAGCCUUGGCCCUUGCUUGCUUAGCUAAUGCCUCUAAAGCUACAUCAACCGCAUCUGGCAAAUCAUAGUUAGUAGCGUUUGGAUGCGCAUAAGUCAUGCUCGGGACCAAACCGAUGACUGUUUCCCGCAUUCGAGCAACCUCACUAUCCGAGAUACUUAACAGCUCUUGUUCUAUUUGAGUGCUGUUAAUUUCGUCCAUGAACACUGAGUAACUCCUUUUAUCGUCUGGAAGAUACCACAUGUACUGUGUAUACAUAGUGUGUGGUGAAAAAAACACCGGUAUGCACCCAGCUAACAUCGAAUCAAAUGUUGAUCUACGCGUGAAUGAGUCCCCUGGUGCUUGUAGACAAAACCGUGACCGAGUCAUUACUCCUAAUACGUUCAUUGGGUCAUGGCACCUACAUUAAGCAAAAAUAGUUAAGGUUACAACAUUUCCUCAUAACGACAAAAAUUGGAUACAUAUAACACUCAAGAAUCAAGAUAGUUCAACAACCAAGUCUCCUAUUUGAAUUAUUGUUACAACUCUUAGUCAAAUUAGUUGAGAGAGUGUUACUACUGUUAACCAAUGAGAAUGUAAAGUAAUAAAAGUAACCAAAUGUGGCAGUAGUAGUUGUCAAUAAAAAUUAAAUAGUAAUGUUUAUGACUUUUGGACCCCUCCAAUAUAAAAAUUGUGGUGGCUGUAUUCAAUUGCGAAAACGUGUAAGAAAAAUUAAGAAAAAGAGAGUAAAUGAAAAACCUGGACCCUCCAUUUUCACACUUGAGAAGCUCACAGUGGCUUGAAUCGGCGCAUUGUCUGAUCAGCUCGUCUCUAAUGGCGGCUUUCUCCAACCCUUUCCUCGGCCCACCGACAAAACUAAACAAGUUUGGUCUCUCGACUCUUCUCAUCUUGUCUUGCCACGUCACCAUCUCUGCUGACGUGUACGGGUGGAAAUAAGAAGGAUACGGUAUACCGAAGUGAUUGUCACCUUUCCAAGGCUGCCUCUCUACGGUCAGCACCGACAUGUUCAUGACACGUGGCAUUUGCAUGAGGAUGUUUGCUCCAAAAUCAGUGUCGGGGGAGCGCAUGAAGUCCCAAGCUGUCCUACCUAUGGCCAAGAAGUGGUCGCGACCGUUGCUUCUCCUCCACCACCGUUGACCACUAAUGUAGUCGACUAGUCUGACGGCUAGCUCGUCGCGUUUGGUAAGGUUCUGCUCUCGGAACACGCUUGAAGCGUAGAGGCCACCGUAGAAAGGGACGUAGAAGAUAUCCGCAUUGUGUGGAUUCCACGUGCGGCAAGGGUGGUUCUCCACACGCGCGUGGAAGAUCAUCUCGGCUAUGAACUGGUGAGUAGCGAACCAUGACGUUCUUCCACCGCGGUGGAGAGGCUGACCGAGACCGUUGUUGGAGACAUGAGGGCACAUGUUGGUGUAGAUGUUCAAGUGCCGGCAGUUUUGGAGUAGGCCGAUGUUGAACUCCUUGGGAAGAUCGUACACGUAGACGGUGAAGUUUUGGUUGCAUUUGCGUGGGAGUGAGACUUUGAACUCUGUUGUGAUGGGGAAGUGGAGAAUUAAGAAGAGGAAACAAACUGUGGAGGAGAUAAGGAGAGUGAGAUGUAUCAGCUUGUUGUGUUUUUUGUUUUUUGGGUAUUUCUCUUUCUCUUUGUCCUCCUUCUUCUCUAGCCAGAGAUCGAUCUUGACUUGCCUCAUAUUGUAAACGGAGAAAGAGAAAGAUGAGGUUGAGAAGUCGUGAAAGAUAUUUAAAGAAGAGAGUGUUAUUACUUUUACUUUGAACGGUAGAACAUGAAACCCGGGGACUUAAUUUGUUGUUUUCUAUUGUGAUUUUAUAUUAAAAUUUGUAUGGGUCAAUGUUAGAAGUAAGAGUUUUGAAUUUUAGUUGAUAUUUAAUUCAAGAAAAAACCCACUAUUUUUAUUUAUUUUAACUUUAUAUUGCGAAGAAUUGAUCAUAAUGUAAAAGAAAGUCACAUUCCAGUAUUUGUUUUUAGAAAGAAUGUUUGAAAAUGCUUUAUGUUCUAUCUUUAGAAAUUUUUUUGUCGGUAGCAACUUGUCUUGGUGAUAAAAUCGUCUUUAGUUUCUUGUCCAAGUCACAUUUUACAUUAGUUGCAAACUGUUUUGCUCAAAUGAAAACAUAGCAAAUAUACGUUUAGGCUAGCUAUCAUGAUCAACAACAUCUCCAGCAAGAAAUGAUUUUAGUGGGUCUUGCUUUAAUUGUGUAUAUCUUGUCUCAAGAAUCUAUUGUAUGAUCAAAUUCACAAGUAAAUUAAUAUACCAUAUAAGCCAAUUAAAUAACAAAUGUGAUUGGCUGAUUGGCUCAUGUACAACAAAUACAGUAUUCAUAGUUAAAAUAUGUUAAAAGUGGCUGACAAUCCAGAGCUUCUUGACGAAAUCUCGAAGUAUAGUUUUCAAGGAUAUUAACAUGUGAAGCACGAGAAAAUGUUCGAAAUAAAUUAAGCUUCAAACAUCAUAUUUAGAAGAAGACAAAAAGACAGAGGGAAUAAGUUGCCACAUACUAUUAUUGAUUCAUUGUAAACAAAACUUUAAUUCGAUCUAGAACGUCAUGUAAUCAAUAAAAAAAAAAAAAACUGAUCUCGAUUUGGUUGCGUCUGAAUACAGCCUACUCGUUCUAAAAUUAUGUGUACAUAAGUCAAAUGUAAUAACAAAACAGCAUAAAAUAAACAUGAAUUUUCUGAUAUGUGACGCAAGAAAACAAUCAUUAAACCCAUAAUGACCAAUUCGGAGACAACCUGACAAACUGAAUUAUUAUUAGAUCAUAAUAAAAUGAUAAUCGACUUUCCACGCAGCAUGAAUAAAUAUAUUAUAUUUAGACUUCAAAUUCACCAAACAAAAGAAAGCAAAUCUAGAACCCAUCAAGAUAGUUUCCAUCAACAACAAGAACAAAGAUCAAACACUAAUGUGUAUGUUAUCCAAAACUCAAUGUGUAUGUUAUCCAAAACUUGUCCUUAUUCACUCUAAACAUAGAUUCAACUAGCUUUUGUUCAUCAAAGCACAUAUACAAAUAUUUGUAGAUUAAAAGGCAAAAACCGCAAAGACACUAUUACUAAACCUUUUUGAGCGAUAGAGAAGAUAAGUUUAGGAGAAGGAGGAAAGGAGAAGGAGGCCCGAUGAAGUUAAAAAUCAUACUUAUCUUCUCUAAGGCCUGGCCUUCGAGGGCAGUUUCACAAAACAUAUCAGUCGAUGUUAGUUAAAGCCCAUUCGUAUGAAUAUUGAGGCCCUUAAUAAUGAGAAUUUUUCAACCCAGGCCUUGUUACUUGAUUCAUUUAUUAGUGUAUUAUAUUGGUACGUAUAUACAAAUUGGUAUUACGAGAGUUUUUUCUGUGUAUGGUUCAGAAGAAAACAAAUGAGACAGAAUAAAAACAAUGAGGCUAGUUCAUUGGUAAGUAGAGCUAGUAGCAUGGUUGCAUGCGGCUAAGGCUAGUCAGUAUAGGUCUAUUAUAAUAACUGUUUCAGAUAUCAAAAUGGCAAAUCUCUCUUUUACUAUUUUCAUCAUAGCUACAAAGUAAAUAACAUUAUUACUGCAACUUAUAUCAAUAAAUCACCGCUACGACUUUUUGUAUUAAUACUUUAUCAUCAUUUUACAAAGUUAUAUGAUUAUUUUCUAAUUGAGUAUUUUUUUAAUUGUUUUUAUACAUAGAUAUAUAUUAGCUAUUUAGAUAUAUAUGUAUUCCCAAAAUUAUUAUACAUAGAUAUAUAUUAGCUAUUUAGAUAUGUUAUACGCAUAGAUAUAUUAUACAGACAUAUAACCUAGCACCUACUAGAGUUCUAUAUUCCUAGCUUCAGUAGAAGCAGAAAGAUACAAAAUUUCGAGUUACAACAAAAAUAUUUUUACUCACAAUGAUAACAACAACUCGGUGUUUUUAAAAUUUCAACUAUAACUCAAAGAUAGUUAUGAAAAAUAAAAAAAUAAAAUCAAUAAAUAUUCAAACUGCAAGUUAAGAUCAUGUCCCCACGUGACUAUAUAUAAAACUUCUACACUAGUUUCCAGCAAAAGAUUUUCGUAAUUAAUGAAGUAUAUAUGAACAUGUAAGAGAUAAGAGAAAUGAUAUAUGAACAAUGUAAAAAAUGAAUAAAAGAGUUAAGAGCAUGCAUGUAAUGUAAAUGCAAAUGAGAAAACAAAUAUUAAGGCAGCAGCAGCAGCAACUUUAAACAUUCUUCUGCUUCUUGGAGUGCACGACGGUCCAGAGUGUUUUUUUUCUUUUUCUUUCUUUGAAUCGAUGGCAGGCAGUGUAGAUUGAUUGCUAUAUAACAGUUAGCUGCAACAUUUUUAGUGUAGUUCUGAGCCUAUCUGUCUUAGACACACUAGGCAUGUAUCAUUCCUACUUCUAUACAUACAAAAAAUCUGAUGUAUUUAUCUCUAUACAAUACCGUAUUAUAAGCAUGUUUUGUGUAUGUAGAUGAUAGAGAUGUGGAUGGUCGGAUAUAUAACGGACGUAGAAUCCCGAGAUAAAUCGGAAGAAAGGUACGGGACGAAAACGUUUUUGCUUGACGGAUCUGUCUCUACGUGUGUGGUGUUGGCUUGUAGCGGCGAUACGAAAGAUUUGUAAUUAGUUAAAGUUGUCUUCACAUUGCUUUCUCUCUCUCUCUCUCUCUCUCUUUUUUUUUUCUUUGUCUUAACCGUGACUUGUUCACAUCUUUCGUUCGUGCUUCUAAGUUUCUUUUAUAUCUUUCUAUUUUCUUUUCUUUUUUUUCCAAUUUUGUCACCCUACCAUUUCAAUCUUCUAAUGUUUUUUAAUCUUCACCAGUUAUAUACUAAUAUUAGGAAAUGUUUAUCUGUAAUUAUAUUUCUAAUUGAUUCAUUAUGGUGUAGUUGAAAAGUAGUUGAGAUAUAUAUUGACAGUUUUAUUUAGGAAAUACGUACAGUAUACAGCUUUUAUGUUAUGUUAUAUAUAUUCAAAACUUUAUAUUGCAAUCUUCACUCAAAAGUCUCAAGCAUUUCAAUAUGACAACCUAAAAGUGUAAUAGGUGCCUUGUUAUACGGCGCUGCGGUGGAAACUAUUCACAGCUCUUUCGUCCAAUAUAUAAUUAUAGUAUAUCAAUUUUAAGUUAUGUGGUCAACGUAACAUACUUUUGAGUUGACAUCACCCGAGAGAAUAAACUCACAAAAACCAAACCAUAUAAUAAUAAAAUAAAACAAAAUCAGAAGUAGGAUCGGCCGAAGCUACAUAAGAAAAAUGUCCAAUCAGGUCGGGCUACUGAUAGACCGGUUUGGGUUAACUAUAUAUAGCGAGACAAAUAUUUUAAACUUUUGGGGGGCUUAUUAAUGUGAUCCUUUCCAUCUCAAACCACAUCCAGCUUUAUAACUCCAUUAUCGAACUAUGUUUUACUAGAGUGAUAAAAAAAAAAUUGGUCCCAUGACUCAUUAUAAUUCGUGAAUCGUUCGAGACUGAAUGGUUUCUAUUCACACCAUUCACAUGAUGACGUUACAAACUUACAAUAUAUAUUGUAUAUGAAAUGACCAUAGGUAAAUAGCCAUAUAUAUGAAAAUUUCAUGUAUAGUAGUAGUACUACGCGUAGUAUAUGUAUCAGUGACAUACAUAUACAUAGACAGUGAUUCGUACUCAGAACACGUUGCUUGGAACUAAAAACUCAUCUCUGUCGUUUCCAUUGCAUGUGUAUAAGUGUACUUACAUAUGCUUCUACGAUAGGCCAGUGCUCGUACGAGCUAACCCAUGACAUCAGAAAACCAAUAUAAACAUGUCAUAUCAAUGCAGAUCAAGUUAGAGAUUCGGCCACCUCACCUAGCUAUAUAUGAUCAUCCUCUUUACAUAUAUGUAUGUUAGUAUGUAUCUAUGUGUAGUUAUAAUUCAAGGUCAGAAUUAAUAGGAAGGAACCAUAGAUAUGCUCGAGGCCAUUGCCUCUCCAGUGUAAGCAUAUAUCACCCUGACCACAUAUUAUAUGCUUUUAUAAUUAUCCAACAUAAAAUAAUUGAAAAUAUAUAUUUCUUCAAACGAUUUGCAAACUCGUGCACAUGAGCCAAAAAAAAAGGGGACUAUAUACACAAUUUUAACUCACAAAAAUUGUAGUAAAAAAAAAAGAGUCCCAAUAAUUUUAUAUCUUUCCACCAAAAAAAAACUCUAUUUUCUCUAUGUUACCAAUAGAUAAAUAAAUUAGCAUGUAAAGUGGUCAUGUAAAAUAAUAUUCGAAAGUAAUAACUAUAUGGAUAACAAAUAAAUAUGUGGCAUGUAAAGUGGGGUGUAAAUAUUGGUCGAGUCGAGCUAAUUUUUAUUUUUUUUCCUUUCAAUAAAGAGAAAUAUAUGAAAGUAGUAGUUGAAAGAAACUAGCUAGAGUGAAGCUGAAAAUGCAAAGGGGAAGUUUUACUAGUUAGGGGAAUUCAGCUUGCAUCUAACGGUCUCCAUCUGGAUCUAGUUACUUCUUUUCAUAUAACUUUAUAUGUAGAUAUAUUAAAAAUGUCCUUUUUUAAUUUUAUUUGAACAACCAAACACCAAAACCCAUAGACCAAUUCCCUCCAAUCCCCAAUCCUCACAGCUAGCUUCAGGCCAAAGUAGCUGAGAGUUCUAGAUGAACUCAGAUAAAGGCUGUUACCAAUCUCACUACACAUUGUUUCAUAUAUUAUCAACACAAUCUCUCUCUCUCUCUCUGACCCAUUUGUCCGGUUCCUCUGUCCUCUCGUUGUUCUCUAAUAUUGCAAAUGCUUUAUAUUUUGCUUAUAGUAAUCACUUCCAUUGUGUAUCCAUAAAUGGAAACUUUGUUAAACGUUUACCUUUUAAUUUAUAUCCAAUAGUACACAUCUUCAUGAUUAGUCCCUCUCAUCUUCUAACUAUGUUAACACUUUAAACUCUUAAAUGAAUUCAUUUAACAUCAUGUUGCAUCUGCGAUUGAUCAGUACGAUAAUUUUUCAGUUUUGUAUUUACAUCAUCGCACUACAAUAAUCAAUAAUAAACAUAAAACAAAACCCGUUUGAGAUUAAACAGAGAUAUUUCAACUAGACCAAUAAAAAAACAGCAAGCGGGUCAUUAUGAUUAUAACACAUGUAGGAUCAAUGGCGUUUAGACAAUUCUUGAUCCCACUUUUACAUAAAACCAAACAAAACUACAAAACAAGACAACAAGAAAUACUAAUUAAAAAAAGGAAAAAAAAAAGCAGAGGGAAACUAUUAAAAUUUCAGAGCGAGUGAUGAUCUUGGAAACGGUUGAUGCGGAACCUAAGAGAGUGAUCUAAACGCUGCCGUGAAGCGUCACCAUCAUGACCUAGUGGCGGUUCGAGCGGCGAACGGACGCUGGCUGAUUCACGGUUAGGAAAACCGGUCGGACCAACGGGUGCACCAACACAAGUGUAGCUCGGUUCCACAGGACUAUCGGCCAUGUAGUUAACGGUGGUGGUGGCGGGGAGAUUAGGGUUUGGAGAGAUGCUUCUGCUCCCUCGGAAAGAUGGGUUUAAGUAGUAGUCGCUGAAGUGGUUGUGAUGAGGAGAGUAUUGGUUUGAAGAGUAUGGAUAUGGCGGUGGCGGCGGCAUCGGCGGUUGAGGCACUAAGUUUGUUGAGGAGCUUCCAGGGUAUAGCAUUGGUGAUGAGUAAACCGACCGGUACAUCGUUGGAUCUGUAGUAUGAUAGCUGCCAAUAAUUUUUACAAGAAAAUAAUGUAUACUAAGUACAUUUUGUAACUUAGAUGUUAUAUAACUUUGAAGUUUAAGAGGAAAGUAAAUUACCCAAAAGGUGAAAUUCCAGGUGGGGUUAUGGUAUCGUUACGGUAGACCAGUUGACGAGCUUGAUUCAAUGUCUCGGUCUCCCUCUCUUUAAUAAGUUCAUCGAGACAAGGACAUCAAAAACCAAUGUUUAGUCUUAAAUGCGAUUAGAUACAUCUACUCUUGUUUAGUUGUAGUCAAAGCGUAUGGAUGUGACGUCAAUCAUUUAUAUCAAAAGACAAAGAGGGGUUUAUUUGGACGAACUAAAAAAAGUGUGGGUAUGAAAUCUGGAUUAUAUGAAAGUUUGAAAGAGGUUGAAGGAGAGAGUAAUAUAUGUAUAUAAAUGGACAUGCCUUGUCGGUGGCGAUUCAUGUGGCCACCAAGAGCUUGGGAUUUGCAGAACUUGAGUGAACAAAAUCGACAUUCGUACACCUUCCCACUCUCAUCUUUCCCUUCUUUACUCCCUUUCUUCUUUCUUUGACCUAAGGACCAACAAUAUACAAACCUCACAUUACUUAACACUACCAUUAACACACUAAUACUAGUAUAGUCUUAAUAAAGUUGUAGUUAAGUAAAACAAUCUUUUUAGGGUUUUAUGGUAUGCAUACCAGAGGAGGAACCUUCCUCGUGGGCUUGUUUAUUGCCAUCUUUAGAGAAAUCAUCAGGAAGAUUGUUGAGGUCUAAGUAAUUCUCCUCAUGCCUCCUGUAAGAAUAUUUCAUUAAAGAAAGUGUAAGUAUAAAGAUUAGGGAAAGUAUUAAGGGAAGAUAGAACUAAGAAAGUGAUCUUGUGGGGUACAUAGUGAGAUUGGCGUGAGAUAAGACUUCUCCCGAAGAGCUAGAAUAAUUGAGAAUAUAUUUUAGAAGACUUUCAGUUGGAGGCGGCACCACAAAAGGAAGAGAGAAAAAAUAAAACGUAGAGAGUAGUAAAAGUUAAAUAAGAGAGGUUCGAAAGUUUUCUAUCAGUUUAUCUGCCACAAACCCUCCCUCCCAUCUCUCUCUAUCUUUCUCUGUUUCUCUCUCUGCGUGUGGAAACUAAAUUAACAAAGUGGGUCUCGUGACCUUUAAAAAGAUGAGGUUUGGUCAUGUAGGUUUAAGGGGGUGUUUAAUUAAACCAGAGAGAACGUGUUUGUGUUUGAGUUUGUGUGUGUGUGUGUGUGCAUGUAUGUGUGUGUGUGUGUGUGAUGAAAGAGAGAGAUGAUAGGGACAUUUCCUGAGUGAAAGGAGAUGCUAGGGCUACUACCCUAGAACCCUAUUACUGUACAAUUAAUUCAUGUUAAAGAAGACAAACUCUUAAGAACUCUUUUUUCAAAAAGAAUCAAUGAGUUUGGAUCUUUUAGUUGUGUAUACAUAUAUCUUUAUAGAAAUCAAGAAAAAAAAGUUAUAGGAGAUUCCUUUAAACUAGUUAAGUUAGUCGGACUUGUAAAUUCGAACUUUGGAUAGAAAAUGUAUCUUUGAAACUUUAGAUCGAUUUAUGAUAUUUUUCAGGUUAAGGAUUAUGUUAUUUAUUGAGCACUUCCACUAGUUUUUUCCCUAUUGUUGGACAAAAUGACUAUAUAUGUUAUUAACUAUAGACAUAUAGAAAAUGUGGAAAAAGUUAUGAAGACUGGCUCUCAUGAAAUCAACCUCAAAAUUGCACAAACAAUGGAAAGAAACAUUAGGUAAGUUGAAGAUGCGCUUAUAUUAGAAUAAAAAUACAAAGAAUAUGAAAAACGUUGUGGUUAAAUUAGGUUUAAAUUUAAUUAAAAUAUUAGGCUUCUAAAAUAAGAAAACAAGAGUAGUACUUUUUGAACAAUGAAUUAAAUGUGGAAAGACACAUCUAGCGAAUCAUUGUCUCUUGAUAAAGAAUCUUUCAUGAAUAGUUUGCAGCUACAAGAUGGUCCUUGAUGAACUUGUGAUCCUCACUUAAGCAUAGAGAGGAAAGAACCAAGUAACUAAAAGAGAAUAGAUUUUAUACUUUUAAGGACAAUCCGAUACAUGGCUAGUUCUAUGGUCCUGCUGUUUUGAACAAUACGUUUUGAGAAGUUUUACAAUAAAUAUUUGUGUAUAAAUUGCUAGCUAGUAAUGGUCCCCCAUAUGUAGAUGCAAUGUAAUGCUAUGGCUAGGCCUCUCCUGGGGGCAUCCACAUCAAAUAAAAAUUUACAAUCAAAAUUGUUUUUUGUACCCUAGGGUUUUGCAAAUGGGACAUGCAAGUGUUGCUAUCACAUAACUAAUUAUUAGGGUCCUUUGUGAUCUUAAGUUAGAUAUGCAUGUCGUCUGUUAUCUUUAUCUUCCCAUUACUUGUUUUUAUAUACUCAAUAUUACGUGGUUCGUAAAUGAUCCCCAAUUAAUAUAAUGUAAUUCAAUCAAAAGUAAAACAUUGGGAUAAUCAUAUUACCACAUGCUAUUUCUACUUUGGACAUAUCUUGCAGAACUAACGUAAGAUCUAUAACAUGUACUUUCCUCAUCCAAUAUCUAUAAACUGUUUCGUUUGUGACCAUUCGAUUGUGUGCAUGGCGAUGCUAACUAAUUAGUAUAUAUGAAGCAAUAAACUAGUGCCCGUGUAAUAUGUACAUAUAUUUCUCUCUUCUCUACUUGGACAGAUGAGAUGCUCAAAUUUUACAAUUCACGGCCACGGAAGCGUGUGUGUCACGUGCCAAGUGGCUUGAAGUUGAAGGUCAAAAACUUCAAAACCCCCAAAAAAAAGUGUAUAUAUGCUCGUGAGUCGUGGCCGACCUACAUAAUAAAAAGGAAUAUGUUGUUUAUAUAAAGUCAAGCCUAACACCGUUAUUUCACGGCCUUGUACAAUAAGCAAGUUAUGACUCCAUGAGUUGUGACAAGACAGAGAUUGUUAGUUUCGAGUUCAUCAAAUCAAAACCAACGCGACCGAACCUUCAAUCAUAGUCGACGCGAGCUACGAACAUAUUUUCUUUGUCGUGAUUUUGGUCAUUUAGCUAGUUAGAUCGACUUUACUUAUGUAUUAAUCAUAACUUAUGCAAUCAUAAGAUGGUACUAAUUAGUUCUUAAGGAUUUUAGUAUUGAUUAAUAUCUAUGCAUAAACAGAUACUUUUUGGGGUCAAACGUCUAUAAAGAGUAGAGAUAAGUCGAUAUUUGUAACAUAUGAAUUGUGACAUGGUCAAAAACUUCCAUCCUAGGUAAGAUGAUCAAUUACUUGUUUCAGUAUCCCAAAAUAUAUACGAAAAUACGACUGAUCAUUAAAUUAAAAACGAUAAUGAUGAUGAGGAGGCUCCAAAGAACCAUAAUUCUUUUUUUUUUGCAUUUUUAUGAAUUUGCAUAAGUUAUGAGUAGGAAAGAGAGAGAGAAGGGGGGAUCAGGUGAGAGAAGGACCACACUACUACUCCAAGACUGUCACGGCUAGUAAGCUACGACUUCUAAUCUCUCCCUCUUUGUUUUUCUUUUUAACCUUUAACUUUUUUUUAUUUUAUUUUUUUAUUUUGUAAUGGUUGAGAGAUGAAGAAGACACUUAUUUUUGUUGUAUAUUAUUGAUACUUCAAAUGGUAGGAGCAUAAUUAUUAAUUUGUUCUGUAUCAUCCUUGUCAUAAC
Molecule: long non-coding RNA, 89831 nt
Filed under: Capsella rubella
Lineage: Eukaryota; Viridiplantae; Streptophyta; Magnoliopsida; Brassicales; Brassicaceae
Description: long non-coding RNA (CRUB_LNC004362)
Source: RNAcentral